GAGCUGGUAAGGGCAGAAUGGCACCUGAAGCUGCUGGUGCAUGGCCCAUAAUAGGUCACCUACACCUCCUAGGUGGGUCUAAGAAUUUGCCCCACUUACUUUUGGGAACCAUGGCCGACAAGUAUGGAGCAGUAUUCAGCGUUCGGCUGGGAUUGAAAAGAGCUGUGGUGGUGAGUAGUUGGCAGAUGGCCAAGGAAUGCUUCACCACCCAUGACCUGGCUCUGGCCUCCCGUCCUCAACUUGUAAUCUCCAAACAAUUGGGAUAUAACGAUGCCAUGUUUGCUUUCUCUCCUCACGGUGCAUACUGGCGGGAAGUGCGGAAGAUAGCCACUCUAGAGCUCCUCUCGAACCGCCGGCUAGAGUUGCUGAAGAACGUCCGAAUCUCAGAGGUGGAGACAUGCAUGAAGGAACUAUACAAGCUUUGGGCCGAGAAGAAAAACGAGGCAGGCGUUGUUUUGGUGGACAUGAAGCAAUGGUUUGGGGACUUGACUCUGAACGUGAUUCUUAUGAUGGUUGUUGGAAAACGAUAUUUCGGUUAUACAGCCGAAAGUCAAGAGAAAGAGACCCAGCGGUGCCAGAAAUCGAUUAGGGAAUUCUUUCGUUUGUUGGGUCUCUUUGUGGUGUCGGAUGCCCUUCCUUUUCUUGGCUGGCUUGACGUGGGUGGACAUCUGAAAGCCACGAAGAAGACUGCAAAAGAAAUGGAUGGUAUUGCUCAGGAAUGGUUAGAGGAACACCGACGGCGAAAAGAUUCGGGUGAAGCUAGUGGUAACCAGGACUUAAUGGACGUGAUGCUGUCCAUUCUGGCUGGCACGGACCCUACCGGCUAUGAUGCCGACACAAUCAACAAAGCCACAUCCCUGGUAUGCACAUUAUUCCUCGAGCACCUUUAUAUGCUACUAAAAAAAAUGACAUUCUUCUUAAGUCAUAAUUCAUGCUUUAUCCUCUUUAGUCGGGACUCUCAGACUCUCGAGAGUACUCACACCUUCGAUGGAAUAACUUUCUGUUGCUGGUUGAAGCUAGUCAAAGUCAAUACUUUUUAAAAGAUAAUAUUAGAUUUAUAAAAGUUUUAUCAAUUAUGAAAGAAUUUUUUGCAUCAGCGAAAAUAGAAUUUUUUUACUUAAAAAUAAAACGUUUUUGAUUUCAUAAUGUGUUUUAUUAUACGUUGUUAUUUGUCAAAAGAGUAACAUGAGCAGCUUCGACAAGCAAUUAUAACGAAAUACAACCCACCUGAGAAUCUGAGCGUAACUAGAAUUAUGUCGAACCUCUGGCUUGGGUGUUUGGGCUGGGCAGGUAAUAAUCCAACUCUCCUCUGGGUGGCUGGGCCAUUCUCGUCAGAAGAUCAUGAAAGUGUGUUCUUUAUUCCUCAUGGUUUGAGGCCUCAUUGACUGGGCUUCUUGAUCUUGAGUUGGUUACACAAUUACGCCUUUCAAAGACUCUUCGUCAUAAUAAAUACAGUGGCUUUCCCUUGUAAAUUUAAGGAUUUUUAUAUUUUAUUUUUUAUUUUAAUUUUGAAGCCUAACAUGAAGUUUUAUAAAAUGCUAAAUUUGUGAGCGAGUUUCAAAUUCAAGCUACUUUUGAUCGACGGACACUAAACUCUAUGUCUAGAAUCAGACUCCUAUCUGUUCGUGCCCCUUAGACAUAAGGACACUCACUCUUGAAAAAAUAAAAAAAUAAAUUGGAGCCUUUUUCCCCUUUAAUCCUGUUAGUAGUUUUAAUUUUAUUAACAUUAGUUAAUGUUUUGUACUUGGCAGAUUUUGAUUGCAGGAGGCAGUGACACUACAUCUGUUACUCUAACAUGGGUGAUCUCACUUUUAUUGAAUAAUCCAUGUAUGUUAAGAAAAGCCCAAGAAGAAUUGGACACUCAUGUUGGUAAAGGGAGACUGGUAAAUGAAGUGGAUUUAAGCAAGUUGGUCUACCUCCAAGCAAUUGUUAAAGAGACAUUGAGGUUAUAUCCCGCACUUCCACUUUCAGGACCACGCCAAUUUAACCAAGAUUCCAUUUUAGGUGGUUAUCGUAUCCCAAAUGGCACUCGUCUUGUAUUGAACCUCACUAAGAUCCAAAGAGACCCAAGUGUAUGGUUGAAUCCAACAGAGUUUCAACCAGAGAGAUUCCUCACUACUCACAAAGACGUUGAUAUGAGGGGCAAAAAUUUUGAGUUUACACCAUUUGGUGGUGGAAGAAGAAUUUGCCCUGGUGCAACUUUUGCCCUUCAAGUGCUACACUUAACAUUAGCCAAUUUCCUACACAAAUUUCAACUUUCGACUCCAUCAAAUGCAACAGUUGAUAUGAGCGAGAGCCUUGGGAUAACAAACAUCAAAUCCACUCCACUUGAAGUUCUCAUCUCGCCACGUCUGUCUUCUUGUGAUCUUUAUGAGUAAAACCAAUGAAUGUUGAGAGAGACUAUUUCAAGAAACCUAGUAUUAUAUUAUAGGAAAUAAAAAUACAAAUAAAAUUUGUACAUGUGGUACAAGUUUAAAAUAAUAACUAAUGAGUACGGUACUUUUUUAAUUUUGUCUUAGCUUGAAUUUUGGUGUUUUUUUUUUUGUUUUCUCCUUGUAGAAGAAAAAGUGGCAUAUAACAUUUUUCUUCCUCUAUAGAUAGUGAAAAAUAAGUAUGCAAUUGACCAUAUGCAUACGUGUGCAAUAGACUUAAUGAGUUGCAAGUUGAUAAUUGGUUUGUCUUUUGGUAGAUUUUAGUUGCCUUCUUGUACAUCAUUAAAGUAGAAGAUAAAGACGAAAAUUAUAACUUCACCCAUUCCCAUUGUAGAACGUUGGGCUAUCAGUUUGAUUUUCAACGUCAAAAUCAAAUUGAAUCAAUCCAAUUAAUUUUUAUGCAUUAAAAAUCAAUUUAAUUGAAUUUAAAGAAGAAAAUGGUUGGUUCGGUUUGACUCACAAUAAUUGAUUCGUCGGUUUAUUUUGUUUUAAUUUGUUUUGGUUUGUUGUAACAAUAAAAAUCAUUUUUUUUUGGUUAAUUUGGACUAAAAAAAAAAAAACCAUGAUUAGAUAAAAGCUAUAAAUGUGCAUAUGAAGUUGUAUCGAAUGUGAAAGCUUUUCAUCAAAUUAAUAAUAUAACCAAUACUCAUAUUAUUGAUGUAAAUAUAGAACUUUUAGAUAAGUUCAAUUUGUUUUACUAUUGAUUUUUUAAAUAGGUAACCAAAUUGGUCUAAUUCAAUUUUAUAUUUUAAAACCCAAUAUUAUUAAAAGAAAAAUUGCUAAAAAUUAGUGGAUUAGGGUUAGUUCAUUGAUUCUGUCUACACCCCAAAAAGAAGAGUGUCCACUUCGUAUUGUCAACUUUGUGUGCUUAUAAGUUACAAUUUUGCACCAUGAGAUUCACAUUUGUACUUAUUAUUGCCAAUUUUGUGUGGUCAUAAGUUAUAAUUUUACCCCACUAGAUUCACAUUUGUUGGCAUCAUAAUUGACUUUCUACAUCCAUGCAUUCAUGAAUCAUUACAAUUCAAUACUGUAUUACCAUUUUGGCGCUAAACAAGAAGACUCGUCUUUAAAGUACUCAAGCAAAUCCUCACAAAUUUUAAUCAUUUUUCAAUUUAGAUGAAUGGGAGCAACAACACUAGAACAAUGAAGUAGAUGAUGAAAUAAAAUAAAAAACAAAGAUAGUAUACAAACUCUAAUUUUAUUGGUUUGUCAUAGUCUUGACUUAUAUGCACUCUCCUCAAACUUUAAAAUUCUGCUAACUUGUUAGAGGUUGUUCGUGCUUCCUUGAUAGCAGCAAAAACACCGAUAUCUUAUUGGGGAGGAGCAAUCACAUCUGCCGUAUACUUGAUCAAUCGGGUACCUUCCAGCUCAAUUAACUUCCAAACACCUCUCCAAGCUCUUAUUAAUGUCGUAGUUGGCCCAACUAUCCCAAAUCUACCUUCUCGUGUUUUUGGUUGUGUGGCAUUUGUGCAUCUACACAAACACCAACGCACCAAGUUAACUUCUCAUGCAUUACAAUGUGUGUUUGUUGGAUAUGCAUUGCACAAAAAGGGAUAUCGAUGUUACUAUCCUCCAACUCGACAAAUGUAUAUUACAAUGGAUGUGGUGUUUCAUGAAGAUUCGAUGUAUUUUUCAUCUGAGUUUGAACUUCAGGGGGAGUACCAUAAGGAAAUUCAGACUCUCGAUUAUGAUUAUCAUAUCUCUGAGGAGAAUGAAUCUGGACAAUCUGAACUAGUGAACCAAGAAGCGGGUGAGUUGGAUAUGAGUGGUCAACAAUUUAGGUCUGAAGAUGUCUUCACUGAAAUACCAAACCAAUCGUCGUCUGUUGAAGGUGUUCUUAAUUUGGAACCCGAUCCAUUCAUGAAACGGUUACCACACCGUCAUAAUAGAGGUAUCUUAAACCCACAUAUGAACCUGAAUUGUCUACCAAACUCAAAUAUCCCAUGAGCAACUAUGUGUCUAACCAUCGUUUGUCUGAAUCAAAUAAGUCAUUUGUAAAUCAAUUAUCUACUGUAGCUAUUCCUAACAGUGUGCAGGAAGCCUUAGCUGAUCCAAGGUGGAAAGCAGUUAUGAAUGAAGAGAUGAAAUCAUUGCAGAAGAAUGAAACAUGGGAACUCGUAGAAUGUCCACCAGGAAAGAAGCAAGUUGGGUGUCGUUGGAUCUAUACUGUAAAGUACAAGGCAGAUGGUAGUAUUGAACGAUUUAAAGCAAGACUGGUAGCAAAAGGGUACACUCAAACUUAUGGAAUUGACUACACAGAGACAUUUGCACCUGUAGCUAAGAUCAACACAGUUCGAGUAUUACUGUCUUUAGCUGCAAACCUAGAUUGGCCGUUACAACAGUUCGAUGUGAAAAAUGCUUUUUUGCAUGGUGAGUUAUCUGAAGAAGUAUAUAUGGAUCUUCCACCAGGAUGCAUGGUGUCAGAAAAACAAUGUUAGAAGGUGUGCAAAUUGAAGAAGUCAUUGUAUGGGUUGAAGCAAUCCCCGAGAGCAUGGUUUGGAAGGUUCACAAAGUCAAUGAGAGCUUUUAGCUAUCAUCAAAGUAAUUCAGAUCACACUUUGUUCCUGAAAAAGCAACAUGGUAAGAUUACCGCACUCAUCGUAUAUGUGGAUGACAUGGUAGUUACAGGAAAUGAUCCUGAAGAAAGAAAAGCUCUGCAAAAUUAUCUAUCUAGAGAAUUCGAAAUGAAAGAUCUAGGUUAUCUGAAAUACUUUCUUGGGAUUGAAGUUUCUCGAUCAAGUGAAGAAAUUUUUCUUUCUCAAAGAAAGUAUGCCUUAGAUCUUUUACAGGAGACUGGAAUGUCGGGAUGUCAACCUGUUAAUACACCAAUAGAAGAAGGUCUGAAAUUGUGUGUUGAGUCUAAUCAAGUAUCAACUGAUAAGAGAAGAUAUCAGAGACUUGUGGGGAGAUUAAUGUACUUAGCUCAUACAAGACCAGAUCUUGCUUAUGCAUUGAGUGUAGUGAGUCAAUACAUGCAUAAUCUUGGAGAGCAACAUAUGAAUGCAGUUAUGCGUAUUUUGAGGUAUUUGAAAAAUGCUCAUGGGAAGGGAAUUUUGUUCGCUAAAAAUGUUAAUCAUCAGAGUAUAGAAGUAUAUACUGAUGCUGAUUGGGCCGGUGCAAUGGAUGAUAGGCGAUCUACAUCUGGUUACUUUACCUUUGUAGGUGGUAAUCUUGUGACAUGGAAAAGUAAGAAGCAGAAUGUCAUCGCUCGUUCAAGUGCAGAAGCAGAAUUUAGAUGUAUGACUCUAGGACUUUGUGAGACAUUAUGGCUAAGACUUCUCUUACAGGAUUUAGGUUACCUAUCUAGGCAACCAAUCCGAUUGUUUUGUGACAAUAAAGCCGCAUGUGAUAUUGCUCAUAAUCCAGUACAACAUGAUCGUACAAAGCAUGUCGAGGUGGAUAGAUUCUUCAUUAAGGAAAAGUUGGAUGAUAAGAUUGUGGAAUUGACUAAGAUUCGAUCAGAAGAUCAAUUGGCCGAUAUCCUCACCAAAGCUGUCUCAUGUCAAGUGUUCUCAAAAUUUUUAGACAAGUUGGGCAUGUGUGACAUAUAUACACCAACUUGAGGGGGAGUGUUGAGAUAUUAGGAAUGCUUUCCGUAUAUCAUUCUUUCCUUAUAUUAUUUAGUGUUGAGAUAUUAGGAAUGUUUAAAUAUUAGGAAAGUUGAGAUAUUAAGAAUAUUGAGAUAUUAGGAAUAUUGAGAUAUUAGGAAAGUUGAGAAAUUAGGAUAUUAGUUGUUAUUUCCUUAUAUCAUUCCUUCCCAUUCUUAGAAUGGUGAUUACCCUCUAUAUAUACUUUAUAUAUGAACGAAUGAAAGUAUGAAUGGAAAAAACUACCAUUUAUCAAUUUGAAGAGGUACAAGUUUAAAAUAAUAACUAAUGAGUACGGUACUUUUUUAAUUUUGUCUUAGCUUGAAUUUUGGUGUUUUUUUUUUGUUUUCUCCUUGUAGAAGAAAAAGUGGCAUAUAACAUUUUUCUUCCGGUAUAGAUAGUGAAAAAUAAGUAUGCACUUGACCAUAUGCAUACAUGUGCAAUAGACUUAAUGAGUUGCAAGUUGAUAAUUGGUCUGUCUUUUUGGUAGACUUUAGUUGCCUUCUUGUACAUCAUUAAAGUAGAAGAUAAAGACGAAAAUUAUAACUUCACCCAUUCCAUUGUAGAACGUUGGGCUCUUAGUUUGAUUUUCAACGUCAAAAUCAAAUUGAAUCAAUCCAAUUAAUUUUUAUGCAUUAAAAAUCAAUUUAAUUGAAUUUAAAGAAGAAAAUGGUUGGUUCGGUUUGACUCACAAUAAUUGAUUAGUCGGUUUAUUUUGUUUCAAUUUGUUUUGGUUUGAUGUAACAAUAAAAAUCAUUUUUUUUUUUUGUUAAUUUGGACUAAAAAAAAAAAAACCAUGAUUAGAUAAAAGCUAUAAAUGUGCAUAUGAAGUUGUAUCGAAUAUGAAAGCUUUUCAUCAAAUUAAUAAUAUAACCAAUACUCAUAUUAUUGAUGUAAAUAUAUAACUUUUAGAUAAGUUCAAUUUGUUUUACUAUUGAUUUUUUAAAUAGGUAACCGAAUUGGUCUAAUUCAAUUUUAUAUUUUAAAACCCAAUAUUAUUAAAAGAAAAAUUGCUAAAAAUUAGUGGAUUAGGGUUAGUUCAUUGAUUCUGUCUACACCCCAAAAAGAAGAGUGUCCACUUCGUAUUGUCAACUUUGUGUGCUUAUAAGUUACAAUUUUGCACCAUGAGAUUCACAUUUGUACUUAUUAUUGCCAAUUUUGUGUGGUCAUAAGUUAUAAUUUUACCCCACUAGAUUCACAUUUGCUGGCAUCAUAAUUGACUUUCUACAUCCAUGCAUUCAUGAAUCAUUACAUUUCAAUACUGUAUUACCAUUUUGGCGCUAAACAAGAAGACUCGUCUUUAAAGUACUCAAGCAAAUCCUCACCAAUUUUAAUCAUUUUUCAAUUUAGAUGAAUGGGAGCAACAACACUAGAACAAUGAAGUAGAUGAUGAAAUAAAAUAAAAAACAAAGAUAGUAUACAAACUCUAAUUUUAUUGGUUUGUCAUAGUCUUGACUUAUAUGCACUCUCCUCAAACUUUAAAAUUCUGCUAACUUCUAAUCCUUCAAGCCAAUCUUAAACUCUUACAUUUUGAUUCUUGAUUCCAAAAGACCUUCUUACACUUGCCUCAAUAGAUUCUUUACUUUUGAAUACACUACUCACAAGUUAACAAUUGAACAAAAUUGAUCUCUCUAAAUCUUAAUUAGUACAAGUUUAAACUUGAGAAAAUACAAGAGGAAAUUAGGAUGUUUUGUCUUAGAUAAGAGUUUAUAAGUUAAUCAAGAAUUUUACAUUGAAAACAAAGAGUUAAGAUCAAUUCAGUUAAGUGAGAUUGUAGGAUCUAAUUAGUUUGAGAUCUUAAGCGGUCCUGUUAUAAUCUUAUUAUUUUAUUCCAAAAUUGCCUAAGAGGGAAUUAGUAAUUUAGGACAACAAUUAAUUCCCUCCCAAAGUUUAUUGGUUUGAAACUAAUACUUUAUUAUACCAGCAUGUUUGAGUUGAAAACACAAAAAUUGAAGCUAAGGCAAGUACUUUACAAUUCGGAUUGGGUUGCAUCGAGCUUUGGUGGUAACUACUUGGCAGAUGGCUAAAGAAUGCUUGACCGUCAAUGACCAGGUUUCAUCCUCGCGUCCCGAACUUUUAGCCGCAAAACAUUUGGGCUACAACUACGCCAUGUUUGGUUUCUCUCCAUACGGUUCUUACUGGCGUGAAGUGCGCAAGAUAAUCAGCCUAGAGCUACUCUCUAACCGCCGCCUAGAGCUGCUGAAGGACGUCUGUGCUUCAGAAGUGGUGACAUCCAUAAAAGAGCUAUACAAGCUCUGGCAGAGAAAAAAAAUGAAUCGGGCCUUGUCUCGGUGGAGAUGAAGCAGUGGUUUGGAGAUUUGACUCUGAAUGUAAUUCUUAGGAUGGUGGCAGGGAAGCGUUAUUUCAGUGCUUCAGAUGCAAGUGAAAAUAAACAGGCGCAGAGGUGCCGGAGAGUGUUCAGGGAAUUUUUUCAUUUGGUAGGGCUCUUUGCGGUGGCAGACGCUAUUCUUUUUCUUGGAUGGCUCGACUGGGGGAGACAUGAGAAUACCCUAAAGAAGACAGCAAUAGAAAUGGACAGUAUUGCUCAAGAAUGGUUAGAGGAGCACCGUCGGAAAGACUCCGGUCACGAUAAUAGUACGCAAGACUUCAUGGAUGUGAUGCUGUCAGUUCUUGAUGGCAAAAAUCUUGGUGAUUGCGAAAGCCACAUGCUUGUGUGGACCCGCAUUUUUCACGUGCGCCUCCACUCGAUCGGUGAGACUCGCUUUUAUUUGGUAAAGAUGUUGUUUUUGGAAAAGUCAGAGUCGCCACUUAUUUUAUUUUAUUUUAAAGGGAAAAUAAAACAAGAAAUAAAACCCUAAAAAAUGACUCCAUAGUUUUUUGGAAAAGCAUGUCUUUGAAAAACCCGAGUCUAGGUCAAAGGAUCAGAUUACUUAUUGGGAAGGUACCUCCAGGAGAUAGCACCUCUCUAAACCUUACAAAGGUCUCUACUGACUACGUUGAAGGAAAUGUGGCAAUCAACUGAUUAAUUGAGGGUACCUAGGUAGGCGAAGGUGAUCUCAAAACUAGCAUGCUAAACAAGAAAAACCAAUCAUGCCCAUAGAGGAAAGUUAGGAUGCGUACCUGGACCACUUCUUAAGCACUAUCAUAAAACAUCAAUGGUUAGUUUAGAUAAUAUAUCACUCAGUAUGUGUUUUAUCAUGAAUGAUCAAACAAUGUAGCAAAUAUCAAGACAUCCCAAGCAUUCUCAAACAUAGGUAUAAAUCAUAAUGACGAUCAUAUUUACAAAAUUUGGAAGGUAGGUGACAGGAGACGUACCUGGAUAGCAUAGAUAACUCGUAACGUGCUUUCACAAGACAUGAGAGGUUAGAUACCUGGAAAGCAUAGAUAACUCGUAACGUGCUUUCACAAGACAUGAGAGGUUAGAUAACAAACAAUAAAAUAAGAAGUCCUAGCAUGUUUGUUAUCUAAUUAGCAUAGAAAAAAAAAAUUAUCAUAGUAUAUGAAACCAUCAAUUAUUGCUUAUAUCUUCUAUAUAAUUUCUAAAAAAUAAAUAGACAUGAUUUUCUUAAAUAGCAAAGGGGGCAACAAAGAUGAGUUUUGAAAAUUUUCCUUAUGUAGAGGCUUCACCAAUUCCCCGAUUGAUAUAUACAAAUCUAGUUUAGAAUUAUCCCAUUUGUUUGGGACCACAAGCUUGGAUUCAUGUCUUACUCAAAACUGUAAUUUUAUUUGAAAUUUAAGAAAGAUGCAAACAGAUCAAAACAUGGUUGCACAUUAUUUGAGAAAAUGAGAUUUCGAUUCUAAGAACUCUAAAUGAAUUUUUGAAAUGGAUUCCUAAAGGGAAUGAGAUUUUGAUUCUAAGAACUCUAAAUAAAUUUUUGAAAUGGAUUUUUAAAGGGAUUUUUUUGAGAAUAGUGUUAUGUUUUAAAAAUAAAAGAAAUUAAUUUGAAAACAAUAAAACGUAUGAAUCAAAUACCAAGCAAAACAAAAGAGAACAAAAUCACAAAGUAGAAUUUUUGACAACCGGGAAAAUUGAAGUGGUGAGAAUGGAAGCCAAUCUUCACUAUUUUUCGAUGGUCUCCGAAAAGUAAAUUUUACUAGAGACUACCAAAGCAAUAAACUAUUCAAACUUGGAUCAAAUAAGCUAACGAAAUACCCACCAAGAAUUAAUGACGAAUAUUCAAGAAACACAUCUACUAAGAAUAACAAUCAAGAAUUAGCAUGAGAUCAAUUAAACACACAAACACAUCUAGAUUAACUAAAAUGAACCAAAUUAAAUCAAAGCAAACAAUAAUUUUCAAACAUAGAAUUAACUUUAUUAAUGAACUAAUAUUAUAUAAAAUACCUAAAUCGAAUAGAUGUGCAAAACUAAAUCAAAGUAAACUAAAGGCAUGAAUUUUCAAAAAUAGAAUUGAUUUUAUUAAUGACCUAAAAUUAUACAAACUCCUAAAAUAAUUAAAAUGAAUCAAUUUAAACGAAAGGAAACUAAAACAAAAUAUGAAUUCAGGGAAUCUAAUUUCGAAAUAAACUUACAUUAUUAAAAUGAAAUCUAGGCUUAAAAACUAUUAAACACUAAUUAAAGUCAAUCUAUACUUAAAUUCUUAACACACAUGAUCAAUUAUUUUAACAAACUAACAUUUUACCUUAACCACAAAUUAAAUUAAAAAACUACCUAAGACUAAAUUUUUAACCUAUAAAAUUAAACUCAUAAUCAAAUGGAUAAGUUGAUGACACAGAUAAAUAAAUAUGAAUAAAAUAAAAUAUGAAUGAAAUGAAAUACGAACACAAGGAAUUAAAUAAUUUUUUCUUUUUUUUAAUAAACUUAUGUUAGUAAAAUAAAUUUGAGCUUAACAAACAUUUUUAUAACUAAUUAAGGCAAGUUUAAAAUAUAAUACUUAACACAUAAAAAAUCAAUCAUUUCAACAAACUAUAAUUUUAACUAAACUUAAAGUCAAUUCAAACCACCUUCAAUAGAUUUUUUUAUUUUUAUUUUAAACUGCAUUUUUAACCCAUAGAUUCAAUCUCAUUGAUAAAUAAAUAAAUAAAUAAGUUACAAAGCAUUAGCUUAGUAGCAAAUAAAUAAAUAAACAACUAAUAAUUAAAUGAAUCACAACUAAACUAAAUAAAGAUCAAACUAUAUUAUUUUUUUUAUUUUUCAAAAGUAGAAUUACAUGAAUUUGUAUUUUUUGAAUUUAAUAUAAUAUACCAAACUAAACUUAAACACAAUUCUCAUUCUGCCAUAUUAAAACAAAAAAUGCAUGGAGUUAGUAAAUAAAGUCAAAUGACACAAUAUAAUAAUAAUUCCACUAAAAAACCAAUCAAACUAAUUAAAAUUCUAAAAAAUAUCAACUAAAACAAGAUCAAUCAAAAUUAGCGUGUAUAUAUAUAUAUAUAUCUUUAUUUUUAGUUAUUUAUUUAUUAAAACACGAAUACAUCAACACGAAACGAAAUAAACUAACCAACUUACAUUCUAAAACUAAAAGGAUAAAUCAUGAAUUAAAAUUAACAACCUUUAGAUAUGAAAAGAGUGGCAUGGAAUCAAUUGAAAUAAUAAACUAAAAUUUAAUAACAUCUAAACUAAAAGAUAAAUUAAAACUAAAUUAAAUGAAAUUAUGAACUUCCUAAUUGAGAAAAAAAAUAAUAAUAGUAAUAAUGCUAAUCAAAAUUCUAAAUUUUAAACCAUCAUCAUGAAUUGCCCAAACUCUUAAAAAAUCCUAACCUUUCCAUUAUCAACAAAAAUUGCCUAAACCAAUAUUUAAAAAAUCUAAUUUGUCAAACUAAGAAUAAUAAAUUGUAACUACAUUAAACAAAAAUCAUAAUCUUCAAGCUAGAAUAAUGAAUCAAUAAUAAUUAAUUUAUUUAGAUAAGAAAAAUUAAAAAAAUAAAUUAAAGAUUAACAUCUAAGCUAAACAUGAAUUUACAAUAAAAAUUUAAAAUACAAAGAUUGAAUGGGAAUAAUUUUAAAACUAAUAAAUUGUCAUCAGGAAAUAUAUUGAUAUUAGAAAUAAUUAAACUAUAUAGAUAAAACUCUAAAACGAUUAUGCAUUGAAUUGAAUAUUUCUUGAAUCAAAAUUGAAAUAGGAAGGAUAAAUUCACAUUUUCCGAAACGUGUAGGUCACUUUCCACUAGUAGGAUUUCUAUUUUUUAUUUUAUUUUAAAAGAAUCAUUGCCAAGGAUGCAUGGUGUGGUGGCUGCCCAUGCACUGUAGCUGAAGACUUCUUCUUGGUGGUCUUUGAAACCUAGGAGCAUGGCUGAAUGUUUCCUUUCUUCCAAUAGUGCAACUGCUCCGGAAGUCCUCUCAACGGUGCGGUUGAUUCAGAAAUCGUCAUCUCAAUGGUGCGGCUGUACCCUCUCACAUUCCAAAAAAUAAUCUCGCUCCUCCCACUUGGAUCCCCUUUAGUGCGACUGUUGAUCUCCUUCCCGUUUGGUGUCACCCUCUCUUCUGAUGCAUGCUGAAAGCGUCCCAAGAAUGGUGCAGCUGGUCGUUCUUGCUUCUCCAAAGGCGUCAGACCCUCUUAUGCGUGCUGAAAGUGUCCUAAGUAUGGUGCGGCUGAUCGUUCACCCCUCUCCAAAAAAAACUCUCCCCCCUCUCACUUUCUAACCUUCCUCUUCAGUACUCUGCCAACAUGGGAAGACAACUCACCAGCCCGGAGAGCCUCAAUCAUCCACGUCAGUCUAGCAUCAUCAGGACUCUCCUUCCUGAACAUAGUCUUCAUUCCGUCCAAAUACCCAUUGAACCUUUCCUUUUUUCCAUGCCAAAACAACUUUGGUAAUUUUCUUUCUUCAUUCAUUUCCUUUCAUUAGAAGCACAAUCAACACAUGCAUGGGUGCAUACUUGCUUUCCUUCUUAGUUCAUUUCCUUCCAUACAUCCUGUCCUCUUCCAACCACCUUGAAUCCAUCCUUCAACCCGCUGAAUAUUUCCUUUCCAUAAUCACACAUGAAAAUUCCUCUUUUUAAUUUUUUUUUUGACUGAAUAUCCUCUAUUUCCUGAAAGACUCACACAUGAAUAUCCUUGCCAAUACACGUUUUCAACCUUCCUUUUUCUCUCUAAUGAUGAUUCCUUUGGUGAGUUUCUCUACAAAAAUAUAAAGAAAAUUAGACUUAAUGAAUGAAUCCCAAGGUGUUUUAGAAAAUUAUAAAAUAAAUUAACAAAAUAAUUAAGUAAAUAAUGAUAAUAAUAAUAAUAAUAAUAGUAAAGUGUCAUACAAUCUAUGGCACCAUGCAAUCAUGUGAGCAACUCAAGUCAUGCAAAGAAUGUCUAAUGGGCCUCGGGUGUAUCUAAUAGACCUAAAGGGUCUAAGUGGACCAAUGACGGUGCCUAAUGGGUCUAAGUGGGCCUAGGGUGGUGCCUAAUGGACCUAAAGGGUCUAAGUGGGCUUAGGGUGGUGCCCAAGUGUAUCUAAGUGAACCUAAAGUGCUUAAGUGGAUCUAAGUGAACCUAAAAUGUUUAAGUGGAUCUAAGUGAACCUAAAGUGCCUAAAUGGGCCUAAGUCUAAAUUAGGGCUACUAAGAGUCACAAUAGGGUUAAAUGAAUCUCUCUACCAAAGUCUCCGAGGUGGCUCAAAAAAGGUAAGUAGUAUGAGUAGCUAUGGGCCACUAAGGAACUACUGUGGAGCACUGGAAGUGAACUUAAAGACAUAUGCUAAAGGAACAAAAUUGAGGGUCUACAACCUGGUAUGAGUAUUAAUGGAACACCCACGUAACACUGAUAAAGGCAAAUUGCAAGGAUAAGGCAAUGAUCGAACAAAUAACCUAUGAUUAAGCAAGAUCAUUCAAAAUCAAUUUUGUAUAUUUUUGUAACCGUUAUUUGCUGUGUUGACUUGAACAAUUCUGUAACUGUUGUAUAGUUGUAGACAAAUUGAUGUACAUUGCCGCAAAUAGUUUUUCUUAGCUAUGCAUAUAAGUAAACUCUUAUUACAUCAAUAAAAGUGUGAAAAUUUUCAUUGAAAACAACAAUGUUAUUUCUUCUAUACUAUUUAUAUUUGCAUAGGGCUAGCUUCUUUUCCAUAGUUUUUCUUUUGUUUAUAUGUUUUAAUUGAUGCAUAUUCACUUUCUUAUUCUCUUAAUUAAAUUGCAAUAAUUAAACCUACAAUUUAAAUAAAUUUUAAAAUUUAUUUUUAACUAAAAACAACAAUAUACAUAUACAAAUAUAUACUGCUUAAGUAAUUAAUUUUUAAAAAAUUAUCCUUUGAGAACAUCUCAGACAAACUAAGACAUGCUUCUAGGGAAAUCUAAAUAUAAUGUUUUUAAAAGCUACUUUGUAAUUUUAUUUUCGAGCAUGUUGCAUUAUAUAUACUUUCCUUGAAUUGAUUUUCCAAAUUUUAUUUUUGUCAACAAUAAGGGUUAUCUACGUUUUGGAAGAUAUCUUUAAUUUCCCCUCCAAAGAAUAAGUGAUCUUGAAACUUAUAAGUUAAUUAUGUUCACUUGAUUGAAUAAGAGAUUUGAACAAUCUUGUAAAAAGAUGUUAAGUAGAUGGUUGAUUUCGAAAUUAUCCUUUAAACUAUAAAGGGAAAUAGAAAAAAAUACUAUUAUUUUGGUACAAGACCAUAUUGUUUAGUAGUGUCUCUAGGGAGUUCCAUUAGAUGCUAUCAAACAAUUAAUUUGGUGUCUCACUAACGUAAUUUGAGUUGUUGGAUUUUGGGUUUUGCAAACUCUAAUUGCUGGAGGUAGCGACACAACUGUUGUCUCUCUAACCUGGGUAUUCUCUCUUUUACUAAACAACCGCGACACCUUAAAAAAAGCUAAAAAAAAAUAUUCAAGUUGGCAAGGAAAGAUUAGUGAAUGAACAAGAUAUAAGUAAGUUGGUCUAUCUUCAAGCCAUUCUUAAAGAAAUUGAGAAAAUAAAGGCUAAUCUUAAAAGAUAAAAACACCCAAGAGGGGGGUGAAUUGAAUUUUUAAAAAUUAUUUUUAAACACAACAAAUUUAAGCAUAAGAUAAUCAAAUAUAAAAAGAUAAGGUUAGAGAAAUCAAACUCAGAUUUUAUAAUGGUUUGACACUUCCUUACCUACAUCCACUCUCCUCAAGCUCUUAACCGAGUGAGGGUUCCACUAACAUGAAGUUUCAACCAAACUUCUAAUUACAUUUACACUUAGAUUCCGGCUCCAAUGGGCUCUUACACAAUCUCUUCAAGUUUCAACUCACUUAAAGACUUUAGCACUAAGUUAACAAGUAUGGAUCUCUCAACUUAGCUCAACAAUGACUCAAAUACAACCCAAAGCUAGGAUGAAUCACAAAGGUGCACUAAAGGAUAUGUAUAUGGAGAUUUAAUGAACUAAGAAAAGAAAUGAGAGCUUUUAAGGCAAGAACAAAUAGGUAAGCAAAUAAAUGCAUGUGUUCUCUUACUCAUAAAUGAAGUGGAGCUCUUUAUUUAUAGGUUUUUAACAUUAUAAGCCAAAAAAACCAAAAAAACAGUCUCAAUCGGUCGAGCUGAGGGUCAAUCAGUUUACUAGCCGUUGGAGCAUUUAAUGCUUGGCAGGUGACAGUUACCCUCGACCGGGAAGACAAAUCCCUCGACUGGGAAGGAAAGGCUACUGAAAAAGAGAGAGUCUUUUUUGCACCUCUCGGUCGGACCACAAUAGGGAAGGGGGAACCGGUCGACCGGUACCCUAGUCAGUUGAGCCUGUUUGGACAUAGCCUUGACCGGUUCACAAUUUUUUACCCGAAAACCUAUCUUUUUCUGGUAUUUUUGCUUCAAACACUUAGGCAAGGUCUUCAGAUAAAAUUAUAUGCCAAUUUUGAAACGUUUUGCCCAAGGUUCAUUUGAUAGAUCUCAGAUUUUGGUGAAAAUGUAACUUUAAAGCAUAAAUCGAGUUUUUCAAAGAUGCAUGAAAUAAUAUGUAAAUCCUAAGUGUAUCAAUGCAUUCAUCUUACAUAUGUUUCCUCUCAUUAAAGGUCUUUCCAAAAGUCUUGAUCUUGCAUCCAUUAGGUCAUUUGAUGAAUUUCCAAAUUAACACCUGAAAUUCUUUAUAAUUUAAACCAAUUAGUAACUUAACUAUGAUUUGUUAUCAUCAAAACAUGAUUAGGAGAACCCUUGGGCCAACAGAGACAUUACGGUUAUAUCCACCAAGACCACUUGGAGGACUAUGCCAAUUUAUUGAGGAUUGCACCUUGGGUGGAUACCAUGUCUUUAAAGGCACCUGUUUAAUAAUGAACCUUUCGAAGAUCCAAAAUAUCCAAGAAUCUAGUUAGAUUCGAUAGAAUUCUAACCAGAGAGGUUUCUCAUCAACCAUAAGAAUGUUGAUCCUUAGGGAAAACAUUUUGAAUUUAUACCAUUUGGAGCUUGUCAAAGAGCAUGUCUAGGAAUAGCUUUUGGUCUUCAAAUAUUAUAUUUAACAUUAGCUAGUUUCUUACAUGCAUUUGACUUUUCAACUCCAUCAAAUGAACAUGUUGAUAUGCGAGAGAGCUUUGGACUUACAAAUAUGAAAUCUAUCCCACUCGAAGUUUUCAUUUCUCAAAUCUACCCCACUUGAAAUCCUCAUUUCUCUACACUUAUCUUCUUGUAGUCUUUACAACUAAAACAUUGAAAUGAAGAGGUCAAAGUUGACCUAGCUAGUCUUGGUUUAAAGACAUAUAGAGUUAGGUUCAAUCAAUCUAUGAUAAGAUUUGAGAUUUGUAUUAAAAGUAGGUUGGACUAAGAAUGAUGUACAAUAAACUAAAGUACUAUCCAUGCAAAUAAAGUAUAACAUUAUAUAUUAUUUGGUUAGCAUUCUGAAAUGUAACAUCAUAAUUAUUUCUUUGUUUUGUCUAAUUUAUCGCCAUUUCCCCCCCUCAUCUUCAUCAAAACAAAUAAUAUAUAGUCUUUCUAUUUUUAAAAAUCAAAUUCGAUUCCCAAUUAUAUAAGAAUUUUACUGUUACUUUAUAAUAAACUUGACUUUAGUCUUAAUAACUUUGACUUGUAAAUAUGUUCUCCAUCCUUAAUUAAAUAUACAGAUAAUUUCAUUCAUUUUUUCUAAGAUUGGAGUCAAAUUUACCCAUCCAUACUUAACUUGAAAUUUUCUUAAAUAUCUAUUUUUUUUCAUUUUUUUUACACGUAUAUCUUUUAAUUUAAAAUAAAAAAUAUUUAAUAAAAUUUCAAAAUAAUAGUUGUCAGACAUAUUUAUGUGACAUUUUUGAAGAGGUGAAUGAAACUAAACUUUUCUUUAACUAUAAAAUCAUAAAAAUUUAAUAUAUGCAAGCAUGAUCCGGUCUAAAUAUGAUAUAUAAUUUGUGUCAUUUCAAAAAAUCAUAGAAGAUCCUUUUGGCAAAGUGACCCCCCAUUUGAGUUGUAUUUUGUAAUUGGUCACCACAUGUUAUAUCAUUUCAAAGAUUAUGGAGGAUCAUGUUGCCAAUCAUUAUCAGAAGAAGUACAACUUCCUCUAUAAAACUAAUCAAUACGAUAUUUAGCACAUGCAAACAAAUUUGGAAGGAUCUGAAAGUCAAGUCUACGGGCCACCCCUUUACGACUUGUUCGAAAAAGCACAAAUCAAUGGUGGUGCCACUUGCCAGCAGUCUGUUUCAAUAUCUAAAUGUUACCUCGGUGAGACUGCUUGACAUACUUUUUGUCUCCUACUAUCUCAUGGAGAUCCAGAGUUGGUAAGAUAAGAAUAGCAUCCGAAGCUGCUGGUGCAUGGCCAAUAAUCGGUCACCUCCUCUUAGGUGGGUCACAACUUCCUGGGAUUUUUUAUAAAAUUAUGGUAGAUUUAAAAUUAAUUUUUUAAAAAUGCAGCAUAUUAAUGCUUGACAGGUGACAGUUACCCUCAACCGGAAAGACAAAUCCCUCGAUUGGGAAGGAAAGGCUACUUAAAAAGAGAGAGUGUUUUUUGCACCUCUCGGUCGGACAUCAAUAGGGAAGGAGGAACCGGUCGAUCGGUACCCUAGUCAGUUGAGCCUGUUUGGACAUAGCCUUGACCGGUUCACAAUUUUUUACCCGAAAACCUAUCUUUUUCUGGUAUUUUUGCUUCAAACACUUAGGCAAGGUCUUCAGAUAAAAUUAUAUGCUAAUUUUGAAACGUUUUGCCUAAGGUUCAUUUCAUAGAUCUCGGAUUUUGAUGAAAAUGUAACUUUAAAGCAUAAAUCGAGUUUUUCAAAGAUGCAUGAAAUAAUAUGUAAAUCCUAAAUGCAUCAAUGCAUUCAUCUUACAUAUGUUUCCUAUGAUUAAAGGUCUUUUCAAAAGUCUUGAUUUUGCAUCUAUUAGGUCAUUUGAUGAAUUUCCAAAUUAACACCUGAAAUUUUUUAUAAUUUAAACCAAUUAGUAACUUAACUAAGGUUUGUUAUCAUCAAAACAUGAUUAGGAGAACCCUUGGGCUAACAGAGACAUUACGGUUAUAUCCACCAGGACCACUUGGAGGACUAUGCCAAUUUAUUAAGGAUUGCACCUUGGGUGGAUACCAUGUCUCUAAAGGCACCCGUUUAAUAAUGAACCUUUCGAAGAUCCAAAAGGAUCCAAGAAUCUAGUUAGAUUCGAUAGAAUUCUAACCAGAGAGGUUCCUCAUCAACCAUAAGAAUGUUGAUCCUUAGGGAAAACAUUUUGAAUUUAUACCAUUUGGAGCUGGUCAAAGAGCAUGUCCAGGAAUAACUUUUGCUCUUCAAAUAUUAUAUUUAACAUUAGCUAGUUUCUUACAUGCAUUUGACUUUUCAACUCCAUCAAAUGAACAGGUUGAUAUGCGAGAGAGCCUUGAACUUACAAAUAUGAAAUCUAUCCCACUUGAAGUUUUCAUUUCUCAAAUCUACCCCACUUGAAAUCCUCAUUUCUCUACACUUAUCUUCUUGUAGUCUUUACAACUAAAGCAUUGAAAUGAAGAGGUCAAAGUUGACCUAGCUAAUUAUUUCUUUGUUUUGUGUAAUUUAUCGCCAUUUUUUCCCUUUCUCUUAUUCCCUCAUCUUCAUCAAAACAAAUAAUAUGUAGUUUUUCUAUUUUUAAAAAUCAAAUUCGAUUGCCAAUUAUAUAAGAAUUUUACUAUUACUUUAUAAUAAACUUUACUUUAGUCUUAAUAACUUUGACCUGUAAAUAUGUUCUCCAUCCUUAAUUAAAUAUACGGAUAAUUUCAUUCAUUUUUUCUAAGAUUGGAGUUAAAUUUACCCAUCCAUACUUAACUUGAAAUUUUCUUAAAUAUCUAUUUUUUUUCCUUUUUUUUUACACAUAUAUCUUUUAAUUUUAAAUAAAAAAUAUUUAAUAAAAUUUCAAAAUAAUAGUUGUCAGAUAUAUUUAUGUGAAAUUUUCGAAGAGGUGGAUGAAACUAAACUUUUCUUUAAAUAUAAAAUCAUAAAAAUUUAAUAUAUGCAAGCAUGAUCCGGUCUAAAUAUGAUAUAUAAUUUGUGUCAUUUCAAAAAAUCAUAGAAGAUCCUUUUGGCAAAGUGGCCCCACCUUUGAGUUGUAUUCUGUAAUUGGUGACCACAUAUUAUAUAAUUUCAACGAUUAUGGAGGAUCAUGUUGCCAAUCAUUAUCAGAAGAAGUGCAGCUUCCUCUAUAAAAAUAAUCAUAUUUAGCACACGCAAACAAAUUUGGAAGGAUCUGAAAGUCAAGUCUACGGGCCACCCCUUUACGGCUUUUUCGAAAAAGCACAAAUCGAUGGUGGUGCCACUUGCCAGCAGUCUGUUUCAAUAUCUAAAUGUUACCUCGGUGAGACUGCUUGACAUACUUUUUGUCUCCUACUAUCUCAUGGAGAUCCAGAGCUGGUAAGAUAAGAAUAGCAUCCGAAGCUGCUGGUGCAUGGCCAAUAAUCGGUCACCUCCUCUUAGGUGGGUCACAACUUCCUGGGAUUUUUUAUAAAAUUACGGUAGAUUUAAAAUUAAUUUUUUAAAAAUGCAGCAUAUUAAAAAAUAUCUUUGAAUAAUAAUAAUAAAAUGACAAAUAAUAAAAAGGAAAGAAAGUUGUCUUGUGGCUAUAAGAAAGAAUAAUAUAAAAGAGAGAGAAGAGGAGAGGCGGAUAGAGAGAAGAGUAGCAGAAAAAAAAAAAGAACGGGAAGGUGCAUGCUGCAAAUCUUUGGGUGUUCGUAUGACGAGCAAAACGAGUUAUGUUUUGCGUGAAAGUUAAGGUGAAAAUUUUCUUUGACAUGAGGAACAUUCUUUCAAAGUUUGAUUUUAAUUUCAAUGAUUGGAUUUUUUUAUUUGUGGUAAGGUAACAUUCCCUCAAAGUUUGAUUUUAAUUUCGAUGAUUGGAUUUUUUGAUUUGUGGUAAGGUAGUUUAAUCCUACAACUUUUGUUUAAUAUUUUUUCUUGAAAAAAUAUUAUGGAUUUUAUUAUUGGGAGAUAAAUAUGUGUUAUUUGUGUUUUCUUUAUGUUAUUUGAAAUAUGAUUAUUGUUAGGGUGGAUUAUUAUGAUUUUUUUUUUUAUGUUUGCAAUGAUUUAAUUGAAGAAAAAUUAUUGUGUUAAUUGUUGGAAAUUAUUCAAUAUAUUAAGAAUAAAUAAAAUUUAUAUGAUUAUGGUUUAGACUAUGUUUUGAUGAUAUAUAAAUUAUUGUGAUUUUUUUUUGUGGUUAUUUAAUUGAAGAAAAAUUGUUGUGAUGUAACAGGAAUUAUUGAUUAUGUUUGGAGUAAAUAAAAAUUAUGUCCUAUAAAAUUAUGGAUGAUAACAUGUAAGUUUAUUAUAUUUCAUAUAUGGUUAUAUGAAAAACAAAAAUUGAUGAAAGAUUUUAUGAAAUGGAAAAAGGAAAAAAAAAGAAAAAAAAUGAUGAUGAAAAGUAAAAACCCGUAAAAGACGAAUUAAGAAGGAAAUGAGAUUUCUAGUAUGAAAACUACAAAAAUUUAUCUUGUGAAAACUCUAAAUGGGGAGUGUAUUUAAUAUAGAUGUAUAUCAUUCAGUAAAAACCCAAAAACAAUAGUUUGUUACUUUAUUGAAUGUAAACAUUUGCAUCAUGUUUUCAUUUGGAAGAAUGACAUGUAUUAAUUACUUGAAUGACAUUAAUGGUAUGUUUGGAUAUUUUAUUAGAGACUGAAAUGAUUUAUUUAUUUUGUAAAUUUAGAAUUGUUUGAUUUGUUAUUUAUAUAAUUGAAUAAGAAAUGUGAUAAUUUUGAUUAGUUUAAUUUUAUAUGGUUGAGGUUUUAUUUAAUGAAAUGCAUUGUUUUGAAAAUUGGAUCGGACCAACCGGUUCAAUUGCCAACUGGUGAUCUUUCCGGUUCUGUCCUCUCCUUUAAACCGCUAGAUGGUUGAACCAACCACAAACCACUAUUGGCAGUUGGACCGAUGAACCGCUUGGACCGGGUGGUUUUUCAUGAACUGCAUGGCUCAAUUCCAGCCCAGUCUUCCCCCCAUUUUUUCUUUCAUCCAAAUAGUCCAACCUUCCCCUCCUCUUUUUCAAAGGGUCCAAGUGAAAGCCCAAUAAGCCCAGCCUUACAUCUUAAUGGUCUUUAGGCAAAACCUAAACCCAUUUAAACCCCUCAAUGGGUUGUACCUUUGAACCCCUUAGUUACACAAAUGGCUUGAAUGAACUGUGUUUUACGCGCAUAUUCACAUCCACAUCCAUGUGGGAUUGCUGCUAUUUUAAGUCUAAAGAAAAAGCAACACCACUUAGCUACAACACAAUUUGAUGCAAGUCUAGAAAAUAAAAAAAACAUGUGUUUCAAAAAAAAAAAAAAAAUAUUAAAUAAAAUAAUAUAAUAUUUUCUGAAAUUAUAAAAUUAGUUAAAGUUAAAUAAUUAAAUUUUUACAUAUUCCAUUUAAUAAAGUUCAAAAUAUUAAUAUAUUUAUAUUUAUAUUUUGAUAAUAUCAAAGAUAAAAAUUAAAUAUUUUUAAAUUUUUAAUUUAUAUAUCUAUAUAUAUAUAUAUAUAUAUAUAUAUAUAUAGUUUUUUAUUUUUUAUUUUAAUAAUAUAUAAGUUAUAUAUUUAUGACAUUAUUUGUUCGACUAUUCGAUCAUCGGUCCAACCAUUGAAUCAUGAAUAGAUAACUUUUCUGAUUCAAUAACCGGUCUGAUUUUGAAAAUAUUGAUUUAAUGUAAAUAUAAUAUUAUAUUUUGACAUAUAAUUGUUUUCUAUUGACCUAAAUUUUUUAAUUCAUUUGGGUGUAAAACACCUUACAAAACAAUAUGAAAAUGUUCACCCCUUUAUUUUUAUAAAAUUUUUAGAUACAAAUAUAGUUUAUAAGGAACCAUAAGAAAAUCAAGAAGUGUUCCAAAAAGCCUUAAAAAAUAAAAGAACAACAAUAAUAAUAAUUUUUAAUUUAUAUUACCUUUUUGACAUGUGCUAAUUUGAGUUAUAUGAAUUUUUGUAACUUAAAUUAUAUUUUUUUAUUUUGUAAAAUAUUUUUGGAAAUAUUUUUUACUUAGAUUUAUGUAGAUAUUUGGGUUUAAAUAUUGAUCUAUUCACUGUCAAAUUGGAUAGGAAUAAACUUUAAGGUCAACCCUUUGACCUGAUAUCACUAGUCGGAUUCUGAGUUGCCUUGGGUGUGACUAUAAUGGAUUUUCUUCUCCAUUGCCUAAACCCUGUCAUGGUUGGAGCGUUUGCAAUACUCGUCCUCUCAUACCACCUGUUAUUAUGGAGGUCUGGAGCUGGUAAGAGCAGAAUGGCACCUGAAGCUUCUGGUGCAUGGCCCAUAAUAGGUCACCUGCACCUGUUAGGUGGAUCUAAGAAUUUGCCUCACUUACUUUUUGGAACCAUGGCCGACAAGUAUGGACCAGUAUUCAGCAUCCGGCUGGGAUUAAAAAGAGCUGUGGUUGUGAGUAGUUGGGAAAUGGCCAAAGAAUGCUUCACCACCCAUGACCUGGCUCUGGCCUCCCGUCCUCAGCUUGUGGCCGCCAAAUAUUUGGGAUAUAACUAUUCCAUGUUUGCUUUCUCUCCUCAUGGUGCAUACUGGCGUGAAGUGCGUAAGAUAGCCACUCUAGAGCUACUCUCGAACCGCCGGCUAGAGUUGCUGAAGAAUGUCCGAAUCUCAGAGGUGGAGACAUGCAUGAAGGAACUAUACAAGCUUUGGGCAGAGACGAAAAGCGAAGCAGGCGUUGUUUUGGUGGACAUGAAGCAAUGGUUUGGGCACUUGUCUCUGAACGUGAUUCUUAAGAUGGUUGUUGGAAAACGAUAUUUCGGUUAUGCAGCCGAAAGUAAAGAGAAAGGGGCCCAGCAGUGCCAGAAGGCGAUUAGGGAAUUCUUUCGUUUGAUGGGACUCUUUGUGGUGUCGGAUGCCCUUCCUUUUCUUGGAUGGCUUGACGUGGGUGGACAUGUGAAAGCCAUGAAGAAGACUGCAAAAGAAUUGGACGGUAUUGCUCAGGAAUGGUUAGAGGAACACCGACGGCGAAAAGAUUCGGGUGAAGCUGAUGGUGACCAGGACUUCAUGGACGUGAUGCUGUCCAUUCUGGGUGGUAGAGACACUACUGAUUAUGAUGCUGAUACCAUCAACAAAGCUACAGCCCUGGUAUGCACAUUAUUCCUUUAGCAUCUUUAUAUGGUAGUAAAAAAUGAGACAUAAUUUCACGCUUUAUCAUCUUUAGUCCAGACUCAAGAGUACUUGGGCCUGGGUUGGAAGAACUUCUUGUUUUUGCUUAGUUUCAAGUUGAAACUAAUCAAAAGCAGCGAUUUUUAAAAGGUAAUUAUAAUAGUGGUGUUAUAAAAGUUCAAACAUAAAAUAACUUUUUGCAUAAAUCAAAAUAGAGUUUAUAUAUAUAUAAUAUUUUUCUGAUCUUCAUAUUAAUUUUUUUAAGUCAUAACUUUUUUGAACAAAAUUAGUCAAACCAUAGAACUCUUGAACUUACAGAAAAGGCCUUUCGAUUUCUUAGAAAUAGAUACAUGUAGAGUUUUGUUAUAUGUUUGUUUUUGUCAAAAGAGUAACAUGAGCAGCUUAGACAAGCAAUUAGAAUGAAAUACAACUGGGCUGAGAAGCUGAUCGAGUACAACUAGAAUUAUGUACAACCUCUUGCUAGGAUAACUGGGUUGGACUAGUAAUGAUAGAGUUCUCCGUUGGAGUUAGGUGGCCCAAAAAGAUUGUGCUGUUUGAAUAGCUGGUCCUCUAAUUUAGGAAGAGGCAACCGAAUUUGCACCGCUGGGUGGCUGGGCCCAUAGAAAAUAUUAUUGUCAGAAGAUUAUGAAAGUAUGUUCCUUAGUCCGCAUGCUUUGAGGCCUCUUUGAGUGGGCUUCUAGGGCUGGUUAGACAAUUGGGCCUUUCAAAGGAUUUCCUAGAGUUACAUUUUUUUUAGCCCAACAUGAAUUUUUAUAAAAUGCUAUAUUUAUACGCGAGUUUCAUAUUGAAGCUAAACAUACCCAUUUUGAUCGGAAAAAAAAAGGAAAGAAAAUGGGGCCUUUUUUCCACCCUUAAUCCUAUCACUAUUUUUAAUUUUAUUUUAUUAGUUAAUGGUAUGUAUUUCACAGAUUCUGAUUGGAGGAGGCACUGACACUACAUCUGGUACUUUAACAUGGGCAAUCUCACUUUUAUUGAACAAUCCACACAUAUUAAGAAAAGCUCAAGAAGAAUUGGAUGCACAUGUUGGUAAAGAAAGAAUAGUAAAUGAAAUGGAUAUAAGCAAGUUGGUCUACCUUCAAGCAAUUGUUAAAGAGACAUUGAGGUUAAAUCCAACAGCCCCACUUUCAGGACCGCGUCAAUUCAUCCAAGAUUCUAUUUUAGGCGGUUACUAUAUCUCAAAAGGCACUCGUCUUAUAUUGAACCUCACCAAGAUCCAAAGAGACCCGAGAGUAUGGUUGAACCCAAUGGAGUUCCAACCAGAUAGAUUCCUCACCACCCACAAAGAUGUUGAUGUUAGAGGUAAACAUUUUGAGUUGACACCAUUUGGUGGUGGAAGAAGAAUUUGCCCUGGAGCAAUUUUUGCCCUUCAAGUGCUACACUUAACAUUAGCCAACUUCCUACAUAGAUUUCAACUUUCAACUCCAUCAGAUGCACCGGUUGAUAUGAGCGAGAGUUUUGGAUUAACAAACAUCAAAUCCACUCCACUUGAAGUUCUUAUCUCCCCACGCUUGGCUUCUUAUGAUCUUUAUGAGUAGAACUUGAGGUCGCUAAGAGACUUAUUUCAAAAAACCUAGUGCUAUGAAAUGUGAAAUAAAAAUAAAUUUCAUACAUGUAGCAUAAGUUUAGUAUUAUUUUAAAGCAGUUACUAAUGUGUGUCCUUUAGUAUUGUCUUAGCUUGAAUUUAAUAAAAAAAUAUUUUCGACAACUAUUUUGUGUGGACAAGUAAUGACCCAAUUUCUUGUUAUGUUUCUUCAUUCUUCCAUGAAAGAGAAUUUAGAAGAAAAAGUGGCAUAUAGCAUUACAAUUGAAAAAUUAAUAAGCAUGUACUCCACCAUAUGCAUAUAUAUGCAUAGUAGACUUAAUGAAUUUCCAAGUUGAUUAAUUGGUAUCUCCUUUUGAUAGAUUUCAGCCACCUUUUUGUACAUGAUUAAAGUAGUAAUGGAGACUAAAAUUACAACUCCCAUUUCAUUGUAAAAAGUUGGGAUGUGCAAGGUGGGUCAGUUCAAUUUUGGGCAUUAAAAUCGAAUCGAAUCGAAUUGAACCCAAAAGAGGAAAAUGAUUAGUUUGACUUGAUUAACAAUAAUCUAAGUUGGUUUAUUUUGCUUCUAUUUAUAACAUCAAUUUUUUUUUUAAUUUGAACGAAAAUAAUAUUAUUGAAGCAAGUCAUCUUUGGACGGUUGAAAUGAUAUUAUUACAACUAAUUUCAAAUCAUAUUAUUAUAACUUAAUGACAUGAAUAGGUAUUAUUGUAACCCAUGUCAAUCAUAUCAAAUAGUCCAAGUCAUAGAUAAAAGUUAUAAAGGUGUGAUUGGGAGUUCCAUCCAAUGUGAAAAAUGUAUACCAAAUUAAUAAUGUAACCAAUUGUUAUACUGUAUAUUAUUAUUGUGUGUGUAUAGCUUUCAAUUCAAUUCAGUUUGGUUCAUUAAUUUUUUUUUAUAGGUAAUUGAAUUGGUAUAACUUAGGUUUAUAUUUUUAAAAAUAAAAUCUUUAAAAAUUAAUAGAUUUGGGUCAAUUCCAUUGAUUUUGUCAAUCGUACACCCUAAAAGAAGGGAUGUCCACUUAUCAUCCAUAACUUUGUGUACUCCUAAGUUAGAAUUUUGCCCCAUGUGAUUCACAUUUGUACUUAUUAUUCUCAAAUUUUCGUACAAAUGAUUUAUUGUUUUGUGGAAUUUUACUCCAUGAGAUUCACAUUUGUACUUAUUAUUAUCAACUUUGUCUGCUCUUAAGUUACAAUUUCUCCUAAUUAGAUUCACAUGCGUUAUUGCCAUAAUUGACUUUCCACAUUUAUGCAUGAAUUAUUAUGUCAAUAGAUGCAUUAUCAUUUUGUCAAGUUAAUUUGACUUAGGUUAAUCACCAAAGACAAGGUGAAUUAAUUGACUCAAUUUUAAUAAAUUUUAAUUUAAAUGAGUGCAAGUAAUAAUAAUAAAACAGUAAAAAAAUACAUAAUUAAAUAAAUAAAAAGAAGAGAUAACUGGUACAAACUCCAAUUUAUAUUUUGCUCAAUCCUAUACUCUCCUCAAGCCCUCAAAUGCAAAUUGAGGGUUCCACUAGCUUUUAAGACUUCAAUCAAACCUUAAUCCUUUACACCUGGAUUCUCAAUUUCAAUGAUCUUUUUACACUUUAAUUCAAGAAAUUCCUCACUCUUGAACAUACUCAAAGGUAACACUUGAACAACAUUGAUCUCACAAAGUUUUAUUUACAGAUAAUAUAAAUGAAAACUUAAAUGGUUUUUUUUGGUUAGGAUUUCUAAAUUAAUAAGGAUUUUUACAUUAAAAAGAAAGAGUUAAGAUCAACUGGGUUUUGUAAGAUUUUGAUAUAUAUCUUAGUUUGCGAGUUUUUUGGGAUUAUAUUGUAAUCUUAUUGUUUUAUCCUAAAAUUGUCAAAAAAAGAAAUUAGUAAUUUAGUAUGGAAAUUUUACUCCAAAGAUUAUUGAUUAAAAAUUAUUUUACUAAUACCAACGUGUAAGAGUUAAAGGCAUAAAAUUGAAAUUAAAGUAAGUUUAUUAUUUUGGAUUUUGUUAAGUAAUGACAAGAUUAAUAAUUGAAAUUAAUGUAAAAAGAAGUGUAAAAACUUUAAAACUUUAAAAUAUCAUUUCAUUAUUAGUUUCCACUUGCCAACAUAGACUUCUCAUUCUAUUCUAACAAGUUUUUUGUACUUUUAUAUAUAUAUAUUUCAUAAACUUAACAAAGGAUACAAACAGCAAAAGAAAAAAAAAAUUGAGCUACUAAACCUCAAUAUAAAUUUGGGGUGAAUUGUCAAGGUCUAUUAAGGAGCAUGGGGAAGUACUGUAUCACAGAUCAAUGUGAAGAUGUAUAUAUAUUUAUAGUAUAGAACCUAAGAGAACGUUUCUUUCUAAGUUAGGUAAACAUUUCUGUCAAAGUUGAUGAAAUUUUACUAUAAUUUAUAUACACAUGCUUUCAGUGUGCAUAUAAAUUAUACGUGGAGAUGAUUUUUAACUUAUAUCUUGCUUUUUAUAUGUGAUUUAAUAUUGUUUUGGAUUAUUGAUUAUGACUUAUGAAUUAUCAUGCAUGGAACUAAUCAAAAUGAUAUAAUUAAAUUAUAUUAAUGAAUUUGAGAUAGACAUGGCAAUUAUUAAUUUAAAAUAUCUUAUAUGAACAUAAAAUUUUAAAUAUAGACUCAUAAUUUAUAUUAAAAUAAUAAAAUUAAAAAAGUACGUUUAUCUCAGAUUUAUGCCUAGGGCCCAAAUUUUGCUGAGAGACGGCCGGAUGUCAUCACAUGCAAGAAAGCUAGGAAACAAAGCUAAAGUUUGCUUCUUGUGUGGGAAGAGGUACUUCCGUGCUUGACUGAAAGAAAGGAUUUUCUACAAGAAAAAUUGUCCCCUUGUUUGUAAAGCCUCAAGUUGCGACAGCAAUAACGACAAAAGUAGGCCAAAGAAUUUGUCAUUAUUAUGAGACUAGAGAGGUUUUACUGAGAAGUUUUCCGAGCGUGAUAUCAGCAUUCGCUGUAUCACAGUGAUACAACAAAUGGUUUGAACACAGUGAUCUAGAACCCAUUAGCUCAAAUUUCAUUGAUCUGAACACGAUGAUCCUCAUCCGCAGACCAUUUUAGGGAAUAAUUAAUUCUAGCGAUUUUUUAACUGCAUGUACGAAGAACUUCAUCAAAAUUCGAUUAAGUGUAUCUUAACCAAUCUUGAUCAGUAUGCGACUGAUGAUUCUAUUUGAUAAAAGUAAUGCGGUGGCCCAACUUUAUCUUAAUUUCUAUGUUGAAAGUAAUCAUUAUAUUAUUCUAUAAUUAUAAAUGUAGACUAUGGAAUCAAGAUAACUUUGAUAUGCUGAGAUCAAAAGAGGGCGGCCACUUUAGUAGUGGACUAUAUAUACUAAAUAAAGCUGAUCGAUUAUUACAUUGGAAAAUAACAUUGAACCUAUCAUGAAAGACAACCCUACUGGACCAUGCCCCGAGUACUAAAUGCUGAUAAAAAACAAGUACAUGUUCCAAAGGAAUUGAGUCCAUAUAUACACAUUAGUGCUCAAAGAGAAAAACUAUAUAUCCACCGCUUAACUACAGUGAUCCUUUGAGCAGAAGUUAGCCAUGUAUUUCCUUUUCCAAUACCUAAACAUCACCACGGUCGGAGUCUUUGCCACACUUUUCCUUUCCUACUGUCUAUUAUUAUGGAGGUCUAGAGCUGGUAACAAAAAAAUAGCACCUGAAGCUACUGCUGCAUUGUCACGACCCAAAUUCCGGGUGACCCAUAAUUUGGCCCGUGACCCCAGGUCAAAGGUUUGACCCUAAGGGUUACUCCUAUUCCACGUUGGCAGUCAACUAAAACACUCUGAAAUUUUUUUUUUUCUCACAUAUAAGUCUCACUAGGUUCUCACCAACUAACAAUAUUUCAACCCUUACUCAAACACAUUAAGAUUUAAUAAAUAUCAUUGCAUUCCAAAAUAAAAUUUCAUAAAAAUCCCCUUAAUCGAAUUAAGGUCUUAUUACAUUAUCCAUAAUUCACUUAUUACAAGAUCUCAAUACCACAAACAUAAUAAAAAAAUAAAACACAUUCCACUAAACCGCUCCAAGGGCAUCCUGAAGUCCUCCCUGUCCCACCUGUGGAUCCUCAGGAGUGAUAUCUGCAUCUAAAAAUAUAUAUAUAAAAAAAAAGGGUGAGCAUUUCCACAUUGCUCAGUAGGGUGCCUAACACCCAAAGGGUUAAUGGGGGAUUACUAUAUUUCAAUAACCCAAACACAACAGUUUACCAAUAUAAAUCAAGUCACACAAUUUAACAUAUAAUAUUAUACUCAAUCCCACAACAUCCAAUCAUUACAUAUUAAAUUACCACCUACAUCUAUAAGUUCUUCAUCUUUUUAUAAAGGAGCUAUAGAAAUGUUAAAAAGUCGAAAGAAGACAACAAAUAGUUCUCCAAACAACACAACUGAUUUAGAUAGAUAUCUUAAUAUUGAUUUAAUUUCAUUUGAAGAUGAUGAAGAUUUUGAUAUUUUAAUAUGGUGGAAAUCACAACAACACAAAUAUCUUGUGCUUUCUAUCAUUGCUCGUGAUGUACUAACAGUUCCUGUGAGUACAGUUGCAUCAGAAGUUGCUUUUAGUGCAGGUGGAAGAGUAGUUAGUGAUAAACGAUGCAGCUUAGCGCCGGAUUCUAUUGAAGCAAAUAUAUGUCUGAAAGACUGGGCAAUAGCAGAUAAAAGGAUAUUUGAUUCUAUUCAAGAAGAAAAUAUGCUUGUCGAUAUGGAAAAACUAAAAUCAUCAGAUCUUCAUGGAUUUGCGAUAGUUAGCCAUCACCGCUAAGAGAUAAUGAUUAAAAUAUUUUACUAAAUGUAUGUCAUAUUUUUAUUUUUAUUUUUGUGGUUGAAAAGUACAAAUGAUUGACAAAUAAGUAGGUGCCAACCUAGUUGAGAUGUAUUUAUUUUGUAGUGAUGUAAACUUUUUCCACAUUUUCAAAUGUAAUGUAUAUAUUCAAUGAAUAAAAUAGUUAGCAAUGAAUAUUUUUAUUAAUGUAGCAUUUUCUAUUUUUUGAAUAUAUUUUUAUAUAUAUAUAUAUAUAUUUUUAAGUGGCGGGCCUACGGGUGGGCCCACGGCCGGGCCGGGCUUAAAUUGGGGCCCAUCCAAAAAUGGGCUCGGGUCGGGCUUUAGCCUACUGGGCCGGGCCGCGAGCUUUUUGGAGACCCUUAAUUUUUAUAAAUUACAGAAAAGAAAGAAAGAAAAAAAAAAAGAGAAAUCUACAUAUAGCUGCAUUUGUGUUUGUCAUGGAAAAUGAAAAAUAUUGCUAGAGUUUAUAAUGUAAAACAAAAUGCAAAUGUGAAACGCAAAGCAUAUAAGCUAUUUUAGGGUAAAAUCCAUGAAUGACCAAAUGGCCCAAAAAAAAGAUCAAAUUGGAAAUACGAUCGGUCAACGGUUGAAUCGAUUGGUGCAAUCCAAUUUUCAAAACCAUGAAAAUUUUAAUAUAUGACUUAAGCAUGUAAGUUUGAUAUAACAACGAGUAAAAAAUAAAUUAUAGAAUCCCUUUAGAUGAAAAAAGAUUUUAAUAAUUAUAAAUUUUUAUGAGAUGGAUAUGAUUUAUUAAGAUAAUUUUAAAAAAUAAUAAAUAAAAUUUAAUAUUAAAUUUUAUUUAUAAGAAUAAAAUAUCUUAAGAUAAUUAUGAGGGUAGGUAGAGGAUGCUAUUUUUAUGAGAAGCAUAAUAUGAUGCGUUUUGCAUUAAAAAGUCAAAUUCAUCCACACAUGUCCAUGUCUAUGAAACACAUUACACCGAACAUUAUUUUCAAAUUCGGACAUUAUUUUCAAACCCAACCUACGUAAGGCAUGUUUUUUUUUUUUUUUUUCUUUUUAAUUAUUAAAUUAGUUGUAUUUUGGUUCAAAACUCACGUGGGAAGAAGACUAGAGGGGGAACAUUUUUGUUGCGAAGCUAUACGGAAUAAAAUUUAUUCAGAAGCCGGUCAAAACUCAAAUUUAUCUGCGGAACUUUUGUACUUAUCUUUUGACAAUUGGAAUGCUUCCCUACAAAUUAACUAAAUUAAUAGUCUCCUUGUUUUAUCAGAAGCGAAGGAAAAAGUAGGACUCAUGCAUCGUACAACACAAAUAGGCAGAUCUUUAGUCAUAGAUGGUGCAUGCCGUAAAGUAGCCGUCUUGAGCUUGGUAAGAAACCAAGCUAUUAAAACUUGACUUGAACUGUUCAUUCUCAAGGGGGUAAGUGCCAGCCAGGGUUCAAAUUUUAUGAUGCGGGCAUGCAAGACUUAUACCAAUCUGCCGUUCUAAUAAUAGAAUGUAGAAGACACCAAGCACCUCCUGCAUGCAUCUUGAGGCGGUGUAGACACGCAUCCCAAGGCGAAGUUGUUCUCUACGACCUAAGGAUCAAUUUAGUAAUUGUUUUAAAAAAUAGUUUUUUGAGGUCAAUUUUUGAAAAUUAUUUUUAAAAUUUUUAAAAUAAAAAUAUGUUAGAAAACCUAAAAUAUAACAUGUUUUUAAAUUUUUUAAAUAUAUUUUAAAAAUAAUUUUUAUAUAUUUUUAAUUCUUAUAUUUAUAUAAUUAUUUUUUAAAACAACGGUUAGAAAACAAGUAAAAACAAAUAAAUUUUUUUUAAAAAAAAACAUUCUAUUUUAUGUUAUUAAUAACUUUUAAUUAUCAAAAGUUUUAUUUUAUAUUUUUUGUUUUAAAGAACAAAAAGCCUGCUCAAAAAAACAGUUGCCAUAACUUUUUUCUGAUCUGUAGUGAUCCUAGGAAGGCUGUUUUCUAAAUAUAGUAAUAUAAUAAAAAAAUGUGGUCAUAGUAAGAAAAUACCGUUUGGACAUGUCCAUGGUAUUAUGCAUAUGCUUGAACAGGGAAGCUACCCACAGUUUAACCACAGUAAUCCAAUAGCAACAUCUAAGCUACCAUGGAUUUCCUUCUCCAAUGCCUAAACCCUGCCAUGGUUGGAGCAUUUGCAAUACUUGUCCUCUCCUACUACCUGUUAUUAUGGCGGUCUGGAGCUGGUAAGGGCAGAAUGGCACCUGAAGCUGCUGGUGCAUGGCCCAUAAUAGGUCACCUACACCUCCUAGGUGGGUCUAAGAAUUUGCCCCACUUACUUUUGGGAACCAUGGCCGACAAGUAUGGAGCAGUAUUCAGCGUUCGGCUGGGAUUGGAAAGAGCUGUGGUGGUGAGUAGUUGGCAGAUGGCCAAGGAAUGCUUCACCACCCAUGACCUGGCUCUGGCCUCCCGUCCUCAACUUGUAAUCUCCAAACAAUUGGGAUAUAACGAUGCCAUGUUUGCUUUCUCUCCUCACGGUGCAUACUGGCGGGAAGUGCGAAAGAUAGCCACUCUAGAGCUCCUCUCGAACCGCCGGCUAGAGUUGCUGAAGAACGUCCGAAUCUCAGAGGUGGAGACAUGCAUGAAGGAACUAUACAAGCUUUGGGCUGAGAAGAAAAACGAGGCAGGCGUUGUUUUGGUGGACAUGAAGCAAUGGUUUGGGGACUUGACUCUGAACGUGAUUCUUAUGAUGGUUGCUGGAAAACGAUAUUUCGGUUAUACAGCCGAAAGUCAAGAGAAAGAGACCCAGCGGUGCCAGAAAUCGAUUAGGGAAUUCUUUCGUUUGUUGGGUCUCUUUGUGGUGUCGGAUGCCCUUCCUUUUCUUGGCUGGCUUGACGUGGGUGGACAUCUGAAAGCCACGAAGAAGACUGCAAAAGAAAUGGAUGGUAUUGCUCAGGAAUGGUUAGAGGAACACCGACAGCGAAAAGAUUCGGGUGAAGCUAAUGGUAACCAGGACUUAAUGGACGUGAUGCUGUCCAUUCUGGCUGGCACGGACCCUACCGGCUAUGAUGCCGAUACAAUCAACAAAGCCACAUCCCUGGUAUGCACAUUAUUCCUCGAGCACCUUUAUAUGCUACUAAAAAAAAUGACAUUCUUCUCAAGACAUAAUUUCAUGCUUUAUCCUCUUUAGUCGGGACUCUCAGACUCUCGAGAGUACUCACACCUUCAAUGGAAUAACUUUCUGUUGCUGGUUGAAGCUAGUCAAAGUCAAUACUUUUUAAAAGAUAAUAUUAGAUUUAUAAAAGUUUUAUCAAUUAUGAAAGAAUUUUUUGCAUCAGCGCAAAUAGAAUUUUUUUACUUAAAAAUAAAACGUUUUUGAUUUCAUAUUGUGUUUUAUUAUACGUUGUUAUUUGUCAAAAGAGUAACAUGAGAAGCUUCGACAAGCAAUUAUAAUGAAAUACAACCCACCUGAGAAUCUGAGCGUAACUAGAAUUAUGACGAACCUCUGGCUUGGGUGUUUGGGCUGGGCUGGUAAUGAUCCAACUCUCCUCUGGGUGGCUGGCCCAUUCUUGUCAGAAGAUCAUGAAAGUGUGUUCAUUAUUCCUCAUGCUUUGAGGCCUCAUUGACUGGGCUUCUUGAUCUUGAGUUGGUUAGACAAUUACGCCUUUCAAAGACUCCUCGUCAUAAUAAAUACAGGGGCUUUCCCUCGUAAAUUUAAGGAUUUUUAUAUUUUAUAUUUUAUUUUAAUUUUGAAGGCCAACAUGAACUUUUAUAAAAUGCUAAAUUUAUGAGCGAGUUUCAAAUUCAAGCUACUUUUGAUCGACGGACACUAAACUCUAACUCUAGAAGCAGACUCCUAUUGGUUUCUAAGGGGCACUCACUCUUGAAAAUAAAUAAAUAAAUAAAUUGAAGCCUUUUCCUCCUUAAUCCUGUUAGUAGUUAUAAUUUUAUUAACAUUAGUUAAUGUUUUGUACUUGACAGAUUUUGAUUGCAGGAGGCAGUGACACUACAUCUGUUACUCUAACAUGGGCGAUCUCACUUUUAUUGAAUAAUCCAUGUAUGUUAAGAAAAGCCCAAGAAGAAUUGGACACUCAUGUUGGUAAAGGGAGAUUGGUAAAUGAAGUGGAUUUAAGCAAGUUGGUCUACCUCCAAGCAAUUGUUAAAGAGACAUUGAGGUUAUAUCCCGCAUUUCCACUUUCAGGACCACGCCAAUUUAACCAAGAUUCCAUUUUAGGUGGUUACCGUAUCCCAAAAGGCACUCGUCUUGUGUUGAACCUCACUAAGAUCCAAAGAGACCCAAGUAUAUGGUUGAACCCAACAGAGUUUCAACCAGAAAGAUUCCUCACUACUCACAAAGACAUUGAUAUGAGGGUCAAAAAUUUUGAGUUUACACCAUUUGGUGGUGGAAGAAGAAUUUGCCCUGGUGCAACUUUUGCCCUUCAAGUGCUACACUUAACAUUAGCCAAUUUCUUGCACAAAUUUCAACUUUCGACUCCAUCAGAUGCAACAGUUGAUAUGAGCGAGAGCCUUGGGAUAACAAACAUCAAAUCCACUCCACUUGAAGUUCUCAUCUCGCCACGUUUGUCUUCUUGUGAUCUUUAUGAGUAAAACCAAUGAAUGUUGAGAGAGACUAUUUCAAGAAACCUAGUAUUAUAUAUAGGAAAUAAAAAUACAAAUAAAAUUUGUACAUGUGGUACAAGUUUAAAAUAAUAACUAAUGAGUACUAUACUUUUUUAAUUUUAUCUUAGCUUGAAUUUUGGUGUUUUUUUUUUCUCCUUGUAGAAGAAAAAGUGGCAUAUAGCAUUUUUCUUUCGGUAUAGAUAGUGAAAAAUAAGUAUGCACUUGACCAUAUGCAUACGUGUGCAAUAGACUUAAUGAGUUGCAAGUUGAUAAUUGAUCUGUCUUUUGGUAGAUUUUAGUUGCCUUCUUGUACAUCAUUAAAGUAGAAGAUAAAGACGAAAAUUAUAACUUCACCCAUUCAAUUAAAAAUCAAUUUAAUUGAAUUUAAAGAAGAAAAUGGUUGGUUCGGUUUGACUAACAAUAAUUGAUUCGUCGGUUUAUUUUGUUUCAAUUUGUUUUGGUUUGUUGUAACAAUAAAAAUCAUUUUUUUUGGUUAAUUUGGACUAAAAAAAAAAAACCAUGAUUAGAUAAAAACUAUAAAUGUGCAUAUGAAGUUGUAUCGAAUGUGAAAGCUUUUCAUCAAAUUAAUAAUAUAACCAAUACUCAUAUUAUUGAUGUAAAUAUAGAACUUCUAGAUAAGUUCAAUUUGUUUUACUAUUGAUUUUUUAAAUAGGUAACCGAAUUGGUCUAAUUCAAUUUUAUAUUUUAAAACCCAAUAUUAUUAAAAGAAAAAUUGCUAAAAAUUAGUGGAUUAGGGUUAGUUCAUUGAUUCUGUCUACACCCCAAAAAGAAGAGUGUCCACUUCGUAUUGUCAACUUUGUGUGCUUAUAAGUUACAAUUUUGCACCAUGAGAUUCACAUUUGUACUUAUUAUUGCUAAUUUUGUGUGGUCAUAAGUUAUAAUUUUACCCCACUAGAUUCACAUUUGCUAGCAUCAUAAUUGACUUUCUACAUCCAUGCAUUCAUGAAUCAUUACAUUUCAAUACUGUAUUACCAUUUUGGUGCUAAACAAGAAGACUCGUCUUUAAAGUACUCAAGCAAACCCUCACCAAUUUUAAUCAUUUUUCAAUUUAGAUGAAUGGGAGCAACAACACUAGAACAAUGAAGUAGAUGAUGAAAUAAAAUAAAAAACAAAGAUAGUAUACAAACUCUAAUUUUAUUGGUUUGUCAUAGUCUUGACUUAUAUGCACUCUCCUCAAACUUUAAAAUUCUGCUAACUUCUAAUCCUUCAAGCCAAUCUUAAACUCUUACAUUUUGAUUCUUGAUUCCAAAAGACCUUCUUACACUUGCCUCAAUAGAUUCUUUACUUUUGAAUACACUAGUCACAAGUUGUUAACAAUUGAACAAAAUUAAUCUUUCUAAAUCUUAAUUAGUACAAGUUUAAACUUGAGAAAAUACAAGAGGAAAUUAGGAUGUUUUGUCUUAGAUAAGAUUUAUAAGUUAAUCAAGAAUUUUACAUUGAGAACAAAGAGUUAAGAUCAAUUCAGUUAAGUGAGAUUGUAGGAUCUAAUUAGUUUGAGAUCUUAAGCGGUCCUGUUAUAAUCUUAUUAUUUUAUUCCAAAAUUGCCUAAGAGGGAAGUAGUAAUUUAGGACAACAAUUCCCUCCCAAAGUUUAUUGGUUUGAAACUAAUACUUUAUUAUACCAGCAUGUUUGAGUUGAAAACACAAAAAUUGAAGCUAAGGCAAGUACUUUACAAUUCGGAUUGGGUUGCAUCGAGCUUUGGUGGUAACUACUUGGGAGAUGGCUAAAGAAUGCUUGACCGCCAAUGACCAGGUUUCAUCCUCGCGUCCCGAACUUUUAGCCGCAAAACAUUUGGGCUACAACUACGCCAUGUUUGGUUUCUCUCCAUACGGUUCUUACUGGCGUGAAGUGCGCAAGAUAAUCAGCCUAGAGUUACUCUCUAACCGCUGCCUAGAGCUGCUGAAGGACGUCUGUGCUUCAGAAGUGGUGACAUCCAUAAAAGAGCUAUACAAGCUCUAGGCAGAGAAAAAAAAUGAAUCGGGCCUUGUCUCGGUGGAAAUGAAGUAGUGGUUUGGAGAUUUGACUCUGAACGUAAUUCUUAGGAUGGUGGCAGGGAAGCGUUAUUUCAGUGCUUCAGAUGCAAGUGAAAAUAAACAGGCGCAGAGGUGCUGGAGAGUGUUCAGGGAAUUUUUUCAUUUGGUAGGGCUCUUUGCGGUGGCGGACGCUAUUCCUUUUCUUGGAUGGCUCAACUGGGGGAGACAUGAGAAUACCCUAAAGAAGACAACAAUAGAAAUGGACAAUAUUGCUCAAGAAUGGUUAGAGGAGCACCGUUGGAAAUCAUGAUAAUAGUACGCAAGACUUCAUGGAUGUGAUGCUGUUAGUUCUUGAUGGCAAAAAUCUUGGUGAGUACGAAAGCCACAUGCUUGUGUGGACCCGCAUUUUUCACGUGCACCUCCACUCAAUCGGCGAGACUCGUUUUUUUUUGGUGAAGAUGUUGUUUUUGGAAAAGUCGGAGUCGCCACUUAUUUUAUUUUAUUUUAAAGGGAAAAUAAAACAAGAAAUAAAACCCUAAAAAAUGACUCCAUAGUUUUUUGGAAAAGCAUGUCUUUGAAAAACCCGAGUCUAGGUCCGGGGAUCAGGUUACUUAUUGGGAAGGUACCUCCAGGAGAUAGCACCUCUCUAAGCCCUACAAAGGUCCCUACUGACUAUGUUGAAGGAAAUGUGGCAAUCAACUGAUUAAUUGAGGGUACCUAGGUAGGCUAAGGUGAUCUCAAAACUAGCAUGCUAAACAAGAAAAACCAAUCACGCCCAUAAAGGAAAGUUAGGAUGCGUACCUGGACCACUUCUUAAGCGCUAUCAUAAAACAUCAAUGGUUAGUUUAGAUAAUAUAUCACUCAGUAUGUGUUUUAUCAUGAAUGAUCAAACAAUGUAGCAAAUAUCAAGACAUCCCAAGCAUUCUCAAACAUAGGUAUAAAUCAUAAUGACGAUCAUAUUUACAAAAUUUGGAAGGUAGGUGACAGGAGACGUACCUGGAUAGCAUAGAUAACUUGUAACGUGCUUUCACAAGACAUGAGAGGUUAGAUAACAAACAAUAAAAUAAGAAGUCCUAGCAUGUUUGUUAUCUAAUUAGCAUAGAAAAAAAAAAUUAUCAUAGUAUAUGAAACCAUCAAUUAUCACUUAUAUCUUCUGUAUAAUUUCUAAAAAAUAAAUAGACAUGAUUUCCUUAAAUAGCAAAGGGGGCAACAAAGAUGAGUUUUGAAAAUUUUCCUUAUGUAGGGGCUUCACCAAUUCCCCGAUUGAUAUACACAAAUCUAGUUUAGAAUUAUCCCAUUUGUUUGGGACCACAAGCUUGGAUUCAUGUCUUACUCAAAACUGUAAUUUUAUUUGAAAUUUAAGAAAGAUGCAAACAGAUCAAAACAUGGUUGCACAUUAUUUGAGAAAAUGAGAUUUCGAUUCUAAGAACUCUAAAUGAAUUUUUGAAAUGGAUUCCUAAAGGGAAUGAGAUUUUGAUUCUAAGAACUUUAAAUGAAUUUUUGAAAUGGAUUUUUAAAGGGAUUUUUUUUAGAAUAGUGUUAUGUUUUAAAAAUAAAAGAAAUUAAUUUCAAAACAAUAAAACGUAUGAAUCAAAUACCAAGCAAAACAAAAGAGAACAAAAUCACAAAGUAGAAUUUUUGACAACCAAGAAAAUUGAAGUGGUGAGAAUGGAAGCCAAUCUUCACUAUUUUUCGAUGGUCUCCAAAAAGUAAAUUUUACUAGAGACUACCAAAGCAAUAAACUAUUCAAACUUGGAUCAAAUAAGCUAACGAAAUACCCACCAAGAAUUAAUGACGAAAAUUCAAGAAACACAUCUACUAAGAAUAACAAUCAAGAAUUAGCAUGAGAUCAAUUAAACACACAAACGCAUCUAGAUUAACUAAAAUGAACCAAAUUAAAUCAAAGCAAACAAUAAUUUUCAAACAUAGAAUUAACUUUAUUAAUGAACUAAUAUUAUAUAAAAUACCUAAAUCGAAUAGAUGUGCAAAACUAAAUCAAAGUAAACUAAAGGCAUGAAUUCUCAAAAAUAGAAUUGAUUUUAUUAAUGACCUAAAAUUAUACAAACUCCUAAAAUAAUUAAAAUGAAUCAAUUUAAACGAAAGGAAACUAAAACAAAAUAUGAAUUCAGGGAAUCUAAUUUCGAAAUAAACUUACAUUAUUAAAAUGAAAUCUAGGCUUAAAAACUAUUAAACACUAAUUAAAGCCAAUCUAAACUUAAAUUCUUAACACACAUGAUCAAUUAUUUUAACAAACUAACAUUUUACCUUAACCACAAAUUAAAUUAAAAAACUACUUGAGACUAAAUUUCUAACCUAUAAAAUUAAACUCAUAAUCAAAUGGAUAAGUUGAUGACACAGACAAAUAAAUAUGAAUAAAAUAAAAUAUGAAUGAAAUGAAAUACGAACACAAGGAAUUAAAUAAUUUUUUCUUUUUUUUAAUAAACUUAUGUUAGUAAAAUAAAUUUGAGCUUAACAAACAUUUUUAUCACUAAUUAAGGCAAGUUUAAAAUAUAAUACUUAACACAUAAAAAAUCAAUCAUUUCAACAAACUAUAAUUUUAACUAAACUUAAAGUCAAUUCAAACAACCUUCAAUAGAUUUUUUUAUUUUUAUUUUAAACUGAAUUUUUAACCCAUAGAUUCAAUCUCAUUGAUAAAUAAAUAAAUAAAUAAGUUACAAAGCAUUAGCUUAGUAGCAAAUAAAUAAAUAAACAACUAAUAAUUAAAUGAAUCACAACUAAACUAAAUAAAGAUCAAACUAUAUUAUUUUUUUUAUUUUUCAAAAGUAGAAUUACAUGAAUUUGUAUUUUUUGAAUUUAAUAUAAUAUACCAAACUAAACUUAAACACAAUUCUCAUUCUGCCAUAUUAAAACAAAAAAUGCAUGGAGUUAGUAAAUAAAGUCAAAUGACACAAUAUAAUAAUAAUUCCACUAAAAAACCAAUCAAACUAAUUAAAAUUCUAAAAAAUAUCAACUAAAACAAGAUCAAUCAAAAUUAGCGUGUAUAUAUAUAUAUAUAUAUAUAUAUAUAUAUAUAUAUAUAUAUAUAUAUAUAUAUAUAUCUUUAUUUUUAGUUAUUUAUUUAUUAAAACACGAAUACAUCAACACGAAACGAAAUAAACUAACCAACUUACAUUCUAAAACUAAAAGGAUAAAUCAUGAAUUAAAAUUAACAACCUUUGGAUAUGAAAAGAGUGGCAUGGAAUCAAUUGAAAUAAUAAACUAAAAUUUAAUAACAUCUAAACUAAAAGAUAAAUUAAAACUAAAUUAAAUGAAAUUAUGAACUUCCUAAUUGAGAAAAAAAAUAAUAAUAGUAAUAAAUCUAAUCAAAAUUCUAAAUUUUAAACCAUCAUCAUGAAUUGCCCAAACUCUUAAAAAAUCCUAACCUUUCCAUUAUCAACAAAAAUUGCCUAAACCAAUAUUUAAAAAAUCUAAUUUGUCAAACUAAGAAUAAUAAAUUGUAACUACAUUAAACAAAAAUCAUAAUCUUCAAGCUAGAAUAAUGAAUCAAUAAUAAUUAAUUUAUUUAGAUAAGAAAAAUUAAAAAAAUAAAUUAAAGAUUAACAUCUAAGCUAAACAUGAAUUUACAAUAAAAAUUUAAAAUACAAAGAUUGAAUGGGAAUAAUUUUAAAACUAAUAAAUUGUCAUCAGGAAAUAUAUUGAUAUUAGAAAUAAUUAAACUAUAUAGAUAAAACUCUAAAACGAUUAUGCAUUGAAUUGAAUAUUUCUUGAAUCAAAAUUGAAAUAGGAAGGAUAAAUUCACAUUUUCCGAAACGUGUAGGUCACUUUCCACUAGUAGGAUUUCUAUUUUUUAUUUUAUUUUAAAAGAAUCAUUGCCAAGGAUGCAUGGUGUGGUGGCUGCCCAUGCACUGUAGCUGAAGACUUCUUCUUGGUGGUCUUUGAAACCUAGGAGCAUGGCUGAAUGUUUCCUUUCUUCCAAUAGUGCAACUGCUCCGGAAGUCCUCUCAACGGUGCGGCUGAUUCAGAAAUCGUCAUCUCAAUGGUGCGGCUGUUUCGGAAAUCUUCCUCUCAAUGGUGCGGCUACACCCUCUCACAUUCCAGAAAAUAAUCUUACUCCUCCCACCUGGAUCCCCUUUAGUGCGGCUGUUGAUCUCCUUCCCGUUUGGUGUCACCCUCUCUUCUGAUGCAUGCUGAAAGCGUCCCAAGAAUGGUGCAGCUGGUCGUUCUUGCUUCUCCAAAGGCGUCAGACCCUCUUAUGCGUGCUGAAAGCGUCCUAAGUAUGGUGCGGCUGGUCGUUCACCCCUCUCCAAAAAAAACUCUCCCCCCUCUCACUUUCUAACCUUCCUCUCCAGUACUCUGCCAACAUGGGAAGACAACUCACCAGCCCGGAGAGCCUCAAUCAUCCACGUCAGUCUAGCAUCAUCAGGACUCUCCUUCCUGAACAUAGUCUUCAUUCCGUCCAAAUACCCAUUGAACAUUUCCUUUUUCCAUGCCAAAAGAACUUUGGUAAUUUUCUUUCUUCAUUCAUUUCCUUCCAUUAGAAGCACAAUCAACACAUGCAUGGGUGCAUACUUGCUUUCCUUCUUAGUUCAUUUUCUUCCAUACGUCCUGUCCUCUUCCAACCACCUUGAAUCCAUCCUUUAACCCGCUGAAUAUUUCCUUUCCAUAAUCACACAUGAAAAUUCCUCUUUUUAAUUUUUUUUUUUGACUGAAUAUCCUCUAUUUCCUGAAAGACUCACACAUGAAUAUCCUUGCCAAUACACGUUUUCAACCUUCCUUUUUCUCUCCAGUGAUGAUUCCUUUGGUGAGUUUCUCUACAAAAAUAUAAAGAAAAUUAGACUUAAUGAAUGAAUCCCAAGGUGUUUUAGAAAAUUAUAAAAUAAAUUAACAAAAUAAUUAAGUAAAUAAUGAUAAUAAUAAUAAUAAUAAUAAUAAUAAUAAUAGUAAAGUGUCAUGCAAUCUAUGCAACCAUGCAAUCAUGUGAGCAACUCAAGUCAUGCAAAGAAUGUCUAAUGGGCCUCGGGUGUAUCUAAUGGACCUAAAGGGUCUAAGUGGACCAAUGAUGGUGCCUAAUGGGCCUAAGUGGGCCUAGGGUGGUGCCUAAUGGACCUAAAGGGUCUAAGUGGGCUUAGGGUGGUGCCCAAGUGUAUCUAAGUGAACCUAAAGUGCUUAAGUGGAUCUAAGUGAACCUAAAGUGUUUAAGUGGAUCUAAGUGAACCUAAAGUGCCUAAAUGGGCCUAAGUCUAAAUUAGGGCUACUAAGAGUCACAAUAGGGUUAAAUGAAUCCCUCUACCAAAGUCUCCGAGGUGGCUCAAAAAAGGUAAGUAGUAUGAGUAGCUAUGGGCCACUAAGGAACUACUGUGGAGCACUGGAAGUGAACUUAAAGACAUGUGCUAAAGGAACAAAAUUGAGGGUCUACAACCUGGUAUGAGUAUUAAUGGAACACCCACGUAACAUUGAUAAAGACAAAUUGCAAGGAUAAGGCAAUGAUCGAACAAAUAACCUAUGAUUAAACAAGAUCAUUCAAAAUCAAUUUUGUAUAUUUUUGUAACCGUUAUUUGAUGUGUUGACUUGAACAAUUCUGUAACUGUUGUAUAGUUGUAGGCAAAUUGAUGUACAUUGCCGCAAAUAGUUUUUCUUAGCUAUGCAUAUAAGUAAACUCUUAUUACAUCAAUAAAAGUGUGAAAAUUUUCAUUGAAAACAACAAUGUUAUUUCUUCUAUACUAUUUAUAUUUGCAUAGGGCUAGCUUCUUUUCCAUAGUUUUUCUUUUGUUUAUAUGUUUUAAUUGAUGCAUAUUCACUUUCUUAUUCUCUUAAUUAAAUUGCAAUAAUUAAAACUCUAAUUUAAAUAAAUUUUAAAAUUUAUUUUUAACUAAAAACAACAAUAUACAUAUACAAAUAUAUACUGCUUAAGUAAUUAAUUUUUUUAAAAAAUAUCCUUUGAGAACAUCUCAGACAAACUAAGACAUGCUUCUAGGGAAAUCUAAAUAUAAUGUUUUUAAAAGCUACCUUGUAAUUUUAUUUUCGAGCAUGUUGCAUUAUAUAUACUUUCCUUGAAUUGAUUUUCCAAAUUUUAUUUUUGUCAACAAUAAGGGUUAUCUACGUUUUGGAAGAUAUCUUUAAUUUCCCCUCCAAAGAAUAAGUGAUCUUGAAACUUAUAAGUUAAUUAUGUUCACUUGAUCGAAUAAGAGAUUUGAACAAUCUUGUAAAAAGAUGUUAAGCAGAUGGUUGAUUUCGAAAUUAUCCUUUAAACUAUAAAGGGAAAUAGAAAAAAAUACUAUUAUUUUGGUACAAGACCAUAUUGUUUAGUAGUGUCUCUAGGGAGUUCCAUUAGAUGCUAUCAAACAAUUAAUUUGGUGUCUCACUAACGUAAUUUUGAGUUGUUGAAUUUUGGGUUUUGCAAACUCUAAUUGCUGGAGGUAGUGACACAACUGUUGUCUCUCUAACCUGGGUAUUCUCUCUUUUACUCAACAACCGCGACACCUAAAAAAAAGCUAAAAAAAAAAAAUAUUCAAGUUGGCAAGGAAAGAUUAGUGAAUGAACAAGAUAUAAGUAAGUUGGUCUAUCUUCAAGCCAUUCUUAAAGAAAUUGAGAAAAUAAAGGCUAAUCUUAAAAGAUAAAAACACCCAAGAGGGGGGUGAAUUGAGUUUUUAAAAAUUAUUUUUAAACACAACAAAUUUAAGCAUAAGAGAAUCAAAUAUAAAAAGAUAAGGUUAGAGAAAUCAAACUCAGAUUUUAUAAUGGUUCAACACUUCCUUACCUACAUCCACUCUCCUCAAGCUCUUAACCGAGUGAGGGUUCCACUAACAUGAAGUUUCAACCAAACUUCUAAUUACAUUUACACUUAGAUUCCGGCUCCAAUGGGCUCUUACACAAUCUCUUCAAGUUUCAACUCACUUAAAGACUUUAACACUAAGUUAACAAGUAUGAAUCUCUCAACUUAGCUCAACAAUGACUCAAAUACAACCCAAAGCUAGGAUGAAUCACAAAGGUGCACUAAAGGAUAUGUAAAUGGAGAUUUAAUGCACCAAGAAAAGAAAUGAGAGCUUUUAAGGCAAGAACAAAUAGGUAAGCAAAUAAAUGCAUGUGUUCUCUUACUCAUAAAUGAAGUGGAACUCUUUAUUUAUAGGUUUUUAACAUUAUAAGCCAAAAAACCAAAAAAACAGUCUCAAUCGGUUGAGCUGAGGGUCAAUCGGUUCACUAGCCAUUGCAGCAUUUAAUGCUUGUCAGGUGACAGUUACCCUCGACCGGGAAGACAAAUCCCUCGACUGGGAAGGAAAGGCUACUGAAAAAGAGAGAGUCUUUUUUGCACCUCUCGGUCGGACCUCAACAGGAAAGGGGGAGCCGGUCGACCGGUACCCUAGUCAAUUGAGCCUGUUUGGACAUAGCCUUGAUCGGUUCACAAUUUUUUACCCGAAAACCUAUCUUUUUCUAGUAUUUUUGCUUCAAACACAUAGGUAAGGUCUUCAGAUAAAAUAUAUGCCAAUUUUGAAACGUUUAGCUUAAGGUUCAUUUGAUAGAUCUCGGAUUUUGGUGAAAAUGUAACUUUAAAGCAUAAAUCGAGUUUUUCAAAGAUGCAUGAAAUAAUAUGUAAAUCCUAAGUGUAUCAAUGCAUUCAUCUUACAUAUGUUUCCUAUCAUUAAAGGUCUUUCCAAAAGUCUUGAUCUUGCAUCCAUUAGGUCAUUUGAUGAAUUUCCAAAUUAACACCUGAAAUUUUUUAUAAUUUAAACCAAUUAGUAACUUAACUAUGAUUUGUUAUCAUCAAAACAUGAUUAGGAGAACCCUUGGGCUAACAGAGACAUUACGGUUAUAUCCACCAAGACCACUUGGAGGACUAUGCCAAUUUAUUGAGGAUUGCACCUUGGGUGGAUACCAUGUCUUUAAAGACACUUGUUUAAUAAUGAACCUUUCGAAGAUCCAAAAUAUCCAAGAAUCUAGUUAGAUUCGAUAGAAUUCUAACCAGAGAGGUUUCUCAUCAACCAUAAGAAUGUUGAUCCUUAGGGAAAACAUUUUGAAUUUAUACCAUUUGGAGCUGGUCAAAGAGCAUGUCUAGGAAUAGCUUUUGGUCUUCAAAUAUUAUAUUUAGCAUUAGCUAGUUUCUUACAUGCAUUUGACUUUUCAACUCCAUCAAAUGAACAUGUUGAUAUGCGAGAGAGCUUUGGACUUACAAAUAUGAAAUCUAUCCCACUCGAAGUUUUCAUUUCUCAAAUCUACCCCACUUGAAAUCCUCAUUUCUCUACACUUAUCUUCUUGUAGUCUUUACAACUAAAACAUUGAAAUGAAGAGGUCAAAGUUGACCCAGCUAGUCUUGGUUUAAAGACAUAUAGAGUUAGGUUCAAUCAAUCUAUGAUAAGAUUUGAGAUUUGUAUUAAAAGUAGGUUGGACUAAGAAUGAUGUACAAUAAACUAAAGUACUAUCCAUGCAAAUAAAGUAUAACAUUAUAUAUUAUUUGGUUAGCAUUCUGAAAUGUAACAUCAUAAUUAUUUCUUUGUUUUGUCUAAUUUAUCGCCAUUUCACCCCCUCAUCUUCAUCAAAACAAAUAAUAUAUAGUCUUUCUAUUUUUAAAAAUCAAAUUCGAUUCCCAAUUAUAUAAGAAUUUUACUAUUACUUUAUAAUAAACUUUACUUUAGUCUUAAUAACUUUGACUUGUAAAUAUGUUCUCCAUCCUUAAUUAAAUAUACAGAUAAUUUCAUUCAUUUUUUCUAAGAUUGGAGUUAAAUUUACCCAUCCAUACUUAACUUGAAAUUUUCUUAAAUAUCUGUUUUUUUUUCAUUUUUUUUACACGUAUAUCUUUUAAUUUAAAAUAAAAAAUAUUUAAUAAAAUUUCAAAAUAAUAGUUGUCAGACAUAUUUAUGUGACAUUUUCGAAGAGGUGAAUGAAACUAAACUUUUCUUUAAAUAUAAAAUCAUAAAAAUUUAAUAUAUGCAAGCAUGAUCCGGUCUAAAUAUGAUAUAUAAUUUGUGUCAUUUCAAAAAAUCACAGAAGAUCCUUUUGGCAAAGUGGCCCCCCAUUUGAGUUGUAUUCCGUAAUUGGUCACCACAUGUUAUAUCAUUUCAAAGAUUAUGGAGGAUCAUGUUGCCAAUCAUUAUCAGAAGAAGUACAGCUUCCUCUAUAAAACUAAUCAAUACGAUAUUUAGCACAUGCAAACAAAUUUGGAAGGAUCUGAAAGUCAAGUCUACGGGCCACCCCUUUACGACUUGUUCGAAAAAGCACAAAUCAAUGGUGGUGCCACUUGCCAGCAGUCUGUUUCAAUAUCUAAAUGUUACCUCGGUAAGAUUGCUUGACAUACUUUUUGUCUCCUACUAUCUCAUGGAGAUCCAGAGUUGGUAAGAUAAGAAUAGCAUCCGAAGCUGCUGGUGCAUGGCCAAUAAUCGGUCACCUCCUCUUAGGUGGGUCACAACUUCCUGGGAUUUUUUAUAAAAUUACGGUAGAUUUAAAAUUAAUUUUUUUAAAAUGCAGCAUAUUAAUGCUUGACAGCUGACAGUUACCCUCGAUCGGAAAGACAAAUCCCUCGACUGGGAAGGAAAGGCUACUGAAAAAGAGAGAGUGUUUUUUGCACCUCUCGGUCGGACAUCAACAGGGAAGGGGGAACCGGUCGAUCGGUACCCUAGUCAGUUGAGCCUGUUUGGACAGAACCUUGACCGGUUCACAAUUUUUUACCCGAAAACCUUUUUUUUUUUUGGUCUUUUUGCUUCAAACACUUAGACAAUGUCUUCAGAUAAAAUUAUAUACCAAUUUUGAAACGUUUUGCCUAAGGUUCAUUUCAUAGAUCUCGGAUUUUGAUGAAAAUGUAACUUUAAAGCAUAAAUCGAGUUUUUCAAAGAUGCAUGAAAUAAUAUGUAAAUCCUAAGUGCAUCAAUGCAUUUAUCUUACAUAUGUUUCCUAUCAUUAAAGGUCUUUCCAAAAGUCUUGAUCUUGCAUCCAUUAGGUCAUUUGAUGAAUUUCCAAAUUAACACCUGAAAUUUUUUAUAAUUUAAACCAAUUAGUAACUUAACUAUGGUUUGUUAUCAUCAAAACAUGAUUAGGAGAACCCUUGGGCUAACAGAGACAUUACGGUUAUAUCCACCAGGACCACUUGGAGGACUAUGCCAAUUUAUUGAGGAUUGCACCUUGGGUGGAUACCAUGUCUCUAAAGGCACCCGUUUAAUAAUGAACCUUUCGAAGAUCCAAAAGGAUCCAAGAAUCUAGUUAGAUUCGAUAGAAUUCCAACCAGAGAGGUUUCUCAUCAACCAUAAGAAUGUUGAUCCUUAGGGAAAACAUUUUGAAUUUAUACCAUUUGGAGCUGGUCAAAGAGCAUGUCCAGGAAUAGCUUUUGCUCUUCAAAUAUUAUAUUUAACAUUAGCUAGUUUCUUACAUGCAUUUGACUUUUCAACUCCAUCAAAUGAACAGGUUGAUAUGCGAGAGAGCCUUGAACUUAUAAAUAUGAAAUCUAUCCCACUUGAAGUUUUCAUUUCUCAAAUCUACCCCACUUGAAAUCCUCAUUUCUCUACACUUAUCUUCUUGUAGUCUUUACAACUAAAGCAUUGAAAUGAAGAGGUCAAAGUUGACCUAGCUAAUCUUGGUUUAAAGACAUAUGGAGUUAGGUUCAAUCAAUCUAUAAUAAGAUUUGGGAUUUGUAUUAAAAGUAGGUUGGACUAAGAAUGAUGUACAAUAAACUAAAGUACUAUCCAUGCAAAUAAAGUAUAACAUUAUAUAUUAUUUGGUUAGCCUUUUGGAAUGUAACAUCAUAAUUAUUUCUUUGUUUUGUCUAAUUUAUCGCCAUUUUUUCCCUUUCUCUUAUUCCCUCAUCUUCAUCAAAACAAAUAAUAUGUAGUUUUUCUAUUUUUAAAAAUCAAAUUCGAUUCCCAAUUAUAUAAGAAUUUUACUAUUACUUUAUAAUAAACUUUACUUUAGUCUUAAUAACUUUGACCUGUAAAUAUGUUCUCCAUCCUUAAUUAAAUAUACGGAUAAUUUCAUUCAUUUUUUCUAAGAUUGAAGUUAAAUUUACCCAUCCAUACUUAACUUGAAAUUUUCUUAAAUAUCUAUUUUUUUUCCUUUUUUUUACACAUAUAUCUUUUAAUUUAAAAUAAAAAAUAUUUAAUAAAAUUUCAAAAUAAUAGUUGUCAGAUAUAUUUAUGUGAAAUUUUCGAUGAGGUGGAUGAAACUAAACUUUUCUUUAAAUAUAAAAUCAUAAAAAUUUAAUAUAUGCAAGCAUGAUCCGGUCUAAAUAUGAUAUAUAAUUUGUGUCAUUUCAAAAAAUCAUAGAAGAUCCUUUUGGCAAAGUGGCCCCACCUUUGAGUUGUAUUCUGUAAUUGGUCACCACAUAUUAUAUAAUUUCAACGAUUAUGGAGGAUCAUGUUGCCAAUCAUUAUCAGAAGAAGUGCAGCUUCCUCUAUAAAACUAAUCAUAUUUAGCACACGCAAACAAAUUUGGAAGGAUCUGAAAGUCAAGUCUACGGGCCACCCCUUUACGGCUUGUUCGAAAAAGCACAAAUCGAUGGUGGUGCCACUUGCCAGCAGUCUGUUUCAAUAUCUAAAUGUUACCUCGGUGAGACUGCUUGACAUACUUUUUGUCUCCUACUAUCUCAUGGAGAUCCAGAGCUGGUAAGAUAAGAAUAGCAUCCGAAGCUGCUGGUGCAUGGCCAAUAACCGGUCACCUCCUCUUAGGUGGGUCACAACUUCCUGGGAUUUUUUAUAAAAUUACGGUAGAUUUAAAUUUAAUUUUUUUAAAAUGCAGCAUAUUAAAAAAUAUCUUUGAAUAAUAAUAAUAAAAUGACAAAUAAUAAAAAGGAAAGAAAGUUGUCUUGUGGCUAUAAGAAAGAAUAAUAUAAAAGAGAGAGAAGAGGAGAGGCGGAUAGAGAGAAGAGUAGCAGGAAAAAAAAAAAAGAGAACAGGGAGGUGCAUGCUGCAAAUCUUUGGGUGUUCGUAUGACGAGCAAAACGAGUUAUGUUUUGCGUGAAAAUUAAGGUGAAAAUUUUCUUUGACAUGAGGAACAUUCUUUCAAAGUUUGAUUUUAAUUUCAAUGAUUGGAUUUUUUGAUUUGUGGUGAGGUAGUUUAAUCCUAUAACUUUUGUUUAAUAUUUUUUCUUAAAAAAAUAUUAUGGAUUUUAUUACUGGGAGAUAAAUAUGUGUUAUUUGUGUUUUCUUUAUGUUAUUUGAAAUAUGAUUAUUGUUAGGGUGGAUUAUUAUGAUUUUUUUUUUUUUUUAUGUUUGCAAUGAUUUAAUUGAAGAAAAAUUAUUGUGUUGAUUGUUGGAAAUUAUUCAAUAUAUUAAGAAUAAAUAAAAUUUAUAUGAUUAUGGUUUAGACUAUGUUUUGAUGAUAUAUAAAUUAUUGUGAUUUUUUUUGUGGUUAUUUAAUUGAAGAAAAAUUGUUGUGAUGUAAUUGGAAUUAUUGAUUAUGUUUGGAGUAAAUAAAAAUUAUGUCCUAUAAAAUUAUGGAUGAUAACAUGUAAGUUUAUUAUAUUUCAUAUAUGGUUAUAUGAAAAAAAAUGAUGAAAGAUUUUAUGAAAUGGAAAAAGGAAAAAAAAAGAAAAAAAAAAUGAUGAUGAAAAGUAAAAGCCCGUAAAAGACGAAUUAAGAAAGAAAUGAGAUUUCUAGUAUGAAAACUACAAAAAUUUAUCUUAUGAAAACUCUAAAUGGGGAGUGUAUUUGGUACAGAUGCAUAUCAUUAAGUGAAAACCCAAAAACAAUAGUUUGUUACUUUACUGAAUGUAAACAUUUGCAUCAUGUUUUUAUUUGGAAGAAUGACAUGUAUUAAUUACUUGAAUGACGUCAAUGGUAUGUUUGGAUAUAUUAUUAGAGAUUGAAAUGAUUUAUUUAUUUUGUAAAUUUAGAAUUGUUUGAUAUGUUAUUUAUAUAAUUGAAUAAGAAAUGUGAUAAUUUUGAUUAGUUUAAUUUUAUAUGGUUGAUUUUUUAUUUAAUGACUAUAAUGCAUUGUUUUGAAAAUUGGAUCGGACCAACCGGUUCAAUCGCCAACUGGUGAUCUUUCCGGUUCCAUCCUCUCCUUUAAACCGCUAGAUGGUUGAACCGACCACAAACCACUAUUGGCAGUUGGACCGAUGAACCGCUUGGACCAGGUGGUUUUUCAUGAACUGCAUGGCUCAAUUCCAGCCCAGUCUUCCCCCCAUUUUUUCUUUCAUCCAAAUAGUCCAACCUUCCCCUCCUCUUUUUCAUAGGGUCCAAGUGAAAGCCCAAUAAGCCCAGCCUUACAUCUUAAUGGUCUUUAGGCAAAACCUAAACCCAUUUAAACCCCUCAAUGGGUUGUACCUUUGAACCCAUUAGUUACACAAAUAGCUUGAAUGAACUGUGUUUUACGCGCAUAUUCACAUCCACAUCCAUGUGGGAUUGCUGCUAUUUUAAGUCUAAAGAAAAAGCAACGCCACUUAGCUACAACACAAUUUGAUGCAAGUCUAGAAAAUAAAAAAAUCAGCAUGUGUUUCAAAAAAGAUUAAUAAUAUUAAAUAAAAUAAUAUAAUAUUUUCUGAAAUUAUAAAAUUAGUUAAAGUUAAAUAAUUAAAUUUUUACAUAUUCCAUUUAAUAAAGUUCAAAAUAUUAAUAUAUUUAUAUUUAUAUUUUGAUAAUAUCAAAGAUAAAAAAUAAAUAUUUUUAAUUUUUUAAUUUAUAUAAUAUUAUAUUUUGACAUAUAAUUGUUUUCUAUUGACUUAAAUUUUUUAAUUCAUUUGGGUGUAAAACACCUUACAAAACAAUGUGAAAAUGUUCACCCCUUUAUUUUUAUAAAAUUUUUAGAUACAAAUAUAGUUUAUAAGGAACCAUAAGAAAAUCAAGAAGUGUUCCAAAAAGCCUUAACAAAUAAAAGAAAAAUAAUAAUAAUAAUUUUUAAUUUAUAUUACCUUUUUGACAUGUACUAAUUUGAGUUAUAUGAAUUUUUGUAACUUAAAUUAUAUUUUGUUAUUUUGUAAAAUAUUUUUGGAAAUAUUUUUUACUUAGAUUUAUGUAGAUAUUUGGGUUAAUUUGGGAUUAAAUAUUGAUCUAUUCACUGUCAAAUUGGAUAGGAAUAAACUUUAAGGUCAACCCUUUGACCUGAUAUCACUAGUCGGAUUCUGAGUUGCCUUGGGUGUGACUAUAAUGGAUUUUCUUCUCCAAUGCCUAAACCCUGUCAUGGUUGGAGCGUUUGCAAUACUCGUCCUCUCAUACCACCUGUUAUUAUGGAGGUCUGGAGCUGGUAAGAGCAGAAUGGCACCUGAAGCUUCUGGUGCAUGGCCCAUAAUAGGCCACCUGCACCUGUUAGGUGGAUCUAAGAAUUUGCCUCACUUACUUUUUGGAACCAUGGCCGACAAGUAUGGACCAGUAUUCAGCAUCCGGCUGGGAUUAAAAAGAGCUGUGGUUGUGAGUAGUUGGGAAAUGGCCAAAGAAUGCUUCACCACCCAUGACCUGGCUCUGGCCUCCCGUCCUGAGCUUGUGGCCGCCAAAUAUUUGGGAUAUAACUAUGCCAUGUUUGGUUUAUCUCCUCACGGUGCAUACUGGCGUGAAGUGCGUAAGAUAGCCACUCUAGAGCUACUCUCGAACCGCCGGCUAGAGUUGCUGAAGAAUGUCCGAAUCUCAGAGGUGGAGACAUGCAUGAAGGAACUAUACGAGCUUUGGGCAAAGAAGAAAAGCGAAGCAGGCGUUGUUUUGGUGGACAUGAAGCAAUGGUUUGGGCACUUGUCUCUGAACGUGAUUCUUAAGAUGGUUGUUGGAAAACGAUAUUUCGGUUAUGCAGCCGAAAGUAAAGAGAAAGAGGCCCAGCAGUUCCAGAAGGCGAUUAGGGAAUUCUUUCGUUUGAUGGGACUCUUUGUGGUGUCGGAUGCCAUUCCUUUUCUUGGAUGGCUUGACGUGGGUGGACAUGUGAAAGCCAUGAAGAAGACUGCAAAAGAAUUGGACGGUAUUACUCAGGAAUGGUUAGAGGAACACCGACGGCGAAAAGAUUCGGGUGAAGCUGAUGGUGACCAGGACUUCAUGGACGUGAUGCUGUCCAUUCUGGGUGGUAGAGACACUACUGAUUAUGAUGCUGAUACCAUCAACAAAGCUACAUCCCUGGUAUGCACAUUAUUCCUUUAGCAUCUUUAUAUGGUAGUAAAAAAUGAGACAUAAUUUCAUGCUUUAUCAUCUUUAGUCCAGACUCAAGAGUACUUGGGCCUGGGUUGGAAGAACUUCUUAUUUUUGCUUAGUUUCAAGUUGAAACUAAUCAAAAGCAGCGAUUUUUAAAAGGUAAUUAUAAUAGUGGUGUUAUUAAAGGUCAAACAUAAAUAACUUUUUGCAUAAAUCAAAAUAGAGUUUAUAUAUAUAUAUAUAUAUAAAAUAUUUUUCUGAUCUUCAUAUUAAUUUUUCUAAGUCAUAACUUUUUUGAACAAAAUUAGUCAAACCAUAGAACUCUUGAACUUACAGAAAAGGGCUUUCGAUUUCUUAGAAAUAGAUACAUGAAGAGUUUUGUUAUAUGUUUGUUUUUGUCAAAAGAGUAACAUGAGCAGCUUAGACAAGCAAUUAGAAUGAAAUACAACUGGGCUGAGAAGCUGAGUAGAACUAGAAUUAUGUACAACCUCUUGCUAGGAUAAUUGGGUUGGACUUGUAAUGAUAGAGUUCUCCGUUGGAGUUAGGUGGCCCAAAAAGAUUGUGCUGUUUGAAUAGCUGGUCCUCUAAUUUAGGAAGAGGCAGCCGAAUUUGCAACGCUGGGUGGCUGGGCCCAUAGAAAAUAUUCUUGUCAGAAGAUUGUGAAAGUAUGUUCCUUAGUCCGCAAGGUUUGAGGCCUCUUUGAGUGGGCUUCUAGAGUCGGUUAGACAAUUGGGCCUUUCAAAGGAUUUCCUAAAUUUACAAUUUUUUUAGCCCAACAUGAAUUUUUAUAAAAUGCUAUAUUUAUACGUGAGUUUCAUAUUCAAGCUAAACAUACCCAUUUUGAUUGGAAAAAAAGGGAAAGAACAUGGGGCCUUUUUUCCACCCUUAAUCUUAUCACUACUUUUAAUUUUAUUUUAUUAGUUAAUGGUUUGUAUUUCACAGGUUAUGAUUGGAGGAGGCGCUGACACUACAUCUGGUACUUUAACAUGGGCAGUCUCACUUUUAUUGAACAAUCCACACAUAUUAAGAAAAGCUCAAGAAGAAUUGGAUGCUCAUGUUGGUAAAGAAAGACUAGUAAAUGAAAUGGAUAUAAGCAAGUUGGUUUACCUUCAAGCAAUUGUUAAAGAGACAUUGAGGUUAAAUCCAAUAGCCCCACUUUCAGGACCGCGUCAAUUCAUCCAAGAUUCUAUUUUAGGUGGUUACCAUAUCUCAAAAGGCACUCGUCUUAUAUUGAACCUUACCAAGAUUCAAAGAGACCCGAGAGUAUGGUUGAACCCAAUGGAGUUCCAACCAGAUAGAUUCCUCACCACCCACAAAGAUGUUGAUGUUAGAGGUAAACAUUUUGAGUUGACACCAUUUGGUGGUGGAAGAAGAAUUUGCCCUGGAAUAGUUUUUGCCCUUCAAGUGCUACACUUAACAUUAGCCAACUUCCUGCAUAGAUUUCAACUUUCAACUCCAUCAGAUGCACCGGUUGAUAUGAGCGAGGGUUUUGGAUUAACAAACAUCAAAUCCACUCCACUUGAAGUUCUUAUCUCCCCACGCUUAGCUUCUUAUGAUCUUUAUGAGUAGAAUUUGAGGUCGCUAAGAGACUUAUUUCAAAAAACCUAGUACUAUGAAAUGUGAAAUAAAAAUAAAUUUCAUAGCAUAAGUUUAGUAUUAUUUUAAAAUAGUUACUAAUGUCUGUCCUUUAAUAUUGUCUUAGCUUGAAUUUAAUGAAAAAUAUUUUCGACACUUAUUUUGUGUGGACAAGUAAUGACCCAAUUUCUUGUUAUGUUUCUUCAUUCUUCCAUGAAAGAGAAUUUAGAAGAAAAAGUGGCAUAUAGCAUUACAAUUGAAAAAUUAAUAAGCAUGUACUCCAUAUGCAUAGUAGACUUAAUGAGUUUCCAAGUUGAUUAAUUGGUAUCUCCUUUUGAUAGAUUUCAGCCACCUUUUUGUACAUGAUUAAAGUAGUAAUGGAGACUAAAAUUACAACUCCCAUUUCAUUGUAAAAAGUUGGGAUGUGCAAGGUGGGUCAGUUCAAUUUUGGGCAUUAAAAUCAAAUCGAAUUGAACCCAAAAGAGGAAAAUGAUUAGUUUGACUUGAUUAACAAUAAUCUAAGUUGGUUUAUUUUGCUUCUAUUUAUAACAUCAAUUUUUUUUUUUAAUUUGAACGAAAAUAAUAUUAUUGAAGCAAGUCAUCUUUGGACGGUUGAAAUGAUAUUAUUACAACUAAUUUCAAAUCAUAUUAUUAUAACUUAAUGAUGUGAAUAGGUAUUAUUGUAACCCAUGUCAAUCAUAUCAAAUAGUCCAAGUCAUAGAUAAAAGUUAUAAAGGUGUGAUUGGGAGUUCCAUCCAAUGUGAAAAAUGUAUACCCAAUUAAUGAUGUAACCAAUUGUUAUACUGUAUAUUAUUACUGUGUGUAUAACUUUCAAUUCAAUUCAGUUUGGUUCAUUAAUUUUUUUAAUAGGUAAUUGAAUUGGUAUAACUUGGUUUUAUAUUUAAAAAACCAAAUUUAUUAAAAAAUAAAAUCUUAAAAAAUUAAUAGAUUUGGGUCAAUUUCAUUGAUUUUGCCAAUUGUACACCCUAAAAGAAGGGAUGUCCACUUAUCAUCCAUAAACUUUGUGUACUCCUAAGUUACAAUUUUGCCCCAUGUGAUUCACAUUUGUACUUAUUAUACUCAAUUUUCCGUACAAAUGAUUUAUUAUUUUGCAGAAUUUUACUCCAUGAGAUUCACAUUUGUACUUAUUAUUACCAACUUUGUCUGCUCUUAAGUUACAAUUUCUCCUAAUUAGAUUCACAUGCGUUACUGCCAUAAUUGACUUUCCACAUUUAUGCAUGAAUUAUUAUGUCAAUAGAUGCAUUAUCAUUUUGUCAAGUUAAUCUGACUUAGGUUAAUCACCAAAGGCAAGGUGAAUUAAUUGACUCAAUUUUAAUAAAUUUUAAUUUAACUAAGUGCAAGUAAUAAUAAUAAAACAGUUAAAAAAUACAUAAUUAAAUAACUAAAAAGAAGAGAUAACAGGUACAAACUCCGAUUUAUAUUUUGCUCAAUCCCAUACUCUCCUCAAGCUCUCAAAUGCAAAUUGAGGGUUCCACUAGCUUUUAAGACUUCAAUCAAAUCUUAAUCCUUUACACUUGGAUUCUCAAUUUCAAUGAUCUUUUUACACUUUAAUUCAAGAAAUUCCUCACUCUUGAACAUACUCAAAGGUAACACUUGAACAACAUUGAUCUCACAAAAUUUUAUUUACAAAUAAUAUAAAUGAAAACUUAAAUGGUUUUUCUUGGCUAGGAUUUCUAAGUUAAUAAGGAUUUUUGCAUUAAAAAGAAAUAGUUAAAAUCAAUUGGGUUUUGUAAGAUUUUGAUAUAUAUCUUAGUUUGCGAGUUUUUUGGGAUUCUAUUAUAAUCUUAUUGUUUUAUCCUAAAAUUGUCAAAAAAAGAAAUCAGUAAUUUAGUAUGGCAAUUUUACUCCAAAGAUUAUUGAUUAAAAAUUAUUUUACUAAUACCAACGUGUAAGAGUUAAAGGCAUAAAAUUGAAAUUAAAGUAAGUUUAUUAUUUUGGAUUUGGUUAAGUAAUGACAAGAUUAAUAAUUGAAAUUAAUGUAAAAAGAAGUGUAAAAACUUUAAAAGUUUAAAAUAUCAUUUCAUUAUUAAUUAGUUUCCACUUGCCAACAUAGACUUCUCAUUCUAUUCAAACAAGUUUUUUGUACUUUUAUAUAUAUAUAUAUAUAUAUUUCAUAAACUUAACAAAGGAUACAAACAACAAAAGAAAAAAAAAAUUGAGCUACUAAACCUCAAUAUAAAUUUGGGGUGAAUUAUCAAGGUCUAUUAAGGAGCAUGGGGAAGUGUUGUAUCACAUAUCGAUGUGAAGAAGGUGUAUAUAUAUUUAUAGUAUAGGACCUAAGAUGUGAACGUUUCUUUUAAAGUUAGGUAAACAUUUCUUUCAAAAUUAAUGGAAUCUCACUAUGAUUUAUAUACACAUGCUUUCAGUGUCCAUAGAGGUUGAAAUAAUACGAUGAUUUUUAACUUAUAUCUUGCUUUUUAUAUGUGAUUUAAUAUUGUUUUGGAUUAUUGAUUAUGACUCAUGAAUUAUCAUGCAUGGAACUAAUCAAAAUGAUAUAAUUAAAUUAUAUUAAUGAAUUUGAGAUAGACAUGACAAUUAUUAAUUUAAAAUAUCUUAUAUGAACAUAAAAUUUUAAAUAUAGACUCAUAAUUUAUAUAUAUUAAUAUAAUAAAGUUGAAAAACUACGUUUAUCUCAAAUUUAUGCCUAGGGCCCAAAUUUUGCUGAGAGCCAGCCGGAUGUCAUCACAUGCAAGAAAGCUAGGAAACAAAGCUAAAGUUUGCUUCUUGUGUGGGAAGAGGUACUUCCGUGCUUGACUGAAAGAAAGGAUUUUCUACAAGAAAAAUUGUCCCCUUGUUUGUAAAGCCUCAAGUUGCGACAGCAAUAACGACAAAAGUAGGCCAAAGAAUUUGUCAUUAUUAUGAGACUAGAGAGGUUUUACUGAGAAGUUUUCCGAGCGUGAUAUCAGCAUUCGCUGUAUCACAGUGAUACAACAAAUGGUUUGAACACAGUGAUCUAGAACCCAUUAGCUCAAAUUUCAUUGAUCUGAACACGAUGAUCCUCAUCCGCAGACCAUUUUAGGGAAUGAUUAAUUCGAGCGAUUUUUUAACUGCCUGUACGAAGAACUUUAUCAAAAUUGGAUUCAGUGUAUCUUAACCAAUCUUGAUCAGUAUGCGACUGAUGAUUCUAUUUGAUAAAAGUAAUGCGGUGGCCCAACUUUAUCUUAAUUUCUAUGUUGAAAGUAACCAUAUAUUAUUCUAUAAUUAUAAAUAUAUACUGUGGAAUCAAGAUAACUUUGAUAUGCUAAGGAUCAAAAGAGGGCAGCCACUUUAGUAGUGGAUUAUACUAAAUAAAGCUGAUCGAUUAUUACAUUGGAAAAUAACAUUGAACCUAUCAUGAAAGACAACCCUACUGGACCAUGCCCCGAGUACUAAAUGCUGAUAAAAAACAAGUACAUGUUCCAAAGGAAUUGAGUCCAUAUAUACACAUUAGUGCUCAAAGAGAAAAACUAUAUAUCCACCGCUUAACUACAGUGAUCCUUUGAGCAGAAGAAGCUAGCCAUGUAUUUCCUUCUCCAAUACCUAAACAUCACCACGGUCGGAGUCUUUGCCACACUUUUCCUUUCCUACUGUCUAUUAUUAUGGAGGUCUAGAGCUGGUAACAAAAAAAUAGCACCUGAAGCUGCUGCUGCAUGGCCCAUAAUCGGUCACCUACACCUGUUAGCUGGUGGUUCUCAUCAGCUUCCCCACAUAACCUUGGGAAACAUGGCCGACAAAUAUGGACCGGUCUUCACAAUUCGGAUUGGGUUGCAUCGAGCUUUGGUGGUAAGUUCUUGGGAGAUGGCUAAAGAAUGCUCGACCGCCAAUGACCAGGUUUCAUCCUCGCGUCCCGAACUUUUAGCCUCAAAACAUUUGGGCUACAACUACGCCAUGUUUGGUUUCUCUCCAUACGGUUCUUACUGGCGUGAAAUGCGCAAGAUAAUCAGCCUAGAGCUACUCUCUAACAGCCGCUUAGAGCUGCUGAAGGACGUCCGAGCUUCAGAAGUGGUGACAUCCAUAAAAGAGCUAUACAAGCUCUGGGCAGAGAAAAAAAAUGAAUCGGGCCUUGUCUCUGUGGAGAUGAAGCAGUGGUUUGGAGACUUGACUCUGAACGUAAUUCUUAGGAUGGUGGCAGGGAAGCGUUAUUUCAGUGCUUCAGAUGCAAGUGAAAAUAAACAGGCGCAGAGGUGCCGGAGAGUGUUCAGGGAAUUCUUUCAUUUGUCAGGGCUCUUUGCGGUGGCGGACGCUAUUCCAUUUCUUGGAUGGCUCGACUGGGGGAGACAUGAGAAAACCCUAAAGAAGACAGCAAUAGAAAUGGACAGUAUUGCUCAAGAAUGGUUAGAGGAGCACCGUCGGAGGAAAGACUCCGGUGAUGAUAAUAGUACGCAAGACUUCAUGGAUGUGAUGCAGUCAGUUCUUGAUGGCAAAAACCUUGGUGGUUACGACGCUGAUACCAUCAAUAAAGCCACAUGCAUGCCUGGUAUGAGUUAUUAAUGAAGCACCCACGUACCAUUUAUAUUUGCAUAUUAUCAGGGCUAGCUUCUUUUCCACAGACAGUUUUUCUUUUGUUUAUAUGUUUUAAUUGAUGCAUAUUCACUUUCUUCUUCUCUUAAUUAAAUUGCAAUAAUUAAACAUACAAUUUAAAUAAAUUUUAAAUUUUAUUUUUAACUAAAAACAAAAGUAUACAUAUACAAAUAUAUAUUGCUUAAGCAAUUAAUUUUUAAAAAUUAUUCUUUCAGAACACCUUAGACAAGUUGAGACAUGCUUCGAGGGAAAUCUAAAUAUAAUGAUUUUAAAAGCUACUUUGUAAUUUUAUUUUCGAGCAUGUUGCAUAAUAUAUGCUUUCCUUGAAUUGAUUUUCUAAAUUUUAUUUUUGUCAGCAAGAAAGGGUUAUCUACGUUUUGGAAGUUAUCUUUAAUUUCCCCUGCAAAGAAUAAGUGUGUGGACCCUGCAUUUCGGCUCAAUGCGUUUCCCACUCGAUGGCGAGCUCGAUUUUUAUUUGAAAAAUGAUUUUUAUUGAUUAUUUAGAAAAUGACUUGGAGUCGCCACUUAUUUUUGUUUUAUUUUUAAAGGGUAAACAAAAUAAGAAAGAAAAACCCUAAGUGUGACUCCUUAUUUUGGAAAAGGUGGUCUGUGAAAAACUGAAUCGGGUUCAGGGGUCAGGUUACUUAUUGGGAAGGUACGGUAUGGACCGUAGCACCCCUCUAAGUCCCUAAAGUCGGGUCUCUACUAAUGAGAUGAAGCUGACAUGGCAAUCAAUGAGAAAAUCAAUGAAUACUCGAAUCAAUCAUGCACAUAUGAGAGACAAAGCAUGUAUAAAGAAUGAGCAAAAUAUGAAUAGAUGCGUACCUGGGCGACAAUCACGAAUGCGCUAUCAUGAAACAUGGUUAGUGAACAAUAAACAUAUAUAAUUAAGCGCAUAUCAAGGAAUAGAGUAAAUCAAUCAUGCAUGACAAAUAAAUCAAUCAAUCAUGGAAUCUCAUAUGUAGGGCCCCCACCAAAACCCAAUUCAUUUUUGCAUGAAUCAAUUCCAUAAAUUCCAUCACUUGGAAUUACGGAAUUUAAUUCUUACUUAUUUUUAAAACAUUUUAAAAACCAAGAAAAUGCACAAGUGGCUUGCCGGAAGGAAAAUGGCAACCAAAUUUUAUUGAAAAUGGGAUUUAAGAAGAUUAUUUUCAAGAAAACAGGGGAUGAGAGAAUAGAAGGAAAUGGCACAUGGUCAAGAGCUGCAUGCCUAAGGUGGCCAUGCAAAAACACUUCCCUCUAAGCUCAGGGUGGAGGGACUGCACUAUAAGGAUCAGUGGUGCUGCAGAGCUUGUCAGAACAGCUGAUGGCAUCAUAGGUGUUGCUCCUGAUUGCCUGAAAGAAUUCAUCUCUAAUGGACGGAAUCGAUUGCUCUACAUGAUUAUUCCAGAAGGUAAUGGUUGAGUCCUUAGCUUCACGAACCCAAUUUUUUAUGUCAUUACUUCCCAUCAAACUACCAUGACAUAGGAGCCACACUGAGCAAACUGAUGAGCCCGCUGCCCCACAUGUAUAGGGAAUCCAGUACAAAGUUAAUUUCCGCGGUUUACGAUGUUCGGAAACAAGGAUACUUAGGUAAGAAUCCAGCUUAUACAUGAUAAAUCACGNNNNNNNNNNNNNNNNNNNNNNNNNNNNNNNNNNNNNNNNNNNNNNNNNNNNNNNNNNNNNNNNNNNNNNNNNNNNNNNNNNNNNNNNNNNNNNNNNNNNGUGGAUGCCGCCUAUGAUACUAGCCUCAGAAAUCAUGCCAUUGACAUCGUUGUGCUUGUUACUAUUGCCAUCUCUAUCUCACAUGUGAGAGCCCUUGAUGGAAUCAAUUAAAAUAAUCCUUGAUAGAAACGUGGACUUCAUGUCUCAAAUCUGGCCUUUCAUAUCUCCUCAUUUGUCCAUGUCAACUAUUGUCACCAAGCCAUAAGCCUCUUGAUCCCAUGAUAACCCCAUUAUUCAACCCAAUACUUCAAUGAUGAUUCUCUUUCAUUUGCAUUCCUGACCUUCUCUUAUCUCCAUUACUGAUCCCAUGGAUGUUUACAGGAUUGAGUAUUUGGACGAGAGCAAACUUUGAUUAGAACCCUGUAUCAUGUUGAGUCUCUGCCAGCCUGGAAGGAUAAAAAUCACGUUGCCCCAUAUGGUGAGUUUUACUUUGAUUUACUCUUCCUCCUUGAUUCGUAUAAUGCAAGAAGGACAGGAGUUAAAAUGUCACGGAUAGCAUGAUGGCAAUGCCCAAAAGUAGCGUCAGUGUACAUUUGAGUCAAACGCGACUCCAUAUCAAACAUUGGCGGCCAGCGUCCAAGUCAAAGGGACGUAGUGCCCAUAAUUCACUGUUGAUAUUCUUCUUUCUGGGGAUGGAACAGAUCCAACUUCAAGGAUUGGGUGAGUCUCCUAAGAACUUUUCAUAAGGAUGGAUGACUGCCCAACAAUGCACUCAGGUUCCAUCAUUGCAAAGCCUCAACAGACUGCAUGCACCAUUCGUCGCGUACCUCACGACAAAUGUGAGUCUGGUUAAUCCCGUAGGAGGACUCCAAGCAGCAUGCAUAACGUACCUCUUCGGAAUAUCACAACGAGACCCACUGGUGCCCUCGUCUGAAUACCCCUCCGCCUCUCAUUCAAGUAAUGGGUGUUGGACCCAUGUAUGCAUGCAAAGAUGGAGGAGUGAAGUGGUGAGAGAAAGGAUGUAUGGAUUUAGCUGCGAGUAAGGUCACGGGUAUGGGAGGAUGGAUGCGGUGAAGACCUUUGAGGGUGAUGAAAAAUGGUGCAUGGAGUAAGAUAGGCUAAAGUGGAAAUGCGUGGUAGAAUGGGCAUAGGAGUAUCAUGAGAGAAGUGUGCAGGGACUACAUGCAUGUGGGUGGCUAGGGAAGUAAAAGAUGGGUUCAACAGUGAAACGUAUGGGAAUGAUGAGAGGGAAAGCGGAUUAGCAGAUGGGGUUAAUGAGUGAUAUGAAGAAUGGGGUAUGAGACCUGGGUAUAAGGUGAAAUGAAUAUGACAUGGUUAUGCAUGGCCAUGCCAUGGCCAUGCAAGAACAUGAUGGAAAGGGAGUGACGGAUGUAUGAAUAAUGGAGAGCAUGAGGAGGUAUGGGAUAGAUGAACAGGGCUGGAUGGUGGAUGAUGAAUAAGUAAUGGUGAAAUGGGUAUGAAAGAGUUUGAAGAGAGAGAAAAGGUGGUAAUGUGGAAUGGGUUUGAUAGGUGGGAGUACAAAGUGGGUAUGAAGAUGGGUAUGAAUGGUUUAGUAGGUACGAGACAAAUGGGUUAGAUGGAGGGUAUAAUGGGUGAUGUAAUGAUGGAAACCCGGGCGUUUAUUCAUCUUUGGAGGCACGAUACCCGGGUCAUGAACAGAUGGAUCACACUUCUUGGCCAGCUGCAUUCAGGCCAUAGUCAAUACAACCGACUUCGCUACCUCCAUUUCCAGGCACAGUGAUUGACACAAAGGAAGGUAACUUCCCAAUAAUCAAGCUUCUUUCGAUACAAGGUCUGCAUGGCUUAGCCGAGUUCAGUUUAGUUGGGUGUCGAAUCCCAUUGGUCAGUAGACCCAUUUGGAGCGAAACUGAACCCUUUAAUCCAAAUGGACCGUUACAGAGAGCACAAAGCAGCAGUAGGAUUAGCAAGACCCAGAGCAUAAGAGCGGGCUGUGACCAUGGCAGAGAUUCCAAAUUAGAAAGCAAGCACAAAACCAUCCAUGGAAGAGGUUAUCCAAGGUUUUGGAUGCUUAUGAAGUUUUCCCGCAAGUUGAACGAAUCUGUAACAGAGUGCCUUCUGAUCUAACCUGCAUAGUUUCAACAUGUACCACACCAUCCCCAUUCACGGUACCUCCAAUCACUAUGUCACCCUUCUUUCUUCGCCAUAGGCCUAGCAUCCUCUGUGAGCAUGUUCUUGAACCCACAAUCUCCCGCUUUACCUCAUGGAAACAUGUCAACCAAAAUAGCCCACCCAUCAAGUGACUGAUUCAACUCUGAUACCCGACAUCUCAGAUGCACCAACAACAGAAGCACAAAAGGGUAGGAAAUGGGGCCAAAACAGAAAAGAACGAAGGAAGGAUAAACGAGGAAUAAAGUAAAACAUAAGUGUAUAGAGCCUCAUUUCAGGUGACAUCCAUGGGCUUAUACAAGUGAGGAGAUCUCAAGUUAGAGUUACAGAAUAUAUGAGGAACCGAGUUCUAUUAACUCCAAGCCAAACCACAAGAACAGCAGUAAAAUCAACAACAAUAGAGUAUAAAAACGAUCCAGAAAUCAACAAAAUUCAGUACGUAUGACCCAACUCAAAUUGAUGAGCAAUGCAGAGCAAACCAAAAUGAGAAAAGGGUGAGAAAAAUAUGAAUCAAAGUAAGCAAGAAACUCACCUCAAACUCACCUGCAGACGCUCCUCUCUCUAUUCCUUCAUUCUCUAAGCUUCAGCUAGCCAAAAACAACGCCCAGAAUCUCCGUCACACAGCCACCCAAAACCUCCUCCUCUGCAGCCUCGAACCUCUCUGCCAACAAACAGCAACCAAAAGCACCUCCCCCUCUCGGAAACUUCUUUCUCCCUAAAAAAAAACUCUCAGACCAGCCUCUCUAAAGCUCCCCCUCUCUCAAGUUCACCGUCCAAAAUUACUCCUCUCAUGGAAAAACUCCCUGGAAUCCCCUCAGCAGCCCCGGUACCUCCAGCUAAAAGAAAAUCACCCCCCCCGGUUCUCAUGUCUCUCUCACCUUUUUUUCUCUCUAGCCAAAACCAGCUUUCUUUUCCUCCCUUUGGAAAUAUCUCCCUAACGGCCAGACGACACCCACCUGCCUUGCAGCUGCAAGCCUCCACUCCCCCCUAUGCAGCUGGCAGCCUCCCAAAAUCAACCCAACAAAAGCUCUUCCCCUAAAGAUUUCUGCCACCUUCCUCUUCUAGGCAAUAUCUCUUUUCUGUCCCGGAUUUGCCCCUCCAACAAUCCCUGUAGCCACCUCCAGCACCACUACACUCUGCAUGCAACUGGCAACACCUCCUAACGGAAAGCACGCUCCCUUCUUCUAGAAUGUUCUUCACUUUCCAGGUGUCUUCCUCUUAUUAGUCCAUCAAUUCCACCAUAGUGAUUCCACUAGUAGCCAACCCGAGAGUGACACGUGGCCAUGCGAGAUGGUGACACUUGUCCAGCAUCAGCUGCAAGAAUGACUCCCAAAAUGGGGGUCUACAACUAUGCCCAUUUUCGGUAGAGUUCACAAGUGUAAGGAAAAUGAACACUGGAAUGAAAGGUAGGUGUGAAUAGUGAGUGGAAUGAAGUGAACUCUACCGAAGAACCAAGGAGACCCCCAUAGGGACACUAGCAAAACACGAAUUCGCUCAGGCUGACAGACUGACACAAAGGCUCUGAUCCUAAAACAAAAUGAUGUCUCAAAAUGCCUCUGAGGCCAUACUAAGGAUCCAAGCUCCCUUUAACAUGCCUCCAAAAGUGACCCGAAGAUCGAUGUCAAAAGUGAGUAACGGUCGAACCACCCUGGAGUACGAACAAGAAUGCGUCUAAAGGAGACUGCCCUAUGUGGACUAUGAGAUGAAUAGGUGAUAAGCACAGGGUAACGAGGUGAGAAGAGUGAGAAUAAGUGCAAAUCCAUGAAGGUGAGAUGCGCAAUGCCAGUGAAUAUGAACGCUAGGGGCUGCGACUCUGAAUGACGAGACUGACCCUAAACGCUAAACUGAGAAAAACAAUGGCUCUGGAAGCCAGACCAAAAACUAACUCUAAAAACUAAACUAGAAUAACAGCUCUGGAAGUCAACCAAAAACUAACUCUAAAAGCUAAACUAGAAAACAACAGCUCUGGAAGCCAACCAAAAACUAACUCUAAAAACUAAACUAGAAAAUAACAGCUCUGGAAGCCAACCAAAAACUAACCCUAAAAGCUAAACUAGAAAACAAACAGCUCUGGAAGCCAACCAAAAACUAACUCUAAACUAGAAAAUAAUAGCUCUGGAAGCCAAACUGAAAACUAACUCUAAAAGCUAAACUAGAAAACAACAGCUCUGGAAGCCAAACCAAAAACUAACUCUAAAAACUAAACUAGAAAAUAACAGCUCUGGAAGCCAACCAAAAACUAACCCUAAAAGCUAAACUAGAAAGUAACAAACAGCUCUGGAAGCCAACCAAAAAACUAACUCUAAAAACUAAACUAGAAAAUAACAGCUCUGGAAGCCUAAACAAGUCGACAGUAACGACUCUGGAAGCCUAAACAAGAUGAUAGUAAUGGCUUUGGAAGCCUAAACAAGAUGACGGUAACGACUCUGGAAGCCUAAACAAGAUGAUAGUAAUGGCUCUGGAAGCCUAAAUAAGAUGACGGUAAUGGCUCGGAAGCCUAAACAAGAUGACAGUAACGACUCUGGAAGCCUAAACAAGAUGAUAGUAAUGGCUCUGGAAGCAUAAACAAGAUGACAGUAAUGACUCUGGAAGCAUAAACAAGAUGACAGUAAUGGCUCUGGAAGCAUAAACAAGAUGACAGUAACGACUCUGGAAGCCUAAACAAGAUGAUAGUAAUGGCUCUAGAAGCCUAAACAAGAUGAUAGUAAUGACUCUAGAAGCCUAAACAAGAUGAUAGUAACGACUCUGGACGUCGAAACUAAAAAGUGAUGAUGAUGACUCUGAACGUCAAACUGAGAAGUGAUAACGACUCUGAACGCCAAAACCGAGGAUGCGACUCUGAAUGUCGAUCUGAAAACCGAUGAUGGCUCUGAACGCCUAAACUGAGAAAUGAUGAUGAUGACUCUGAACGUCAAACUGAGAAGUGAUAACGACUCUGAACGCCGAAACCGAGGAUGCGACUCUGAAUGUCGAUCUGAAAACCGAUGAUGGCUCUGAACGCCGAAACUGAGAAGUGAUGAUGAUGACUCUGAACGUCAAACUGAGAAGUGAUAACGACUCUGAACGCCGAAACUGAGGACGCGACUCUGAAUGUCGAUCUGAAAACCGAUGAUGGCUCUGCACGCCGUAACUGAGAAGUGAUGAUGAUGACUCUGAACGUCAAACUGAGAAGCAAUGAUGAUGACUCUGAACGUCAAACUGAGAAAGUGAUAACGACUCUGAACGCCGAAACCGAGGAUGCGACUCUGAAUGUCGAUCUGAAAACCGAUGAUGGCUCUGCACGCCGUAACUAAGAAGUGAUGAUGAUGACUCUGAACGUCAAACUGAGAAGCAAUGAUGAUGACUCUGAACGUCAAACUGAGAAAGUGAUAACGACUCUGAACGCCGAAAUCGAGGAUGCGACUCUGAAUGUCGAUCUGAAAACCGAUGAUAGCUCUGAAUGCCGAAACUGAGAAGUGAUGAUGAUGACUCUGAACGUCAAACUGAGAAGUGGCUCUGAACGCCGAACUGAAAAAUGUGACAUGAUGACUCUGAAUGUCGUAAACCGUGAAUGAACGGCGACUCUGAACGCCAGACUGCAAGGAAACAAUGUGGGGGAAAUAUGCCCCAGUGUGACAUGCCGCUGCAAAUCUCAAACUGCUAGAAAUGGCUAAAAGGGACUCUACGAGUCUCGAAAGACGCACCACUAAGAGCUCAUGUCAAUGAAGAGCUCAGGAACAACGGUCAGUGAGGCGAAUACAAUAUAUCUCGGCCGAGUGAUGGAAACCGCGACGGACAUGUGAGAGAACGAUCGCCUCCAUGGCUAAAUGAGGGAAAUACGCCCCAGUAUGGCAUCAGAUGUACCCGAUCUGCCCUGAUGACCCGAGAAUAACACCAUGGGGAUGCAUAAAAGACCUGAUGUGUACCGCACUGAAAUGAUGACAUGGGGAUCCAAGCACUCGACAUAACCCCAUCCAGGAAUCACGACUAUAUCAAAGAGUAUGAAUCUGGCUGAACGAGUCAAGAGAGGCUCCUCGGAGUAUCAGGACAAAAUGAAAUCAAUCAUCAACCUGGCGUGUAUCUCAUAACUGUGGAUGAUCAUGUAAACCAGUGGGGAUCUAUAAAUCUCGAUCAAGAUGGGGAAUAUGCCCCAGUGUGGCAUCGGAAAUGUAACAUGUCGAAAAAUCAGCUGAGCUCAAAUCAUCUAUGCCUGCAACUAGCUAGAUGGCUCUCGAUAGGCUCCACUAAGGAAUCAUCGCGAGGAUAGCGAAUAUAUCAUCAUCCCUGUAUACAUCUCGCAAAUAAGGAUAAGCACGCAACUUCCUCAUGAUCUGUAAAUCUCAUCCGAACGGAAAUAUGCCCCUGUAUGGCAUCGAAAUGUAGGAUAGGUCGGAGAUCAGAUAGCAUGGAAUCAUCUAUCUUAGAACAUGUGACCUCUGCGAAAAUCCAUAAAGAUCCUCCGAAACGGAAUAUGCCCCAGUAUGGCAUCUGACGUGCGACAAACCAGGAAAAACAGGUGACAUCGAAUCAUCCCUCAUCAAACACGUGAUCCUGGUAAUCCAAACACGGUCGAAACGGAUCUAAACAUCUGAGAAGUGUUUCUCAGAAGAAGAUGCAUGGCAAAUAUCUGGAUGUCAACUGAAUCUCAAACACCUGUCCACAUAGAAGCCGUAGAAGACGAUAUCUGAUCCCAUGGCCUCAGGGUGGUCUUAAGACACAGGACGUAAUGUAGGCUAGGGUGAUAGGGUGAUAGAAACGAAGGGAAACUAAGCUCAAAUACCCAAUGAUCAAAACCCAUGCCCUCGUGUGUGAAAUGCAACAUGUACAGAAAAUCCUGUGAGCCCUGGACCUGAGGGUGUCUAAUGUGAAUAUGAUGUCAAUGAGGAAACAAGUGAAGCAAAUCAAACUGAUAAUGAGAUAUGUAAUGGUGAUACGAAGGGAAUAUCAAACCCGAGAUGGGUCUGGUAAGAAAAGAAUGAGAAGUGAAGUGAGAAUGACGAAUCAGAAGCGAAAACGAGGACGAUGAUAAUGAAGCGAAUAACAUCAAAAGGAGUGAUGAUCAACUCAGAUCAGACAUGGAGUGAUGUCACAUCAACUACGAACAUAAUGAUGGAACGUACAAUAACGCAGAGCUCCUAAGAGAAAGUCACUCAUCUCGCUCACAAAAUAUGCAACAAAAUGAAUACAAAGCCUGAGGGAUCCAGGGAAGCUCACAUACGAACUCCCGUCAACAAACAUACUCGAUCAAGUGACCCUCGAAUAUCAAUACAUACACUCAGUGAUGGAUAACAAAACACACUUGAUUUUUAUUUCUUUUUCCAUUUUUUUUUUUUCAUUUUUUUCAUUCAUUUUUUUUUUUUUUUACAACAUAUAAAUGAACUGUACAUGAUCUGAAUGCAUACAAAGAAGACCCAAAGACGGGAUCAAAAAUGAAUAAACAUGCCCUCAAAUAUCAAUAUAUCACAAACUCAAUCUAAUGAGAUGAGGUGACCUUCUCAAACUGAGGAUCCCUGGAUCAGUGUCCGUGGGAUAGAUAGUGGAAAUGGCGUGACUACCCUCCAUGUGAUGAAAUGAGGAGGAUCACCCCUCGGGGUGAAAGAAGAUGACAUGAAACGAAUAGUAGAUAAGAUAAAGAAAAUAUGAUGAAUAACACGAACAGUGAGAUGAGAUGAAAUGCAAUGAUGCAGUGGUGAGCACAGAUAAUGAGAAGAACGUGCCCCUAGGUCCAAGGCUCAUGAAACUCUCAAACAAUGCAUGCAUACACUAAAGGGCCCCAAUCCCGGUGUGAAAAUGUGAGCAAGGCUAUAGAAAAUGAAGGCUAUGAUGCGCGUGUGAGGCUCAAAUGGGCUAGCAAUGGACUAUAUAUAUCAGAAACGGGAUAAAGGGAUAUAGCUAACCGAAAUGAUGGCCACCCAUCCUGCGACCAUGGACUCAAACGUAGUACCUCUUUAGCUGAUCCACAUUGGUCGGCUCUGAGAACUGGUUUCCAUCUAAAUCCAUCAGCCAUGCAGCGCCCUCUGGAGUCAACUUCCUGAUGAAAUAAGGUCCGCUCCAACUAGGUCUGAACUUCCCUCUAGGAUCUCUGAUCAAUCCUCUGAUGACUCUCAAAACUAAGUCACCUACAUGCAGUGGUCUAGGCUUGACCUGCUUUUUGAAAGCGCGGGCCAUCUUCCUCUGAUAUGCACGAACGUGGUCUGCUGCUCUCAAUCUCCUCUCAUCUAGGAGAUUGAGCUGAUCAAAUCGAGCCUGAGCCCAAUCCGUCUGGGGAAUCUGCUGCUCUAGUGCUACUCUCAAUGAUCCCAUCUCAAUCUCAACAGGUAGCACUGCCUCCAUGCCGUACACCAAUGAAUAGGGUGUGGCUCCUGUAAAGGUGCGAAAAGAAGUCCGAUAUGCCCACAAUGCGAAAGGGAGCUUCUCUGACCAAUCCCGAGAAGUCUCAACCAUCUUUCGCAAUAUCCUCUUAAUAUUCUUAUUCGCGGCCUCUACUGCCCCAUUCGUCUGCGGCCUGUACGCAGACGAUCUAUGAUGCCGGAUGCCGUAUCUCUGCACCAAGGUGUCAACCUCUGCUCUGAAAUGCACCCCUCUGUCUGAAAUAAGCUCGUGAGGGACUCCAUAGCGACAAAUGAUGUGCGAUCUAAUGAAACUGACAACUCCAGAUGACGUCAAUCUCGCAUACGAGGCGACCUCCACCCACUUGGUGAAGUAAUCAAUAGCAACAAGGAUAAACUCAUGACCACUGGAAGAUUUCGGUGAAAUCUUCUCGAUGAUAUCGAUACCCCAUACUGAAAACGGCCAUGGUGAAGUCAAUGCAUGCAACUCCGAGGGCGGCACGUGAAUGAGAUCUCCAUGUAUCUGACACUCGGGACAUCUCUGAACGAACUGGCAACAAUCUGUCUCCAUGGUCAACCAAAAGUAUCCUGUCCUCAUGAUCUUACGGGCCAACAUAUGCCCCCCAUAUGUGGUUCGCAGACUCCCGCAUGAACCUCUCGCAUAACUCUAUCGGCAGAAGCGCGAUCCAAACAUAAUAGCAGUAUCCCAUCAAAUGAUCGUCUAUAUAGCGUCUCGCCACAAAUCACGAAUCGGGUGGCCAACUGUCUCAAUGCCCUCCUAUCCUUGGCCGUGGCGGCCUCAGGAUAUAUGCCGAGUCUCAAAAAGUGAUAUAUGUCAUGAUACCAGGGCAAACCAUCGUCUAUCUCCAUAUCAUCAAUCAAACAACAAUACGCAGGAGCAGAUCUCGACUCAAUCAACAAAGGGCGAACAGUGGCAUCAGCGGGAAUGUCGAUCAUGGAAGCUAGAGUAGCUAAAGCAUCAGCAAACUGGUUUUGCGCUCUAGGCAGAUGUGUAUAUCUCAAAUCCUCAAAUCUCGCGACCAGUAGCUCCAAAUACGCGUGGUAAGGCCUAAGCUUCACAUCUCUAGUCUUCCACUCGCCUUGAAUCUGUCUCAAUACCAGAUUGGAGUCACUAAACACCUCCAUCUGUCUAAUCCCAAGCUCGAGGGCUGUCUCUAACCCCAAGAUACAUGUCUCAUACUCAACAAUGUUGUUCGUGGCUGGAUGUCGAUCCGAGAAUGCCAAACGAACAGAUCUGGGAAUGUGAUCACCAUGAGGGGAUAUCAACAAAACGCCUAUCCCGUAUCCAGAAUGGUUGGCUGCACCAUCAAAGUACAUGCGCCAACCCGACAGACUAGUCGCAGCUGCGACGUCCUCGUCUGGAAAAUCAUCGUCAAUAGCUCUGGCAUCAGAAACUGGUAAUGAGGCUAAGUGAUCUGCGACAAUGCUCCCUCUGAUGGACUUCUGAGUGACAUAAUGAAUGUCAAACUCAGUCAGAAGUACCAGCCAUCUCAUAAGGCGACCAACUAGAGCGGGCCUGUCAAACAAAUAUCUCAAAGGAUCAAGACGAGAUAUCAAAUGCACUGAAUACUCGGUCAUGUAAUGUCUCAAUCGGCGAGUGGCCCAAACCAAUGCCAAGCAGUAGCGCUCAAUCGUGACGUAUCUCGUCUCGUAAUCUAGCAUCCUCUUGCUCAGAUAAUAAAUGGCUCGAUCUUUGCCCGAAUCAUCGAGCUGAGCUAACAUGCAACCUAAAGCCACAUCCGAAACUGAUAGGUAUAGGAGUAGAGGAUGGUCUGGUGUAGGCGGAGCCAAAACUGGAGGCGACAACAAGUACUCUCGGAUCCUCUCAAAUGCGCGCUGACACUGAUCAUCCCAAACAGUAGGUUGACUCUUCCUCAAGAGUCGGAAAAUGGGCUCACAAAUGUCUGUCAAUCUGGCUAUGAAUCUACUGAUGUACUGAAGUCUGCCCAGGAAGCCUCUGACCUCUCUCUCUGUCCUCGGUGCAGGCAUGUCAAGGAUGGCUCUAAUCUUGUCCGGAUCUACCUCUAUGCCUCGCUCACUGACCAUGUACCCCAAGAGUUUCCCAGAAGUCACUCCAAAAGUGCACUUCUUGGGAUUCAGCCUCAAUCUAAAUUGUCUGAUCCUCUCAAAGAACCUCUCAAGAGCUGCCAAGUGAUCUGAUCUAUCUCGGGAUUUCACUAUCAUGUCGUCUACAUAAACCUCGACAUCCCGAUGCAUCAUGUCAUGGAAGAGUGUGGUCGCUGCUCUCUGAUAGGUGGCUCCUGCGUUCUUCAAUCCGAAUGGCAUGACUCUAUAGCAAUAAGUACCCCACUCGGUAAUGAAGGACGUCUUCUCCAUGUCCUCUGGAGCCAUCAAGAUCUGACUAUACCCGGAAAAUCCGUCCAUAAAGGACAACAUCGAGUGACCUGCUGUACUGUCAACUAACAUGUCGAUGUGUGGGAGAGGAAAAUCAUCUUUAGGACUGGCCUUGUUGAGAUCUCGGAAAUCAACACAGACUCUCACCUUGCCGUCUUUUUUGGGAACAGGGACGACAUUGGCCAGCCACUCUGGGUACUCGACUACUGAUAGAAAUCCUACACUGAGCUGCUUCUGAAUCUCCUUUUUCACCUGCAAGCUCCAACGAGGGUGCAAUCGUCUCAACCUCUGCUUAACCGGUCUGGCAUGGGGCAGAAGUGGCAAACGAUGCUGGACGAUGGAUGGAUCAAGGCCCGGCAUGUCCUCAUAGGACCAUGCGAAAACGUCCAAGUAGGAUCUGAGCAGCUGGAUGAGACUAUCUCUCUCAUCUGAGGAUAAAUCUGACCCGAUCCUCAACUCCCUAGGCUGAUCUGCGGUGCCGAAAUCAACAAUCUAUGUGUCUCCUACAGCAGGUGAAACCCUCUGAUCAACGGGAUCCGAAUCGGAAACAGAAGAUGAGUCAUCAUCUGAGUCGUGCUGUGCAAUCUCAUCAUCAAUAUCAAAAAUCUGUGAUGUGGGUGAAGAUGGUGCAGAUAAAUCAAUAUCACAAGAGACAGGCAGGUACUAAAAAAUGCUCAAAUCCAUAGAUGAAACAUCGGAAACAAUGUCAGAACGGGAGACAAACCCCGACUGAACGUCAAAUGAAAGAGGUGGGUCCACAAAGUCGGACGCUUCCUCAACAAUGCCAACAUGGCUAUCAAUCAAAUCAUAAAAAACUAUAGCAUCCUUAGUAAUCUCCAGAGCAGGGGCUGUCUGGAUCUCCUCAACGAUCUCGAUGAAAGACACCCCGAAAAGAUCGAAUGGUGAAGUGAGCCCAGGAUGAACUCUCUCCUCGAUCGGGCCCAGGCUCAGGGCGAGCAUCUCGUCGAUGUACUCGUCGUGUGGGACGGCUCCGUCCACUAUGUCUCCGACCCCAGCAAAGGUCUCAUGCUCAUCGGUCUCGUCCGGGAAGCAAAGCGUUAUAAGGCUCGUGCGAUCUGGAGACGAAGGAGCAAUCAACACAGAAGUCGAAGAGCCAGGAGCUCCAUCUCUCAAUCGUAACUGAUGGACAAGGCGCUGAAGCUCGACCUCCUGAGUGGUGCUAAGUCCUCCAAUGAUCACGUCCGCACGGGUCAAUGGCUCUGAUGCCCUCACAAAAUAAUCAGAUAAGCUCCUGGUGUAUGGGCGAAGAGGAUAGUAGAAAGGUGUGUGGGUCAGUCACUCUCUCCUUGCGCAAACGCGCCAUGUAGAGAUAAUCGGCCUCAAUGGGGAUGAACCCGAGUCCGAACGGUACGUCGUGAUCAGGGAUGGCUAUGAACUCGCUCGGUCCAUGCUGACAUCGACCCAACCCCAUGCCGGGUAGAUAGGACAUGCUUCGCAUAAUAUCGAGCACCACUGUGCUCCCAUGCCGGUCAAAGGACAUGGCCACAAAAUCCCGGCAGAAAUCCUCUAUCUCCACAGUCUGCACCUCAUCGAAGGUGAAUUCAGUCAGAAAAAGAUCGUCAUCAGUGUGACUAAUCUCGAGCACAGGCUCGGCAACAAUGAACAUGUCUCCCACAGACUGUACCACGACGACCUGACCAUCGUGAAUAAACUUCACCUUCUGAUGAAGGGAAGAAGGAAUGGCCCCGGCUCUAUGGAUCCAUGGUCGGCCCAGAAGCAGGUUAAAGGAUGUAGGAAUCCUCAAAACCUGGAAUACAGCGACAAAAGUGGCCGGACCGAUCAGCAACUCGAUCUCCAAUGUACCCAUGACCUCUCUACGGGUGCUAUCAUAAGCUCGGACGGUCUGAGUGGAGGGACCGAAAUCAGAAGGAGCGUAUCCAAGGGCGAUGGCAGUGGCAAGAGGACAUACGUUCAGGGCCGAGCCAUUGUCCAAAAGGACAGAUGGGACUCGGCGGCCUGAACAGCCAACAGAUAUGUAGAGCGGACGAGUGUGGUCCGAGCCCUCCGGUGGCAAGUCAUCAUCGGAAAAGACGAUACAAGUGGCUCUGCCAGCCGUCAUCAUAUGAAGGAGUCCCUCGGGAGUGGUCGUGGUAUCAACUCUGAUCUGGCUCAGAGCUCGAGUCAGUGCGUCCCGAUGGGUACUGGAAGACGCUAAAAGGCUCCAGAUAGAAAUACGAGCCUGAGUGCUCUGCAACUGCCUCAAAAUCUCGUCAUCCUCUGCUCUCACCUCCUCCUGGGAUGACGUACCCCCUAAGGGUCUAGCGGGAGCGGCUGGAGGUGGCUGUCUCACUACUCUCCCUCCCCGGAGGAUAUACUAAACGUCCGGAGUCUGAGGAUCAUCACUAUGUGGAGCCUGAACCUCCUCAACAUCUGGGAUCAGAAUGUACGGCGCCUGAACGCUAUAGCGUGUGAAUGUCAGAGGCUCGGAAGUGGCCGCCUGUACAGAUGCUGCCUCAGGAACUAAUCGGAAUGGAGCAGGCAUCUGUGGCUCUAGAGUCACCCCACUCGUCUCGUAAAUCACAGCUGGCAUGAUAGGCUCUGGGUCUGGAUCAUCCCAACUCAACAUAUGGACAUGAUCAUCAGUCUCAUCGAAGUCCAAGAAAUGAAUACCACAAGCUGGUGGAGGAACUGCAUGUGUGGUGUGGGUCGGCAACGGGUUUGUGGUCACACUCGGCUGACCCAAGUGUACCAAACCCUGGUCUAUCAGAUCCUGAAUAGCGUGCCUCAGAGCGGUGCAUCGAUCGGUCUCAUGUCUAGGCCCCUGAUGAUAAGCACAGUGUAAAUCCAUCCUGAACUGAGCUGGAAUAGGCUGAGGUAGUGGCCGAGGGGUGAGAGCAGUCAAUAAACCAGCCUCCGUAAGCUUCCGAAGAGCCUGGCUCAACGGCAUGCCUAUCUGCGAGAACUGCCUCUGCGUCCUCAAAGUAAACGGAGCAGAAGUCUGCUGGGCUCCAGGUCGGGGAUAAGGCGCCGCAGGUCUCGCGGUGAACUGAGCAGCGUAGCAUGGCUGCCCUGUGGCUGUGUAGGAGACCGCGGGUCUCUCAAUGCCCUGAGUGGCAUAAGAAGGUAAAACCAAUGUCUGUGGCAUGUGUGUCUGAUCGUAAGCCGGACGAGGUGCCCGUGGCCUGUACUGAUGAGAUGCAUAGGAAGAAUGAGGCUCGAAAAACUGUGGGAUCGGCUGAUGGCGUCUAAGAGGCCUCUGACUGGAUGAACUGAUAGCACCAACCUCUGUCGGUCUCGGUCCUACGAAUAGUUUCUUCCCCUUAACAUCACUAGGGGAAGAAUCUGCCCAUAAACCUCUCGUGAUGCCGUCCUCGACAUCAUACAAAGCCAUAACCAGAGACCCAAAAUCUGUGAACGGGACCCCGACCACAUGUCUGGCGAUCCCCGGCUGUAGGCUCCUCAAAACCAUCUGAAUCUAGUCUCUCUCUGAUGGUCUAUCCACUAUCUCAGCUAUCUUCCCGCGCCAGCGGGAAAUGAAAGAAGAAACGGACUCCUCUGUCCUCUGCCUUAGAGCCUCGAGCUCUCUCCUCGAUACAUCUACAACAGUGUUAAACGAAAACUGUCGUAGGAACUCCUGGGCCAAGUCAUCCCAUGUACGGCGUCUCGAGGACUCCAGAGACGCAAACCAGCGCUGAGCUGCCCCACUCAGAGAUAGGGGGAAAAGAGUGAUCAUUUGAGGCUCGUCCAGUCCAUGAGCCCUCAUCACGGUGCUAUAAAGUCUGAGGUGGAGGCGCGGACAACCAAUACCAGUGUACCUCUCAAUAUCUGGCAUCCUGAACUUAGUUGGCAAGCUGGCUACCGGCAUACCCCCAAAAUCAUCCCAAACAACUGAUCCAUCUGACACUCUCAUCUGCCUCAUACACUGCUCGAUGCGGUCCAUGCGGGCAUGCGUGUCAUCAGCGACAACGGCCUGGGCGACUACGGGUGGAGUGAUCUCAGAAUGCCCGUGUAAUACAUAUGGUGAUGCCUGAUGCACUGAAGGAACGAGUGGGGGUGGUGGAGGUGGGUGUGAGUCAUAUGGCGUCUCAUCCUGGACUGCUGGUGGUCUACCCUACUGACCACCGAUCUCCUGCCUGAGGCUAGCCAAAGCCUCCUGGAUAGAAGCCAUGGCAGCCGUGAACUGAUCGACCGUGACAACCUGCUGAUCCAUAUCUGGUGUAUCUGAAACCCGAACUAAUCUGCCCUCUACUCUGAUCCACGAAACUAUACCCAGACUGAGAGUAAAAAUCCUGAUCCUGAAAGUACUCCUCUUCUGCUCUGAUCCACAAAGGUAUAUCAAGACAAGGAACAAAUGUCCUAUCCUACAAAGCACGAAGAACGUAAUAAGGAUAUGGCCCGGGGAACGUAUAGAAGAAAAGAUAAUCUGAACAGGAACAAGCAAAGCAUCCAAGUGAAGAUGAGCGAUCCGACCGUACUCAAACUCGUCCUGAUCUCAGUGCACUCUCAACUGGAGACUAAACAGAGGGAAAAUCGGAUCCAAAACUGCGGCUACAGAGGCACGGAAAGCCCUCAGAUGCACCCACGUGUAGGGAGGGAAUCCUAAUCGAAGGAUCUACGGCUCAACCUACAAGGUCAAGGUGGCUCUAAAUGGAUAAGGGUGGACUUUAAAAUAUCCCUAGCAGAAGCGAUUAUACCCUCCGACGGUACGCAACCCUCUGCACGUCUCCGAAGAGACGGGGCGCUUCCAUGCAAGGUGGUCAUCACCUCCACACAUGCACUACCUCGCAUCCCAGGGGGUUUCCUAUGGUGAAACCUCUCAAACUCUCAACACUCAAUAGUCGACUAGAGUGCACAGUGAAUGGUGUGGGUGCAUCCGAAACCCUAAAAAGCUAAAGCAGGAUAUGAAACACACUGGCCACACAAAUAUCCAUGAAACCUAGCUUCGGGCUAUACAGGUCUUCAAUGAUCGGACUCCAAUCGACAUCAAAGUGUCGCUCUCCUCCAAAAUGCUCCCGUGCAUCGAUAUAGCCCAUCGCUAGACCCUACUCCUAAUCUCCGGCUCGGUCAAAGAGCAAGCACACAGAAGGUCUCACACUUGCAAUAGUGAGAACCGAAAUGAAAGGAAUGACCGAAACCAAGAGAGUUGGAGGUAGGGGGAUAGAAGUGAGACCCACAUAGACAGGCAACAUGCAAUCAUACAGAGGGAGGGCAGUCAUGCAUCAUACGGUCAAGCAGAGUAUAGGAUAUAUCACUCAUGUCCACACAAAAAAAAAAGCUACAACUAUCAGGAUGAAUAGUGAUAUGAACAUCAUGCUCAAAAGAUGAUCUAGAUAAUAUGCAGGUCAGAGAAAACAACACAGCAAGUCAAACGAUGUACAAUAGUGAGUCUAUGCAUGUGAAGUGAGCAGAAUAAUCAGGAAGAAACAGAAUCGCUUUACCAAGCAAAACAAGGUGAGCAACCUAUGAUAAUCGGCAUGUCAAUGUACCAAACUAAUAUAGCAAUGAAGUACAAAAAAAACGACAUCCGAAGCCCCAAAUCAAGAUGAUCAAUCAUAUCAAUGUCACAACAUAAUAUCCAAGCAUACAUAAAAAAAACUCUCAAUGUGCAAUCAAGAGACAGGUACUCGCUGAUCGACUCAUCAAAUGCCCUGUUUGCUUCAUCUUAAGUUCAAGCUUGACCCUCUAACUCAUCCCCAGCGGAGUCGCCAUUUUGUGGACCCCGCAUUUCGGCUCAAUGCGUUCCCCACUCAAUGGUGCAUGCAGUCUGUUGAGGCUUUGCAAUGAUGGAACCUGAGUGCAUUGUUGGGCAGUCAUCCAUCCUUAUGAAAAGUUCUUAGGAGACUCACCCAAUCCUUGAAGUUGGAUCUGUUCCAUCCCCAGAAAGAAGAAUAUCAACAGUGAAUUAUGGGCACUACGUCCCUUUGACUUGGACGUUGGCCGCCAAUGUUUGAUAUGGAGUCGCGUUUGACUCAAAUGUACACUGACGCUACUUUUGGGCAUUGCCAUCAUGCUAUCCGUGACAUUUUAACUCCUGUCCUUCUUGCAUUAUACGAAUCAAGGAGGAAGAGUAAAUCAAAGUAAAACUCAUCAUAUGGGGCAACGUGAUUUUUAUCCUUCCAGGCUGGCAGAGACUCAACAUGAUACAGGGUUCUAAUCAAAGUUUGCUCUCGUCCAAAUACUCAAUCCUGUAAACAUCCAUGGGAUCAGUAAUGGAGAUAAGAGAAGGUCAGGAAUGCAAAUGAAAGAGAAUCAUCAUUGAAGUAUUGGGUUGAAUAAUGGGGUUAUCAUGGGAUCAAGAGGCUUAUGGCUUGGUGACAAUAGUUGACAUGGACAAAUGAGGAGAUAUGAAAGGCCAGAUUUGAGAGAUGAAGUCCACGUUUCUAUCAAGGAUUAUUUUAAUUGAUUCCAUCAAGGGCUCUCACAUGUGAGAUAGAGAUGGCAAUAGUAACAAGCACAACGAUGUCAAUGGCAUGAUUUCUGAGGCUAGUAUCAUAGGCGGCAUCCACCAGGCCAUUUUGAUCCAUAAGAAAGGUAGCAAAGUGCAUCGGGGCUUCCUCUUCGUUUUGGGUGGAAUGGUGAUCUUUGUGUUCCUCAACGACAUCCAUGGAGUGGAGUAGAUUGUUUAUUUGACAGUAGCAAUUGCAAAUGGGUCAUUAAUGGACUUGGUUUUGAUUACCAGGGCUUGAGAGGUUUCUUACCGAAUGAUAUAUCCCAAUCGCGCCAUCUACAUGCAACACGUCAGAAUGAUUCUUCUGUGGAUGGGAGCUAUUCAUGUCCUCUGGUGUUUGAGAAACUGCCAGACGUAAACCAGGAAGGGUCCCAGUGGACAGAUUGUGAAAUUCGAGAGACCAUCAACGUGAUUUAUCAUGUAUAAACUGGAUUCUUACCUAAGUAUCCUUGUUUCCGAACAUCGUAAACCGCGGAAAUUAACUUUGUACUGGAUUCCCUAUACAUGUGGGGCAGCGGGCUCAUCAGUUUGCUCAGUAUGGCUCCUAUGUCAUGGUAGUUUGAUGGGAAGUAAUGACAUAAAAAAUUGGGUUCGUGAAGCUAAGGACUCAACCAUUACCUUCUGGAAUAAUCAUGUAGAGCAAUCGAUUCCGUCCAUUAGAGAUGAAUUCUUUCAGGCAAUCAGGAGCAACACCUAUGAUGCCAUCAGCUGUUCUAACAAGCUCUGCAGCACCACUGAUCCUUAUAGUGCAGUCCCUCCACCCUGAGCUUAGAGGGAAGUGUUUUUGCAUGGCCACCUUGGGCAUGCAGCUCUUGACCAUGUGCCAUUUCCUUCUAUUCUCUCAUCCCCUGUUUUCUUGAAAAUAAUCUUCUUAAAUCCCAUUUUCAAUAAAAUUUGGUUGCCAUUUUCCUUCCGGCAAGCCACUUGUGCAUUUUCUUUGUUUUUAAAAUGUUUUAAAAAUAAGUAAGAAUUAAAUUCCGUAAUUCCAAGUGAUGGAAUUUAUGGAAUUGAUUCAUGCAAAAAUGAAUUGGGUCUUGGUGGGGGCCCUACAUAUGAGAUUCCAUGAUUGAUUGAUUUAUUUGUCAUGCAUGAUUGAUUUACUCUAUUCCUUGAUAUGCGCUUAAUUAUAUAUGUUCAUUGUUCACUAACCAUGUUUCAUGAUAGCGCAUUCGUGAUUGCCGCCCAGGUACGCAUCUAUUCAUAUUUUGCUCAUUCUUUAUACAUGCUUUGUCUCUCAUAUGUGCAUGAUUGAUUCGAGUAUUCAUUGAUUUUCUCAUUGAUUGUCAUGUCAGCUUCAUCUCAUUAGUAGAGACCCGACUUUAGGGACUUAGAGGGGUGCUACGGUCCAUACCGUACCUUCCCAAUAAGUAACCUGACCCCUGAACCCGAUCCGAUUUUUCACAGACCACCUUUUCCAAAAUAAGGAGUCACACUUAGGGUUUUUCUUUCUUAUUUUGUUUACCCUUUAAAAAUAAAACAAAAAUAAGUGGCGACUCCAAGUCAUUUUCAAAUAAUCAAUAAAAAUCAUUUUUCAAAUAAAAAUCGAGCUCGUCAUCGAGUGGGAAACGCAUUGAGCCGAAAUGCGGGGUCCACAAAGUGAUCUUGAAAAUUAUAAGUUAAUUAUGUUUACUUGAAUAAGAGAUUUGAAUAAUCUUGUAAAAAGAUGAUGUUUGUCGUUUAAGUGGAAGGUUGAUUUAGAAAUUAUCAUACAGGGAAAUGGAAAAAAAUACUAUUAUUUUGGUACAAGACCAUAUUAUUCAGUGGUGUCUCUAGAAAGUUCCAUUAGAUGCUAUUAAACAAUUAAUUUGGUGUCUCACUUGCAUAAUUUUGAGUUAUUGGAUUUUGGGUUUUGCAGACUCUAAUCUCCGGAGGUAACGACACAACUGUUGUCUCUCUGACAUGGGCACUCUCUCUUGUACUAAACAACCAUGACACCUUAAAAAAAGCUCAACAAGAAUUAGACAUCCAAGUUGGGAAGGAAAGAUUAGUGAAUGAACAAGAUAUAGGUAAGUUGGUCUAUCUCCAAGCCAUUGUUAAAGAGACAUUACGGUUAUAUCCAUCAGGACCACUUGGAGGACUACGCCAAUUUACCGAGGAUUGCACCUUAGGUGGAUACCAUGUCUCUAAAGGCACCCGUUUAAUAAUGAACCUUUCGAAGAUCCAAAAGGAUCCAAGAAUUUGGUCAAAUCCAACAGAAUUCCAACCAGAGAGGUUUCUCACCACCCAUAAAGAUGUUGAUCCUUGGGGAAAACAUUUUGAAUUUAUACCAUUUGGAGCUAGUCGAAGAGUAUGUCCAGGAAUAACUUUUGGUCUUCAAAUAUUACAUUUAACAUUAGCUAGUUUCUUACAUGCGUUUGAAUUUUCAACUCCAUCAAAUGAAUAGGUCGAUAUGCGCGAGAGCCUUGGACUUACAAACAUGAAAUCUACCCCACUUGAAGUUCUCAUUUCUCCACGCUUAUCUUCUUGUAGUCUUUACAAUUAAAACAUUGAAACGAAUAGGUCAAGUCGGUCUUGCUAGUCUUGGUUUAAAGACAUAUGGAGUUAGGUUCAAUCAAUCUAUGACAAGAUUUGGGAUUGUAUUAAAAGUAGGUUGGACUAAGAAUGAUGUAUAAUAAACUAAAGUACUAUUUAUGUCAAUAAAGUAUAGCUUUAUAUAUUAUUUGGUUAUCCUUGCUCUCCGUCUAGGCUCUCAUGGGUGCAAGGCCUACCCAUGAGGCCCUUUUCUCCAAAUUUGAGUCAAGUGGCUAAGGGGCUUACAACUAGCUUCUUUGCCAUAGACAAAUUUUCUUUUGUUUAUAUGUUUUAAUUGAUGCAUAUUCACUUUCUUCUUUUCUUAAUUAAAUUGCAAUAAUUAAACAUACAAUUUAAAUAAAUUUUAAAUUUUAUUUUUAACUAAAAACAAAAGUAUACAGAUACAAAUAUAUACUGCUUAAGUAAUUAAUUUUUAAAAAUUAUCCUUUGAGAACAUCUCAGACAAACUGAGACAUGCUUCCAGAGAAAUCUAAAUGUAAUGUUUUUAAAAGCUACUUUGUAAUUUUAUUUUCGAGCAUGUUGCAUAAUAUAUACUUUCCUUGAAUUGAUUUUCCAAACUAUAUUUUUAUUAGCAAUAAGGGUUAUCUACGUUUUGGAAAUUAUAAGUUAAUUAUGUUCACUUGAAUAAGAGAUUUGAACAAUCUUGUAAAAAGAUGAUAUAUAUAUAUAUAUAUAUAUAUAUAUAUAUAUAUAUAUAUAUAUAUAUAUAUAUAUAUAUAUAUAUAUAUAUAUAUAUAUAUCGUAUGGCUGAUUUGGAAAUUAUCCAAAAUGGAAAAAAAUACUAUUAUUUUGGUACAAGACCAUAUUGUUCAAUAGUGUCUCUAGAGAGUUCCAUUAGAUGCUAUCAAACAAAUAAUUUGGUGUCUCACUUGCAUAAUUUUGAAUUGUUCGAUUUUGGGUUUUGCAGGCUCUAAUUGUCGGAGGUAACAAUACAACUGUUGUCUCUUUAACAUGGGCACUCUCUCUUUUACUAAACGUACAACCACGACAUCUUAAAAAAGGCUCAAGAAGAAUUAGAUAUCCAAGUUAGCAGGGAAAGAUUAAUGAAUGAACAAGAUAUAAGUAAGUUGGUCUAUUUUCAAGCCAUUGUUAAAGAGACAUUACGGUUAUAUCCACCAAGACUACUUGGUGGACUAUGCCAAUUUACUAAGGAUUGCACCUUGGGUGGAUACCAUGUCUCUAAAGGCACCCGUUUAAUAAUGAACCUUUCAAAGAUCUAAAAGGAUCCAAGAAUUUGGUCAGAUCCAAUAGAAUUCCAACCAGAGAGGUUUCUCAUCACCCAUAAGAAUGUUGAUGAUUGGGGAAAACAUUUUGAAUUUAUUUCAUUUGGAGCUGGUCGAAGAGCAUGUUUAGGAAUUGCUUUUGGUCUUCAAAUAUUAUAUUUAACAUUAGCUAGUUUCUUACAUGCAUUUGACUUUUCAACUCCAUCAAAUGAACAUGUUGACAUGCAAGAGGCCUUAGACUUACAAAUAUGAAAUCUACCUCACUUGAAGUUCUCAUUUCUCCGGACUUAUUUUCUUGUAGUCUUUACAACUAAAACAUUGAAAUGAAGAGGUCAAAGUCGACCUAGCUAGUCUUGGUUUAAAGACAUAUAGAGUUAGAUUCAAUCAAUCUAUGAUAAGAUUUGGGACUGUAUUAAACAUAGGUUGGACUAAAAAUGAUGUACAAUAAACUAAUUAAAGUAUUGUCCAUGCCAAUAAAGUAUAACAUUAUAUAUUAUUUGGUUAGCCUUAAGGAAUGUAGCAUCAUAAUUAUUUCUUUGUUUUGUCUAAUUUAUCACCAUUUUUUCCCCUUCUCUUCUUCCCUUCUCUUCAUUAGAACAAAUAAUAUAUAGUCUUUUUAUUUUUAAAAAUCAAAUUCGAUUCCCAGUUAUAUAAGAAUUUUACUUUUACUUUAUAAUAAACUUUACUUUAAUCUUAAUAACUUUGACCAUGAUCUCCAUCAUUGAUUAAAUAUAGGGAUAAUUUCAAUCAUUUUUUCUAAGAUUGGAGUUAAAUUUACCCAUCCAUUAUUAAUUUGAAAUUUUAUUAAAUAUUUUUUUUUUCCUUUUUUUUUACAUGUAUAUCUUUUAAUUUAAAAUAAUAGUUGUCCGAUAUAUUUAUAUGAAAUUAUUUUCGAAGAGGUGAAUGAAACUAAACUUUUUUUUAAAUAUAAAAUCAUAAAAAUUUAAUAUACGCCAGCACGAUCCGGUCUAAAUAUUAUAUAUAAUUUGUGUCAUUUCAAAAAAUCAUAGAAGAUCCUUUUGGCAAGGUGGCCCCUUUGAGUAGGAAUUCUCUAAUUGGUCACUACAUAUUACAUAAUUUCAAAGAUUAUGGAGGAUCAUUUACCAAUCAUUAUCAGAAGAAGUGCUGAUUCCUGUAUAAAACUAACCAAUACGAUAUUUAGCACAUGCAAACAGAUUUGGAAGGAUCUGAAAGUCAAGCCUACGGGCCAUCCCUUUACGGCUUGUUCGAAAAAGCACAAAUUGAUGGGGUGCCACUUGCCAGCAGUCUGUUUCAAUAUCUAAAUGUUACCCAGUGGGAUUGCUUGAUAUACUUUUUGUCUCCUAGCUACCAUCUAUUAUUAUGGAGCUCCAGAGCUGGUAAGAUAAGAAUACACCCAAAAGCUGCUGGUGCAUGGCCAAUAAUCGGUCACCUCCUCUUAGGGUCACAACUUCCUGGGAUUUUUUUUUAUAAAAUUACGGUAAAUUUAAAAUUAAUUUUUUAAAAUGCGGCAUAUUGAAAAUAUGCUUGAAUAAUAAUAAUAAAAUGACAAAUAAUAAAAAGGAAAGAAAGUUGUCUUGUGGCUAUAAGAAAGAAUAAUAUAAAAGAGAGAGAUGAGGAGAGGCGGAUAGAGAGAAGAGUAGGCCGAAAAAAAAAAAAAAAAAGAGGAGAACGGGGAGGUGCUGCAAAUCUUUGGGCGUUCGAUCGUAUGACGAGCAAAACGACUUAUGUUUUGCAUGAAAGUUAAGGAGAAAAUUUUCUUUGAGGCGAGGAACAUUCCUUCAAAGUUCGAUUUUAGUUUCAAUGAUUGGAUUUUUUUAUUUGUGGUAAGAUAGUUUAAUCCUACAACUUUUGUUUAAUAUUUUGUUCUUGAAAAAAUAUUAUGAAUUUUUUUAGUGGAAGAUAAAUAUGUGUUAUUUGUGUUUUCUUUAUGUUAUUUGAAGUAUGAUUAUUCUUAAGGUUAUUAUUAUUAUUAUUGUUUUAUGAUUUACAUAUUAUUAUGAUUUUAUUUUUAAAAUUUUUAUGUUUGCAAUGAUUUAAUUGAAGAAAAACUGUUGUGUUGAUUGUUGAAAAUUAUUUAGUAUGUUGGGAAUAAAUAAAAUUUAUAUGAUUAGGGUUGAGACUAUGUUUUGAUGAUAUGUAAAUUAUUGUGAAUAUAUAUAUAUUUUAUAUUUGUAGUGAUUUAAUUGAAGAAAAAUUGUUGUGUUGUAAUUGGAAUUAUUGAUCAUGUUUGGAGUAAAUAAAAAUUAUGUCCUAGAAAAUUAUGCAUAAUAACAUGCAAGUUUAUUAUAUUUCAUAUGCAUCAUGGUUAUGUGAAAAAAAAAAUUGAUGAAAGAUUUUAUAAAAUGAAAAAGGAAAAAGAAAAUAAUGAUGAAAAGUAAAAACCUGUGAAAGAUAAAUCAAGAAGGAAAUGAGAUUUCUAGUGUAAAAAAUACAAAAAUUUAUCCCGUGAGUGUAUUUGAUAUAGAUGCAUAUCAUUAAGUGAAAACCCAAAAACAAUAGUUGAAUGUAAGCAUUUGCACCAUGUUUUCAUUUGGAAGAAGGACAUGUAUUAAAUACUUGAAUGACAUCAAUGGUAUGUUUAAAUAUAUUAUUAGAGAUUGAAAUAAUUUAUUUAUUUUGUAAGUUUAGAAUUAUUGGAUAAACCGCUAUUGACGAUUGGACCGAUGAAUGGGGCGGUUUUUCAUGAACUGCAUGGCUAAAUUCCAGCUCCAGUCUUCCUCCCAUUUUUCCUUUCAUCCAAAUAGUCCAACCUCCCCCUCCUCUUUUUCAUAGGGUCCAAGUGAAAGCCCAAUAAGCCCAGCCUUACAUUUUAAUGGCUUUUUGGCAAAACCUAAACCCAUUUAAACCCAUGGGUGGUACCUUUUUGGCAUGUACUAAUUUGAGUUAUAUGAAUUUUUGUAAUUUAAAUUAUAAUUUGUUAUUUUGUAAAAUAUUUUUUACUUAGAUUUAUGUAGAUAUUUGGGUUAAUUUGGGAUUAUAUAUUGAUCUAUUCAACUGAAAUCAUUGACCGUCAAAUUGGAUAGGAAUAACAUUUAAGGUCAACCCUUUGACCUGAUAUCACUAAUCGGAUUCUGAGUUGCCUUGAAUAGGGUGUGACUAUAAUGGAUUUUCUUCUCCAAUGCCUAAACCCUGUCAUGGUUGGAGCGUUUGCAAUACUCGUCCUCUCAUACCACCUGUUAUUAUGGAGGACUGGAGCUGGUAAGAGCAGAAUGGCACCUGAAGCUUCUGGUGCAUGGCCCAUAAUAGGUCACCUGCACCUGUUAGGUGGAUCUAAGAAUUUGCCUCACUUACUUUUUGGAACCAUGGCCGACAAGUAUGGACCAGUAUUCAGCAUCCGGCUGGGAUUAAAAAGAGCUGUGGUGGUGAAUAGUUGGGAGAUGGCCAAGGAAUGCUUCACCACCCAUGACCUGGCUCUGGCCUCCCGUCCUGAGGUUGAGGCCGCCAAAUAUUUGGGAUAUAACUAUGCCAUGUUUGCUUUCUCUCCUCACGGUGCAUACUGGCGUGAAGUGCGUAAGAUAGCUACUCUAGAGCUACUCUCGAAUCGCCGGCUAGAAUUGCUGAAGAAUGUCCGAAUCUCAGAGGUGGAGACAUGCAUGAAGGAACUAUACAAGCUUUGGGCAGAGAAGAAAAACGAAGCGGGCGUUGUUUUGGUGGACAUGAAGGAAUGGUUUGGGCACUUGACUCUGAACGUGAUUCUUAUGAUGGUUGCUGGAAAACGAUAUUUCGGUUAUACAGGCGAAAGUAAAGAGAAAGAGGCCCAGCAGUGCCGGAAAGCGAUUAGGGAAUUCUUUCGUUUGUGGGGACUCUUUGUGGUGUCAGAUGCCAUUCCUUUUUUUGGAUGGCUUGACGUGGGUGGACAUCUGAAAGCCAUGAAGAAGACUGCAAAAGAACUGGACGGUAUUGCUCAGGAAUGGUUAGAGGAACACCGGCAGCGAAAAGAUUCUGGUGAAGCUGAUGGUAACCAGGACUUCAUGGACGUGACGCUGUCCAUUCUGGGUGGUAGAGACAUUACUGAUUAUGAUGCUGAUACCAUCAACAAAGCUACAGCCCUGGUAUGCACAUUAUUCCUUUAGCAUCUUUAUAUGGUAGUAAAAAAUGAGACAUAAUUUCAUGCUUUAUCAUCUUUAGUCCAGACUCAAGAGUACUUGGGCCUGGGUUGGAAGAACUUAUUUUUGCUUUGUUUCAAGUCGAAACUAAUCAAAAGCAGCGAUUUUUAAAAGGUAAUUAUAAUAAUGGUAUUAUAAAAGUUCAAACAUAAAAUAACUUUUUGCAUAAAUCAAAAUAGAAUUUUUAUAUAUACAUAUAAAAUGUUUUUCUGAUCUUCAUAUUAAUUUUUUUAAGUCAUAACUUUUUUGAACAAAAUUAGUCAAACCAUAGAACUCUUGAACUUACAAAAAAGGGCUUUCGAUUUCUUAGAAGUAGAUACAUGUAGAUUAUGAAAGUAUGUUCCUUAGUCCGCAUGGUUUGAGGCCUCUUUGAGUGGGCUUCUAGAGUCGGUUAGACAAUUGGGCCUUUCAAAGGAUUUCCUAAAUUUACAUUUUUUUUAGCCCAACUUGAAUUUUUAUAAAAUGCUAUAUUUAUACGCGAGUUUCAUAUUCAAGCUAAACAUACCCAUUUUGAUUGGAAAAAAAAGGAAAGAAAAUGGGGCCUUUUUUCCACCCUUAAUCCUAUCACUACUUUUAAUUUUAUUUUAUUAGUUAAUGGUUUGUAUUUCACAGAUUCUGAUUGGAGGAGGCACUGACACUACAUCUGCUACUUUAACAUGGGUCAUCUCACUUUUAUUAAACAAUCCAGAUGUAUUAAGAAAAGCCCAAGAAGAAUUGGAUGCUCAUGUUGGUAAAGAAAGACUAGUAAAUGAAAUGGAUAUAAGCAAGUUGGUCUACCUUCAAGCAAUUGUUAAAGAGACAUUGAGGAUAAAUCCAACAGCUCCACUUUCAGGACCGCGUCAAUUCAUCCAAGAUUCUAUUUUAGGGGGUUACCAUAUCUCAAAAGGCACUCGUCUUAUAUUGAACCUUACCAAGAUCCAAAGAGACCCAAGAGUAUGGUUGAAUCCAAUGGAGUUCCAACCAGAUAGAUUCCUCACCACCCAUAAAGAUGUUGAUGUUAGAGGUAAACAAUUUGAGUUGACACCAUUUGGAGGUGGAAGAAGAAUUUGCCCUGGAGCAGUUUUUGCCCUUCAAGUGCUACACUUAACAUUAGCCAACUUCCUGCAUAGAUUUCAACUUUCAACUCCAUCAGAUGCACCGGUUGAUAUGAGCGAGAGUUUUGGAUUAACAAACAUCAAAUCCACUCCACUUGAAGUUCUUAUCUCCCCACGCUUGGCUUCUUAUGAUCUUUAUGAGUAGAACUUGAGGUCGCUAAGAGACUUAUUUCAAAAAACCUAGUGCUAUGAAAUGUGAAAUAAAAAUAAAUUUCACACAUGUAGCAUAAGUUUAGUAUUAUUUUCAAGCAGUUACUCAUGUGUGUCCUUUAAUAUUGUCUUAGCUUGAAUUUAAUGAAAAAUAUUUUCGACACCUUUUUCGUGUGGACAAGUAAUGACCCAAUUUCUUGUUAUGUUUCUUCAUUCUUUCAUGAAAGAGAAUUUAGAAGAACAAGUGACAUAUAGCAUUACAAUUGAAAAAUUAAUAAGUAUGUGCUCCACCAUAUGCAUAUAUAUAUGCAUAGUAGACUUGAUGAGUUUCCAAGUUGAUUAAUUGGUAUCUCCUUUUGAUAGAUUUCAGCCACCUUUUUGUACAUGAUUAAAGUAGUAAUGGAAACUAAAAUUACAACUCCCAUUUCAUUGUAAAAAGUUGGGAUGUGCAAGGUGGGUCAGUUCAAUUUUGGGCAUUAAAAUCAAAUCGAAUUGAACCCAAAAGAGGAAAAUGAUUAGUUUGACUUGAUUAACAAUAAUCUAAGUUGGUUCAUUUUGCUUCUAUUUAUAACAUCAAUUUUUUUUUAUAAUUUGAACAAAAAUAAUAUUAUUGAAGCAAGUCAUCUUUGGACGGUUGAAAUGAUAUUAUUACCACUAAUUUCAAAUCAUAUUAUUAUAACUUAAUGACGUGAAUAGGUAUUAUUGUAACCCAUGUCAAUCAUAUCAAAUAGUCCAAGUCAGAUAAAAGUUAUAAAGGUGUGAUUGGGAGUUCCAUCCAAUGUGAAAAAUGUAUACCAAAUUAAUGAUGUAACCAAUUGUUAUACUGUAUAUUAUUACUGUGUGUAUAACUUUCAAUUCAAUUCAGUUUGGUUCAUUAAUUUUUUUAAUAGGUAAUUGAAUUGGUAUAACUGAGUUAUAUAUUUUAAAAACCAAAUUUAUUAAAAAAAUAAAAUCUUAAAAAAUUAAUAGAUUUGGGUCAAUUCCAUUGAUUUUGCCAAUUGUACACCCUAAAAGAAGGGAUGUCCACUUAUCAUUCAUAAACUUUGUGUACUCCUAAGUUACAAUUUUGUCCCAUGUGAUUCACAUUUGUACUUAUUAUUCUCAAUUUUUUGUACAAAUGAUUUAUUAUUUUACAGAAUUUUACUCCAUGAGAUUCACAUUUGUACUUAUUAUUAUCAACUUUGUCUGCUCUUAAGUUACAAUUUCUCCUAAUUAGAUUCACAUGCGUUAUUGCCAUAAUUGAAUUUCCACAUUUAUGCAUGAAUUAUUAUGUUAAUAGAUACAUUAUCAUUUUGUCAAGUUAAUCUGACUCAGGUUAAUCACCAAAGACAAGGUGAAUUAAUUGACUCAAUUUUAAUAAAUUUUAAUUUAAAUGAGUGCAAGUAAUAAUAAUACAAAAAAAAUUAAAUAAAAAGAAGAGAUAACAGGUACAAACUCCAAUUUAUAUAUUUUGCUCAAUCCUAUACUCUCCUCAAGCUCUCAAAUGCAAAUUGAGGGUUCCACUAGCUUUUAAGACUUCAAUCAAACCUUAAUCCUUUACACUUGGAUUCUCAAUUUCAAUGACCUUUUUACACUUUAAUUCAAGAAAUUCCUCACUCUUGAACAUACUCAAAGGUAACACUUAAACAACAUUGAUCUCACAAAAUUUAUUUACAGAUAAUAUAAAUGAAAACUUAAAUGGUUUUUCUUGGCUAGGAUUUCUAAGUUAAUAAGGAUUUUUACAUUAAAAAGAAAGAGUUAAGAUCAACUGGGUUUUGUAAGAUUUUGAUAUAUAUCUUAGUUUGUGAGUUUUUUGGGAUUCUAUUGUAAUCUUAUUGUUUUAUCCUAAAAUUGUCAAAAAAAGAAAUCAGUAAUUUAGUAUGGCAAUUUUACUCCAAAGAUUAUUGAUUAAAAAUUAUUUUACUAAUACCAACGUGUAAGAGUUAAAGGCAUAAAAUUGAAAUUAAAGUAAGUUUAUUAUUUUGGAUUUGGUUAAGUAAUGACAAGAUUAAUAAUUGAACUUAAUGUAAAAAGAAGUGUAAAAACUUUAAAAGUUUAAAAUAUCAUUUCAUUAUUAGUUUCCACUUGCCAACAUAGAUUUCUCAUUCUAUUCUAACAAGUUUUUUGUACUUUUAUAUAUAUAUUUCAUAAACUUAACAAAGGAUACAAACAGCAAAAGAAAAAAAAAUAAUUGAGCUACUAAACCUCAAUAUAAAUUUGGGGUGAAUUGUCAAGGAGCAGGGGGAAGUACUGUAUCACAGAUCAAUGUGAAGAUGUAUAUAUAUUUAUAGUAUAGAACCUAAGAGGUGAACGUUUCUUUCUAAGUUAGGUAAACAUUUCUGUCAAAGUUGAUGAAAUUUUACUAUAAUUUAUAUACACAUGCUUUCAGUGUGCAUAUAGGUUGAAAUAAUAUGUGGAGAUGAUUUUUAUAUGUGAUUUAAUAUUGUUUUGGAUUAUUGAUUAUGACUAUAAAUUAUCAUGCAUGGAACUAAUCAAAAUGAUAUAAUUAAAUUAUAUUAAUGAAUUUGAGAUAGACAUGGCAAUUAUUAAUUUGAAAUAUCUUAUAUGAACAUAAAAUUUUAAAUAUAGACUCAUAAUUUAUAUUAAAAUAAUAAAAUUAAAAAAGUACGUUUAUCUCAAAUUUAUGCCUAGGGCCCAAAUUUUGCUGAGAGCCAGCCGGAUGUCAUCACAUGCAAGAAAGCUAGGAAACAAAGCUGAAGUUUGCUUCUUGUGUGGGAAGAGGUACUUCCGUGCUUGACUGAAAGAAAGGAUUUUCUACAAGAAAAAUUGUCCCCUUGUUUGUAAAGCCUCAAGUUGCGACAGCAAUAACGACAAAAGUAGGCCAAAGAAUUUGUCAUUAUUAUGAGACUAGAGAGGUUUUACUGAGAAGUUUUCCGAGCGUGAUAUCAGCAUUCGCUGUAUCACAGUGAUACAACAAAUGGUUUGAACACAGUGAUCUAGAACCCAUUAGCUCAAAUUUCAUUGAUCUGAACACGAUGAUCCUCAUCCGCAGACCAUUUUAGGGAAUGAUUAAUUCUAGCGAUUUUUUAACUGCCUGUACGAAGAACUUUAUCAAAAUUGGAUUCAGUGUAUCUUAACCAAUCUUGAUCAGUAUGCGACUGAUGAUUCUAUUUGAUAAAAGUAAUGCGGUGGCCCAACUUUAUCUUAAUUUCCAUGUUGAAACUAACCAUUAUAUUAUUCUAUAAUUAUAAAUAUAUACUAUGGAAUUAAGAUAACUUUGACAUGCUAAGGAUCAAAAGAGGGCAGCCACUUUAGUUGUGGAUUAUACUAAAUAAAGCUGAUCGAUUAUUACAUUGGAAAAUAACAUUGAACCUAUCAUGAAAGACAACCCUACUGGACCAUGCCCUGAGUACUAAAUGCUGAUAAAAAACAAGUACAUGUUCCAAAGGAAUUGAGUCCAUAUAUACUCAUUAGUGCUCAAAGAGAAAAACUAUAUAUCCACCGCUUAACUACAGUGAUCCUUUGAGCAGAAGAAACUAGCCAUGUAUUUCCUUCUCCAAUACCUAAACAUCACCACGGUCGGAGUCUUUGCCACACUUUUCCUUUCCUACUGUCUAUUAUUAUGGAGGUCUAGAGCUGGUAACAAAAAAAUAGCACCUGAAGCUGCUGCUGCAUGGCCCAUAAUCGGUCACCUACACCUGUUAGCUGGUGGUUCUCAUCAGCUUCCCCACAUAACCUUGGGAAACAUGGCCGACAAAUAUGGACCGGUCUUCACAAUUCGGAUUGGGUUGCAUCGAGCUGUGGUGGUAAGUUCUUGGGAGAUGGCUAAAGAAUGCUCGACCGCCAAUGACCAGGUUUCAUCCUCGCGUCCCGAACUUUUAGCCUCAAAACUUUUGGGCUACAACUACGCCAUGUUUGGUUUCUCUCCAUACGGUUCUUACUGGCGUGAAAUGCGCAAGAUAAUCAGCCUAGAGCUACUCUCUAACAGCCGCUUAGAGCUGCUGAAGGACGUCCGAGCUUCAGAAGUGGUGACAUCCAUAAAAGAGCUAUACAAGCUCUGGGCAGAGAAAAAAAAUGAAUCGGGCCUUGUCUCGGUGGAGAUGAAGCAGUGGUUUGGAGACUUGACUCUGAACGUAAUUCUUAGGAUGGUGGCAGGGAAGCGUUAUUUCAGUGCUUCAGAUGCAAGUGAAAAUAAACAGGCGCAGAGGUGCCGGAGAGUGUUCAGGGAAUUCUUUCAUUUGUCAGGGCUCUUUGUGGUGGCGGACGCUAUUCCAUUUCUUGGAUGGCUCGACUGGGGGAGACAUGAGAAAACCCUAAAGAAGACAGCAAUAGAAAUGGACAGUAUUGCUCAAGAAUGGUUAGAGGAGCACCGUCGGAGGAAAGACUCCGGUGAUGAUAAUAGUACGCAAGACUUCAUGGAUGUGAUGCAGUCAGUUCUUGAUGGCAAAAACCUUGGUGGUUACGACGCUGAUACCAUCAAUAAAGCCACAUGCCUGGUAUGAGUUAUUAAUGAAACACCCACGUACCAUUUAUUUGCAUAUUAUCAGGGCUAGCUUCUUUUGCACAGACAGUUUUUCUUUUGUUUAUAUGUUUUAAUUGAUGCAUAUUCACUUUCUUCUUCUCUUAAUUAAAUUGUAAUAAUUAAACAUAAAAUUAAAUAAAUUUUAAAUUUUAUUUUUAACUAAAAAUAGAAGUAUACAUAUACAAAUAUAUACUGCUUAAGCAAUUAAUUUUUUAAAAUUAUUCUUUCAGAACACUUCAGACAAGCUGAGACAUGCUUCGAGGGAAAUUUAAAUAUAAUGAUUUUAAAAGCUACUUUGUAAUUUUAUUUUCGAGCAUGUUGCAUAAUAUAUGCUUUCCUUGAAUUGAUUUUCCAAAUUUUAUUUUUGUUAGCAAGAAAGGGUUAUCUACGUUUUGGAAGUUAUCUUUAAUUUCCCCUGUAAAGAAUAAGUGAUCUUGAAAAUUAUAAGCUAAUUAUGUUCAUUUGAAUAAGAGAUUUGAAUAAUCUUGUAAAAGAUGAUGUAUAUCGUUUAAGUGGAUGGUUGAUUUAGAAAUUAUCAUAAAGGGAAAUGGAAAAAAAUACUAUUAUUUUGGAACAAGACCAUAUUGUUCAUUGGUGUCUCUAGAAAGUUCCAUUAGAUGCUAUCAAACAAUUAAUUUGGUGUCUCAUUUGCAUAAUUUUGAGUUAUUGGAUUUUGGGUUUUGCAGACUCUAAUCUCCGGAGGUAGCGACACAACUGUUGUCUCUCUAACAUGGGCACUCUCUCUUGUACUAAACAACCGUGACACCUUAAAAAAAGCUCAAGAAGAAUUAGACAUCCAAGUUGGUAAGGAAAGAUUAGUGAAUGAACAAGAUAUAAGUAAGUUGGUCUAUCUCCAAGCCAUUGUUAAAGAGACAUUACGGUUAUAUCCACCAGGACCACUUGGAGGACUACGCCAAUUUACCGAGGAUUGCACCUUGGGUGGAUACCAUGUCUCUAAAGGCACCCGUUUAAUAAUGAACCUUUCGAAGAUCCAAAAGGAUCCAAGAAUUUGGUCAGAUCCGACAGAAUUCCAACCAGAGAGGUUUCUCACCACCCAUAAAGAUGUUGAUCCUCGGGGAAAACAUUUUGAGUUUAUACCAUUUGGAGCUGGUCGAAGAGCAUGUCCAGGAAUAACUUUUGGUCUUCAAGUAUUACAUUUAACAUUGGCUAGUUUCUUACAUGCGUUUGAAUUUUCAACUCCAUCAAAUGAACAGGUCAAUAUGCGCGAGAGCCUUGGACUUACAAAUAUGAAAUCUACCCCACUUGAAGUUCUCAUUUCUCCACGCUUAUCUUCUUGUAGUCUUUACAAUUAAAACAUUGAAACGAAGCGGUCAAGUCGGUCUUGCUAGUCUUGGUUUAAAGACAUAUAGAGUUAAGUUCAAUCAAUCUAUGACAAGAUUUGGGAUUGUAUUAAAAGUAGGUUGGACUAAGAAUGAUGUAUAAUAAACUAAAGUACUAUUUAUGUCAAUAAAGUAUAACUUUAUAUAUUAUUUGGUUACCCUUAUGGAAUGCAACAUCAUAAUUAUUUAUUUGUUUUGUCUAAUUCAUUCUACAUUUUUUUCCCCUCAUUUUCACCACAACAAAUAAUAUAUAGCAUUUUAUUUUUUGAAAUCAAAGUUAGUUCCGAGUUAUAUAAGAAUUUUACUAUUACUUUAUAAUAAACUUUAAUCUCAAUAAUUUUAACAUGUAAAUAUGAUCUUCAUCCUUAAUCAAAUAUAGGGAUAAUUUCAUUCAUCUUUUAGAAGAUUAGAGUUAAAUUUACCUAUCCAUCAUUAACUUGAAAUUUCACUAAAUAUAUUUUUUUUUCUUUUUCCUUUACUAUUUUUACUCAUCAUAUCUUUUAAUUUAAAAUAAAAAAUAUGUUUAAUAAAAUUUGGGAAUAAUGGUUAUUAGACAUAUUUACGUGAAAUUUUCGAUGAGGUGAAUGAAACUAAAGUUUUCUUUAAAUGUAAAAUCAUAAAAAUUUAGUAUCUGCCAGCAUGAUCCGGUCUAAAUAUUAUAUAUAAUUUGUGUCAUUUCAAAAAAUCAUAGAAGAUCCUUUUGGCAAAGUGGCUCCUUUGAGUUGGUAUUCUCUAAUUGUCACUACAUAUUAUAUAAUUUCAAAGAUCAUGGAGGAUCAUGUCGGCAAUCAUGAUCAGAAGAAGUUGCAGCUUCCUCUAUAAAAUACUAUAUAUACAUAAAAUUAAUCAAUGCAAUAUUUAGCAUAUGCAAGCAAAAUUGGACGGAUCAUGAAAGUAAACCUACGGGCCACCCCUUUACGACUUGUUCGAAAAAGCACUAACCCAGGGUGGUGCCACUUUCCAGCUGUCUUUUUCAAUAGCUAAAUGUUACCACGGUCGGAAUGCUUGGCAUACUCUCUCUCCCCACUAUCUAUUAUUAUGGAGAUCCAGAGCUGGUAAGAGAAGAAUAGAACCCGAAGCUGCUGGUGCAUGGUCAAUAAUCGGUCACCUCCUUUGGGUCACAACUUACUGAAAAACCGUCUGUCUAGUAGGUAAGAUUCAGAGGUGAAUACAUGUAUUUAAAAAGAUUAUAACAAAAAAAUUGAAUUGUUUUAACCUAAUGAAGAUAUAAAAGAUAAAUAAAAUAAUCAAAAUCAAACAAAUAAGUAAAGGACACAAAUUUUUAUAUGGAAAAUUUUCACAUUUACUAUAAAGAUAAAAAAACUACAAGAUAUAACAUCUUUAAUCUACUAUCUAUUGUUUGAAAUCAAAGUACGCAAAUUUACUUGCUCACGAUGCAACACCUUUCUCUUAGUCUCGUUGAAGAGAUGCAAGUCAAUACUAUGAAUUUUUUCUCAAGAAAUUGGAAAUGAUAGGGUAAGUUGUUGAUUCUCUUGUAGUGUCAAUAUAAAACAUAUUUAGGUAUGAUAUGUAAAAAAUAUUUACAUAAUCACAUAGAUUAAUGAUACAUGAUUAAAAGAUACUAACAAUAGGAAAUCACUAUAAAGAACAUACCUGUUUGAGUCAUGAUAAAAAAAACGUGAUUGAUUGUUGUAGUCAAGUCUUCCUCUCUAUGAUCUUGAUAAUAGAUAUGGUGGCUAUAUGGGAAAACAGAUAAACCCUAUUUAUCUACAUUAGAGAGGGGACCUAGCAUAACUCAAAUUGGAUUCUCAUUGGGCCCUCCCAUAAUGGGCUUCAAUGAGACCCAUAGCCUACACUUGCCACUCAACUGAGCUUCUACUCAAAAGAUGCAAAACCCAAUCUAAAAUGUGAUCACUAAUUAAUUGGGCUCAUUAUAGAAUAGACUAUCUAUUAACCCGUUUUUGCAAAUACAAAUUAUUCAAUUAAUGUUAGCCCAUAUAAAAAUUUUCCAACAUGAUAUAUAUAAGAGAAGAUCUACUAGAAUUGGUAUCAAUUAAAAAAUUAUAUUUUACUAAAAAUAAUUUAGAAACUUAAACUUUUAAAAAGAUUUGGAAUAGUUUUCUUUUUAAAAUUAUUAAUUUUAUAUUAUUUCCCAAUUUAUUUUUAUUAUUUGGAAAUGAAUUUUUAAAUUGAGAAUUUAAAAAAUCUUUUUAUUAUUUGGAAAGAUCUUUUAAAUUCUCAAUUUAAAAAUUCAUUUCCAAAUUAUUUUUAUUAUUUGAAUUUUUUUUUAAAUUCUUAAUUUAAAGUUCUUUUNNNNNNNNNNNNNNNNNNNNNNNNNNNNNNNNNNNNNNNNNNNNNNNNNNNNNNNNNNNNNNNNNNNNNNNNNNNNNNNNNNNNNNNNNNNNNNNNNNNNGUAAGUCAUCGUCUAAAAAGAUUUUUAAGUCAAAAUGAAAUUAAACAAAAUUGUUAACUAACAAAUUACAAGACUUACUAUCCCAACAUCCCCCAUAUAUACUUGGGAACCAUGGCAGACAUAUACAGACCGAUCUUCACGAUCCUGGUCGGGAAUGCAUCGAGCAUUGGUGGUGAGCAAUAAGGAGGUGGCCAAAGAAUGCCUCGCCAUCAAUGACUCAGCAGUGUCCGGCCAUCCCAAAUUGGUAGCCCCAAAACAUCUGGGUUACAACUAUGCCAUGUUGGCUUUAUAUAUAUAUAUAUAUAUAUAUAUAUAUCAAUAGAAAUACUUAAACAAAAUAAAUAUUUACAUGUGAGGAAAAAAUAUUUACUUAAAUUUCAGAGAAUUAAUAAUAAGGUUAUAUUUGGUUUCUAAAAAGUAUUAAAGAAAAAAAAUAUAAAAGAAAAUGAUUUUUUUAUGUUUGGUUUUAUUAUAAUUUUUUUAAUGAAAAUUAAAUAUAAUUAGAAAUUUAUACAUUUUAAAAUUAUUUAAUCUUUAUAUAAUUGAGGAAAUUAAGUGAAAUGAAUUUGAGGAAACAUAUAAAAAUAAUUUAUUAAUUUUGAAUAUAUAUAUAUAUAUAUAUAUAUUAUUUUUUUUCUUUUUUUUUGUUCCACUUUUCAUCUCUAUUUUCUUUUCCUCAAAAUUUUCAAGAAUCAAGCCAAAGUAUUUCUAUUUAAUUGUAAUAAAUACAUGAUAGUUUUUUUUUUUUUCACGAAUUGUAGAUACCAUUUAUGUGCACUUGUCAUAAAUUACUUUUACGAUAAUUUUAAUUAUCUAAAUUAUUAUAUCGUAAUGUAAUAAAAUAGUUCCUUUAUUUUUUAUAAAAAAUUUUUAUAUUUUAAUUUUAUAAUAAACAUACUCUUUCCUGCAUUUCUUGAAAUUUUUUUAUAUAUAAAUUAUGAAAACGUAAAUUAUGGUUGCUUUUUUUUUUUUUUUUUUGGUUUUAGAAAAAAUAAUGAAAAUGCAUUUCAUAGCUGUGGAUUUUGAUAAAUUGGAAAAAAAAAAAAAAAAAAAGAGAAAGGUGGAAAGAAUUUAAAAUGUGUAUUUUUAAAAUUUAUUAAGAAAUUUAACCUUCUUUUUUCGUGGAUAUGGGCGAUUAGGCCAAACCAUAUAAAUAUUUUGUCUUCUUUUUCAUUUAUUUUAUUUUUGUUGUUGCAUUUGAUAUUGCAAUUUCCCUCCUCCCCCCAACAAGUGGAAUUAAACUUGUGGUGGGAAGAUCAUGGGAAAAUUGAAAAGGAUGUCAAGCAUAAAAUAUGAUAUUAAAUCAUUUGAUGGAAAUAAUAAUAAUAAUAAUUUUAGCAUAUGGCAGAUGUUUUGGUAUAACAAAGACUUCUUAAAGUGUUAAAAAGGUAAGAAAGCAAAGAACAUGAUAGAAGAUGAUUUAUGGGAGAAGUUAUACACAAUUUAUAUGUCAACAUCCCAAGAAGAUGGAUGAAGGAUUAGAUGUUGAGGUCAUAUAAAUAAAUUUAUUAAGUAUAUACCCAGGUAUUAAGUGUAGAUAUUAAGAUGGAUAGAAAGAUCAAAUCAUUCUUUCAUUGGCUUUCUACCAAAAUCGUACGAGAUAGUAGUAACUGCACUUUUAGUUGGAAAGACAACUAUUACACACCCUAAAUACUAAAAUUAUGAUUUAAUUAUAAUAUCAAAUGAUUAAUUUAUAAUUUUAAAAUUUUAUAUAUAAAUUUAUGAAUAAAAUACAAUGUUUGAAAUAAAAAACUAAUUAUUUAAUUAUUUUCAAAUUCAUGAAUUUUAAUUCUAAUGUACAUAAUAACCGUAAUUUUUUUUAUAAAGUUGUUACUAAAUAUAUAUUUCCAAAUAGUAACAUAAUAACAUUUUAUUUUACAAUUUCUAAAUUUAAAAUUUUAUUUCUUUUAAAAGUUGAAAUAAUAUGGUCUAAUGAAUUGAGAGUUUUUAUAUAUGUCUUGUAUGUUGUUUAAGUUAUGUAAUUUCACCAUGUAAAAUAGACUAUUUUUAAAAGUUUUAAAAUUUAAGAUAAGAAAUAAUAGAUUUUGUUACUUUUCAUGUUGGUGAUACUCAAUUUUUUAGAUUUUUUAUUUUUGAUAAUUUUAUUUAGGUGAACUUUUUAAAAAAAAAAAAAAAGAAAAAAAAAAGAAAUUUAACUAAAGUUGUCAAUUUAUAAUUAAAAUUGGAAAAUCAAAUUUUGAUUUACCUAUAAUUAAAUUCUAAAAUAUUUUUAUUAGAUUCAAGGAGGGUAUUCCAUUAUUUAUAUUACAAACUUAAAGUUAAGCAGACAUUUACUUCAAUGUGCUAUACAAUAAAUAAAAUGAUGCAAAAUGGUGCACCACACCCAACUUGCGCACUUUAUGCACACCAUUCAAAUCGUGCAUCUCCAACAUACGACCUAAAUUGUGCACCUCUAAUGCAUCACUUGAAUUGUGUACUACUUAAAUUAUGCAUGUCUCCGGUUUAAAACACUUUGUGCAUCCCCAAUUAUGCACCUCCUUCUCUUUUAACACCUACUUAGAUUUGCAUAUUAUCAGGGCUAGCUUCUUUUCCAUAGACAGUUAUUCUUUUGUUUAUAUGUUUUAAUUGAUGCAUAUUCACUUUCUUCUUCUCUUAAUUAAAUUGCAAUAAUUAAACAUACAAUUUAAAUAAAUUUUAAAUUUUAUUUUUAACUAAAAACAAAAGUAUAUGUAUACAAAUAUAUACUGCUUAAACAAUUAAUUUUAAAAAAUUAUUCUUUGAAAACACCUCAGACAAACUAAGACAUGGUUCCAGAGAAAACUAAAUAUGAUGCUUUUAAUAGUUGCUUUGUAAUUUUAUUUUCAAGCAUGUUGCAUGAUAUAUACUUUCCUUGAAUUGAUCUUCCAAAUUUUAUUUUUGUCAACAAUAUACCUAUGUAAGAGAUGGUUAGUUUAGAAUUUUUCUCUUAAACCAUAGGGAAAAAUGGAAAAAGAAUACCAUUAUUUUCGUACAAGGUCAUAUAGUUUAACAAUGUUUGAAGAGGGUUUCAUUAUAUACUAUCAAACAAUUAAUUUGGUGUGGUCACUUACGUAUUUUUAAGUUGUUGUCUUCUUCAUUUUGUAGGCUCUAAUUGCAGGAGGUAGCGACACAAUAGUUGUCACUCUAACUUGGGUGCUCUCUCUCUUCUAUUAAACAACCAUGACACCUUAAAAAAAGCACAAGAAGAAUUGGAUACACAAGUUGGCAAGGAAUGAUUAGUGAAUGAACAAGAUAUCAGUAAAUUGUUCUAUCUCCAAGCCAUUGUUAAAGAGAUAUUAUAGUUAUAUCCACCACGACCACUUGCAGGGCCACGCCAAUUCACUGAGGACUGCACCUUGGAUGGUUACCAUGUCUCUAAAGGCACCCGAUUAAUAUUGAACAUUUCCAAAAUCCAAAAGGAUCCAAGAAUUUGGUCAAAUCCAAUAGAAUUCCAAUAAGAGAGGUUUCUCACCACCCAUACGGACCUUGAUCCUCGGGGAAAAUAUUUUGAAUUUAUACCCCCAUUUGGCGCCAAUAGAAAAGCAUGUCCUAGAAUGACUUUUGGUCUUCAAAUGCUACAUUUAACGUUGGCCAAUUUUUUACAAGUGUUUGACUUUUCAACUGCGUCAAAUGCACAUAUUGAUAUGCAUGAGAGUCUUGGACUUACAAACAUGAAAUCUACCCCACUUGAAGUACUCAUUUCCCUACACUUGUCUUCUUGUAAUCUUUACAACUAAAACAUUGAAACAAAAAGGUCAAAGUCGGCAUAGCUAGCUAGUCUUAGUUUGAAGACGUUAGCUUCAGUCAAUCUACAAUAAGAUUUAGAAGUGUAUUAAAAGUAGGUUGGACUUGAUACUUUUAAGGAAUGCGAUGCUAAUUCUAUUUGAAUGGGUAAUGAUUCAGACUCUAAAAUCAUUAGGAUUUAAAUCAUAAAGGUGAGGAUAUUUUAUGGUAUUAUAAGGAUGUUGAGUAAUGUUAAGCAUGUUCCCAAGUCGAGGAGGAGUUUAAAUUUCUUUAAGGGCUUUGGACACUUUGGGUUGUGAUUUUUUUGUGAAGCAUAGUAUUAUGGGUAUCAAUAAAGUGCUUUGACAACUAUGAAAAGGAAAAAAGUGAAAAAUUUAUACACCUUAAUCAAUAAGACAACUUAUAGGUGGAGUUCUAAAGGAGUCAUGUUAACAGAAAGAAGGAAUGACACGUAUUUAUUCUUCAUAAUUAUGUAUAAUUAAGAGAUUUGAGUCAAUGCAUGUGGAGAUUAUUGGUAUUUGAAUCUAAUUAUUUAUUUUUUAUUUUUGAAAAAGUCAAUAUUUAUAAAGUCUAUGUUUUACUAAAUUACCCUUUUGAAUUUGACUAAGAUCAGGAAACUAUUGAUUUAGGGUUAAUUCACAUGAUUUUACAAAUAUGUGGUUUUAAAUAAGAUUUAUACUAAAAAGGAAAAAAAAAAUAAGAAAAGAGGAAAACUUAAAUAGGUAAAUAGUCUAUUGAGUUUUGGAUGGAGAAAUGUUGAGAGAAUUUGAAGAUUUUCUUUGUGAAGCAUAUUAAUAAAUUUUAUCUUCCUUUCCCAGGUCUUUUCUAUUUAUUUUAUUUUUCCUGCUCAAUUUGAGUGUUUCAAUUUUUCCAGAACAUGGACAGUACAAAUGGCCAGAUGUUUCAUAUACGGUGCAUGUCAUAAAGUCGCCGCCUUCAGCUUGGCAAGAAAUCAAGCGAAACUGGACUUGAACUUGUCAUUCUUAAGGAAAUAAGCGCCAGCUAGGGUUCAAAUUUUAUGAUGUGAGCAUGCAACACUUAUCCCAAUCCACUGUUCUACUAAUAGGAUGUAGAAGACAACAAGCAAUUGUAGGAGCUUAUCUUUUUUUAUUUUUAUCAAGGUAGUUUCUGAAAGGAUGUGGAUCAACAUCGAUCUGUAGUGAUCCCUAGAAGGCUCCACUGUUCUAAUAAUAGGAUGUAGAAGACAGCAAGCAAUUGUAAGAGCUUAUCUUUUUUUCUUUUUUUUUUAUCAAGGCAGUUUCUGAAAGGAUGUGGAUCAACAUCGAUCUGUAGUGAUCCCUAGAAGGCUCCACUGUUCUAAUAAUAGGAUGUAGAAGACAGCAAGCAAUUGUAGGAGCUUAUCUUUUUUUUUUUUUUUUUUAUCAAGGCAGUUUCUGAAAAGAUGUGGAUCAACAUCGAUCUGUAGUGAUCCCUAGAAAGGCUGUUUUCUAAAUAUAGUAUUAUAAUAAAAAUAACGUUUGCCGAAAUUAAUAACGUUUGGAUAUGUUACAUGAGAGAAACAAACACGAGUACUCCUUGUAGUACAUGAGAAACCAUAUAUAUAUAUAUAUAUGCUUGAACGGGGGAGCUACCCACAGUUUAACCACAGUGAUCCAAUAACGACAUUCUGAGCUACAAUGGAUUUCCUUCUCCAAUGCCUAAACCCUGUCAUGGUUGGAGCGUUUGCAAUACUCGUCCUCUCAUACCACCUGUUAUUAUGGAGGUCUGGAGCUGGUAAGAGCAGAAUGGCACCUGAAGCUUCUGGUGCAUGGCCCAUAAUAGGUCACCUGCACCUGUUAGGUGGAUCUAAGAAUUUGCCUCACUUACUUUUUGGAACCAUGGCCGACAAGUAUGGACCAGUAUUCAGCAUCCGGCUGGGAUUAAAAAGAGCUGUGGUUGUGAGUAGUUGGGAAAUGGCCAAAGAAUGCUUCACCACCCAUGACCUGGCUCUGGCCUCCCGUCCUGAGCUUGUGGCCGCCAAAUAUUUGGGAUAUAACUAUGCCAUGUUUGCUUUCUCUCCUCACGGUGCAUACUG
RNAcentral lists this long non-coding RNA (99122 nucleotides) under Vitis vinifera (wine grape). RNAcentral describes it as "long non-coding RNA (VVIN_LNC006035)". Lineage: Eukaryota; Viridiplantae; Streptophyta; Magnoliopsida; Vitales; Vitaceae. The record is from RNAcentral.